Molecule: long non-coding RNA, 105312 nt
Filed under: Triticum aestivum (bread wheat)
Lineage: Eukaryota; Viridiplantae; Streptophyta; Magnoliopsida; Poales; Poaceae
Description: long non-coding RNA (TAES_LNC009704)
Source: RNAcentral
GUACUACAGGCUGUUCUGUUUUUGAAAGAUUCUGUUUUUCGUGUGUUGUUUGCUUAUUUUGAUGAACCUAUGGCUAGUAAAAUAGUUUAUAUACCAUAGAGAAAUUGGAAUACAGUAGGUAUAACACCAAUAUAAAUAAAUAAUGAGUUCAUUACAGUACCUUGAAGUGGUCUUUUAUUUUCUUUCGCUAACGGAGCUCAUGAGAUUUUCUACUUUAAGUUUUGUGUUGUGAAGUUUUCAAGUUUUGGGUAAAGAUUUGAUGGAUUAUGGAACAAGGAGUGACAAGAGCCUAAGCUUGGGGGUUCCCAUGGCACCCCCAAGAUAAUCUAAGUACACCUAAAAACCAAAGCUUGGGGAUGCGCCGGAAGUCAUCCCCUCUUUCAUCUACUUCUAUCGGUAACUUUACUUGGAGCUAUAUUUUUAUUCGCCACAUGAUAUGUGUUUUGCUUGGAGCGUCUUGUAUUAUUUGAGUCUUUAUUUGUUAGUUUACCACAAUCAUCCUUGCUGUACACACCUUUUGAGAGAGCCAUACAUGAUUUGGAAUUUGUUAGAAUACUCUAUGUGCUUCGCUUAUAUCUUUUGAGUUAUAUAGUUUUGCUCUAGUACUUCACUUAUAUCUUUUAGAGCACGGUGGUGGAUUUGUUUUAUAGAAACAAUUGAUCUCUCAUGCUCCACUUAGAUUAUUUUGAGAUUCUUAAUAGCAUGUUAAUUUGCUUAAAAUCCUAAUAUGCUAGGUAUUCAAAGUUAGUAAAAUUUUCUUAAGAGUGUUUUGAAUACUAAGAGAAGUUUGAUGCUUGAUGAUUGUUUUGAGAUAUGGAGGUAAUAAUAUCAAAGUCGUUCUCGUUGACUAGUUGUGAAAUUGAGAAAUACUUGUGUUGAAGUUUGCAUGUCCCGUAGCACGCACGUAUGGUAAACGUUGUGUAACAAAUUUGAAACAUGAGGUGUUAUUUGAUUGUCUUCCUUGUGAGUGGCGGUCGGGGACGAGCGAUGGUCUUUUCCUACCAAUCGAUCCCCCUAGGAGCAUGCGAAUAGUACCAAGGUUUUUGAUGACUUGUAGAUUUUUGCAGUAAGUAUGUGAGUUCUUUAUGACUAAUGUUGAGUCCAUGAAUUAUACGCACUCUCACCCUUCCAUCCUUGCUAGCCUCUUCGGUACCGUGCAUUGCCCUUUCCCACAUUGAGAGUUGGAGCAAACUUCGCCAGUGCAUCCAAACCCCGUGCUAUGAUACGCUCAUUCACACAUAAACCUCCUUAUAUCUUCCUCAAAACAGCCACCAUACCUACCUAUUAUGGCAUUUCCAUAGCCAUUCCGACAUAUAUUGCCAUGCAACUUUCCACCAUUCCGUUCAUCAUGACACAUUCAUCAUUGUCAUAUUGCGUAGCAUAAUCAUGUAGUUGACAUAGUAUUUGUGGCAAGGCCACCGUUCAUAAUUCAUUCAUACAUGUCACUCUUGGUCCAUUGCAUGUCCCGGUACACCGCCGGAGGCAUUCAUAUAGAGCCAUACUUUGUUCUAGUAUCGAGUAGUAAUUAUUGAGUCGUAAAUAAAUAGAAGUGUGAUGAUCAUCAUUAAUAGAGCAUGGUCCCAAAAAGAAAAAAAAGGAAGGGCCAAAAAAAGGCCAAAUAAAAAAAUAUAAAAAAGGGGGCAAUGCUACUAUCCUUUUUUUCCAAACUUGUGCUUCCAAGUAGCACCGUAAUCUUCAAGAUAGAGAGUCUCUUGAUUUGUCACUUUCAUAUACUAGUGGGAAUUUUUCAUUAUAGAACUUGGCUUGUAUAUUCCAACAAUGGGCGUCCCCAAGUUCCCUAGGUCUUCGUGAGCAAGCAAGUUGGAUGCACACCCACUUAGUUUCUUUUGUUGAGCUUUCAUACAUUUAUAGCUCUAGUGCAUCCGUUGCAUGGCAAUUCCUACUCCUUGCAUUAACAUCAAUCAAUGGGCAUCUCCAUAGCCCAUUGAUUAGCCUCGUUGAUGUGAGACUUUCUCCUUUUUGUCUUCUCCACAUAACCCCACUCAUUAGAUUCUAUUCCACCCAUAGUGUUAUGUCCAUGGCUUGCAAUCAUAUAUUGCGUGAAAGUUUAUAGGUUUGAGAUCACUAAAGUAUGAAACAAUUGCUUGGCUUGUCAUCGGGGUUGUGCAUGAUGAGAGCAUACUUGUGUGACGAAAAUGAAGCAUGACUAAACUAUAUGAUUUUGUAGGGGUGAACUUUCUUUGGCCAUGUUAUUUUGAGAAGACACAAUUGCUCAGUUAGUAUGCUUAAAGUAUUAUUAUUUUAUGUCAAUAUGAACUUUUGUCUUGAAUGUUUCAGAUCCGAAUAUUCAUACCACAAUUAAGAAGAAUUACAUUAAAAUCAUGCCAAGUAGCACUCCACAUCAAAAAUUCUGUUUUUAUCAUUUACCUACUCGAGGACGAGCCGGAAUUAAGCUUGGGGAUGCUUGAUACAUCUCCAACGUAUCUAUAAUUUUUGAUUGCUCCAUGCUAUAUUAUCUACUGUUUUGGACAAUAUUGGGCUUUAUUAUCCACUUGUAUAUUAUUUUUGGGACUAACCUAUUAACCGGAGGCCCAGCCCAGAAUUGUUGUUUUUUGCCUGUUUUAGGGUUUCGAAGAAAAGGAAUAUCAAACGGAGUCCAAACGGAAUGAAACCUUCGGGAACGUGAUUUUCUCAACGAACAAGAUCUAGGAGACUUGGACCCUCCAUCAAGACAUAAAAGAGGAGGCCACGAGGUAGGGGGCGUNNNNNNNNNNNNNNNNNNNNNNNNNNNNNNNNNNNNNNNNNNNNNNNNNNNNNNNNNNNNNNNNNNNNNNNNNNNNNNNNNNNNNNNNNNNNNNNNNNNNNNNNNNNNNNNNNNNNNNNNNNNNNNNNNNNNNNNNNNNNNNNNNNNNNNNNNNNNNNNNNNNNNNNNNNNNNNNNNNNNNNNNNNNNNNNNNNNNNNNNNNNNNNNNNNNNNNNNNNNNNNNNNNNNNNNNNNNNNNNNNNNNNNNNNNNNNNNNNNNNNNNNNNNNNNNNNNNNNNNNNNNNNNNNNNNNNNNNNNNNNNNNNNNNNNNNNNNNNNNNNNNNNNNUGGGCCCCCCUGUUGCUCCACCGACGUACUCCUUCCUCCUAUAUAUACCUACUAUUGGGGAACGUAGCAGAAUUUUAAAAUUUUCUACGCAUACCAAGAUCAAUCUAUGGAGUCAUAUAGCAACGAGGGAGAGAGGAGUGCAUCUACAUACCCUUGUAGAUCGCGCGCGGAAGCGUUCAAGAGAACGGGGUUGAUGGAGUCGUACUCGUCGUGAUCCAAAUCACCGAUGACCAAGUGCCGAAUGGACAGCACCUCCGCGUACAACACACGUACGGUUGGGAAGACGUCUCCUCCUUCUUGAUCCAGCAAGGGGGAAGGAGAGGUUGAUGAAGAUCCAGCAGCACGACGGCGUGGUGGUGGAUGCAGCAGGAUCCCGGCAGGGCUUCGCCAAGCGCAAGCGGGGAGGAGAGGUGUUACGGAAGGAGAGGGAGGCGCCAAGAGCAAGGGUGCGGCUGCCCUCCCUCCCCCCCCUCUUUAUAUAGGGGCCUUGGGGGGGCGCCGGCCCUAGGAGAUGGAUCUCCAAGGGGGGCGAAGGCCAAGGGGUGGCUUCCCCCCCAAGCCAAGUGGGGGGCGCCCCCACCCCUAGGGUUUCCCAACCCUAGGCGCAUGGGAGGCCCAAGGGGGGCGCACCAGCCCACUAGGGGCUGGUUCUGCUCCCAAUUCAGCCCAUGGGGCCCUCCGGGAUGGGUGGCCCCACCCGGUGGACCCCCGGGACCCUUCCGGUGGUCCUGGUACAAUACCGGUGACCCCCGAAACCUUCCCGAUGGCCGAAAUUGUACUUCCUAUAUAUAAAUCUUUACCUCCGAACCAUUCCGGAACUCCUCGUGACGUACGGGAUCUCAUCCGGUACUCCGAACAUAUCCUUGGUUACUACAUACUAAUAUCUCUACAACCCUAGCGUCACCGAACCUUAAGUGUGUAGACCCUACGGGUUCGGGAGACAUGCAGACAUGACAGAGACGCCUCUCCGGUCAAUAACCAACAGCGGGAUCUGGAUACCCAUGUUGGCUCCCACGUGCUCCACGAUGAUCUCAUCGGAUGAACCACGAUGUCGAGGAUUCAAUCAAUCUGUGUAGAAUUCCCUUUGUCAAUCGGUACGUUACUUGCCCGAGACUCGAUCGUCGGUAUCCCAAUACCUCGUUCAAUCUCGUUACCAGCAAGUCACUUUACUCGUGCCGUAAUGCAUGAUCCCAUGAUCAACCACUUGGUCACAAUGAGCUCAUUAUGAUCAUGCAUUACCGAGUGGGCCCAGAGAUACCUCUCCGUCAUACGGAGUGACAAAUCCCAGUCUCGAUUCGUGCCAACCCAACAGACACUUUCGGAGAUACCUGUAAUGUACCUUUAUAGUCACCCAGUUACGUUGUGACGUUUGGCACACCCAAGGCACUCCUACGGUAUCCGGGAGUUGCCCAAUCUCAUGGUCUAAGGAAAUGAUACUUGACAUUCGGAAAAGCUACAGCAAACGAACUACACGAUCUUUGAGCUAUGCUUAGGAUUGGGUCUUGUCCAUCACAUCAUUCUCCUAAUGAUGUGAACCCGUUAUCAAUGACAUCCAAUGUCCAUAGUCAGGAAACCAUGACUAUCUUUUGAUCAACGAGCUAGUCAACUAGAGGCUCACUAGGGACGUGUUGUCGUCUAUGUAUUCACACAUGUAUUACGAUUUCCGGAUAACACAAUUAUAGCAUGAAAAAUAGACAAUUAUCAUGAACAAAGAAAUAUAAUAAUAACCAUUUUAUUAUUGCCUCUAGGGCAUAUUUCCAACAGUCUCCCACUUGCACUAGCGUCAGUAGUCUAGUUACAUUUUGAUGAAUCCAACACCCAUGAAGUUCUGGAGUUGAUCAUGUUUUGCUCUAGGGAGAGGUUUAGUCAAUGGAUCUGCCACAUUCAGGUCCGUAUGUACUUUACAAAUCUCUAUGUAUCCAUUUUGAACACUUUCAUGAAUGGAGUUGAAGUGACGCUUGAUAUGCCUGGUCUUCCUGUGAAAUCUGGGCUCCUUGGCAAGUGCAAUAGCUCCAGUGUUGUCACAGAAUAGAGUCAUCGGGCCCGGUGCAUUGGGUGUGACUCCUAGGUCGGUAAUGAACUCCUUCACCCAGAUUGCUUCUUGUGCUGCCUCCGAGGCUGCCAUGUACUCUGCUUCACAUGUAGAUCCCGCCACAACGCUUUGCUUGCAACUCCACCAGCUUACUGCCCCACCAUUCAAAAUAUACACGUAUCCGGUUUCCGACUUAGAGUCAUCCAGAUCUGUGUCGAAGCUAGCAUCAACGUAACCCUUUACGACGAGCUCUUCGUCACCUCCAUAAACGAGAAACAUAUCCUUAGUCCUUUUUAGGUACUUGAGGAUAUUCUUGACUGCUGUCUAGUGUUCCAUGCCGGGAUUACUUUGGUACCUUCCUACCAAACUUACGGCAAGGUUUUCAUCAGGUCUGGUACACAGCAUAGCAUACAUGAUAGACCCUAUGGCCGAGGCAUAGGGGAUGACACUCAUCUUUUCUCUAUCUUCUGUCGUGGUCGUGCAUUGAGCCUCGCUCAAUCUCGUACCUUGCAAUACAGGCAAGAACCCUUCUUUUACUGAUCCAUUUUGAACUUCUUCAAUAUCUUAUCAAGGUAUGUACUCUGUGAAAGACCAAUGAGGCGUCUCGAUCUAUCUCUAUAGAUCUUGAUGCCUAAUAUAUAAGCAGCUUCUCCAAGAUCCUUCAUUGAAAAACACGUGUUCAAGUAGGCCUUUAUGCUUUCCAAGAAUUCUAUAUCAUUUCCCAUCAACAAUAUGUCAUCCACAUCCAAUAUGAGAAAUGCUACAAAGCUCCCACUCACUUUCUUGUAAAUGCAGACUUCUCCAUAAGUAUGCGUAAACCCAAACGCUUUGAUCAUCUCAUCAAAACGAAUGUUCCAUCUCCGAGAUGCUUGCACCAGCCCAUAAAUCGAAUGUUGGAGCUUGUACACCUUGUCAGCAUUCUUAGGAUCGACAAAACCUUCCGGCUGCAUCAUAUACAAUUCUUCCUUAAGGAAACCAUUAAGGAAUGUUGUUUUGACGUCCAUUUGCCAUAUUCAUAAUCAUAGAAUGCGGCAAUUGCUAACAUCGUAGUCAACCCCUUGAACUUGCCGAUAACCCUUAGCGACAAGCCGAGCUUUAUAGAUGGUCACAUUACCAUCCGCGUCUGUCUUCUUCUUAAAGAUCCAUUUAUUUUCUAUGGCUCGCCGAUCAUCGGGCAAGUCAGUCAAAGUCCAUACUUUGUUUUCAUACAUGGAUCUUAUCUCGGAUUUCAUGGCUUCCAGCCAUUUGUUGGAAUUCAGGCCCGCCAUCGCUUCUUCAUAGUUCGAAGUUCACCGUUGUCUAACAACAUGAUUUCCAAGACAGGGUUGCCGUACCACUCUGGUGCGGGACGUGUCCCCGUGGACCUACGAAGUUCAGUAGCAACUUGAUCUGAAGUUUCAUGAUCAUCAUCAUCAAUUUCCUCUCUAGUCGUUGCAGGCACCUUAGGAACAUUUUCUUGAGCUGCGCCACUUACCGGUUCAAGAGGUAAUAAUACUUCAUCAAGUUCUACUUUCCUCCCACUUAUUUCUUUCGAGAGAAACUCUUUCUCUAGAAAGGACCCAUUCUUGGCAACAAAGAUCUUGCCUUCGGAUCUGAGGUAGAAGGUAUACCCAAUAGUUUCUUUAGGGUAUCCUAUGAAGACGCAUUUUUCCAAUUUGGGUUCGAGCUUUUCAGGUUGAAGUUUCCUUACAUAAGCAUCGCAUCCCCAAACUUUUAGAAAUGACAUCUUAGGUGUCUUCCCAAACCAUAAUUCAUACGGUGUCAUCUCAACGGAUUUCGACGGAGCCCUAUUUAAAGUGAAUGCGGCAGUCUCUAAAGCAUAGCCCCAAAAUGACAGCGGUAAAUCGGUAAGAGACAUCAUAGAUCGCACCAUAUCUAAUAGAGUGCGAUUAUGACAUUCCGACACACCAUUACGCUGAGGUGUUCCAGGCGGCGUGAGUUGUGAAACUAUUCCACAUUUUCUUAAGUGUGUGCCAAAUUCGUGACUCAAGUAUUCUCCCCCACGAUCUGAUCGCAAGAACUUGAUUUGCCUGUCACGUUGAUUCUCAACCUCACUUUGAAAUUCCUUGAACUUUUCAAAGGUCUCAGACUUGUGUUUCAUUAAGUAGACAUACCCAUAUCUACUCAAGUCAUCAGUGAGGGUGAGAACAUAACGAUAGCCACCGCGCCUCAACACUCAUUGGACCGCACACAUCAGUAUGUAUGAUUUCCAAUAAGUUGGUUACUCGCUCCAUUGUUCCUGAGAACGGAGUCUUGGUCAUUUUACCCAUGAGGCAUGGUUCGCACGUGUCAAAUGAUUCGUAAUCAAGAGACUUUAAAAGUCUAUCUGCAUGGAGCUUCUUCAUGCGUUUGACACCUAUGUGACCAAGGCGGCAAUGCCACAAGUAUGUGGGACUAUCAUUAUCAACCUUACAUCUUUUGGUAUUCACACUAUGAAUAUGUGUAACAUUAUGCUCGAGAUUCAUUAAGAAUAAACCAUUCACCAAUGGAGCAUGACCAUAAAACAUAUCUCUCAUAUAAAUAGAACAACCAUUAUUCUCGGAUUUAAAUGAGUAGCCAUCUCAAAUUAACCGAGAUCCUGAUACAAUGUUCAUGCUCAAAGCUGGCAGUAAAUAACAAUUAUUGAGGUUUAAAACUAAUCCCAUAGGCAAAUGUAGAGGCAGCGUGCCGACGGCGAUCACAUCAACCUUGGAACCAUUCCCGACGCACAUCGUCACCUCGUCCUUCGCCAGUCUCCGUUUAAUCCGCAGCUCCUGCUUUGAGUUACAAAUGUGAGCAACUGCACCGGUAUCAAAUACCCAGGAGCUACUACGAGUACUGGUAAGGUACACAUCAAUUACAGGUAUAUCACAUAUACCUUUAGUGUUGCCGGCCUUCUUGUCCGCUAAGUAUUUGGGGCAGUUCCGCUUCCAGUGACUACUUCCCUUGCAAUAAAAACACUCAGUCUCGAGCUUGGAUCCAUUCUUUGGCUUCUUCCCGGAAACUUGCUUAGCGGGCGCGGCAACUCCCUUGCCGUCCUUCUUGAAUUCUUCUUACCCUUGCCUUUCUUGAACUUAGUGGUUUUAUUCACCAUCAACACUUGAUGUUCCUUUUUGAUUUCCACCUCUGCUGAUUUCAGCAUUGAAUAUACCUCAGGAAUGGUCUUUUCCAUCCCCUGCAUAUUGAAGUUGAUCACAAAGCUCUUGUAGCUCGGUGGAAGCGACUGAAGGAUUCUGUCAAUGACCGCGUCAUUCGGGAGGUUAACUCCCAGCUGAGUCAAGCGGUUAUGCAACCCAGACAUUUUGAUUAUGUGCUCACUGACAGAACUAUUUUCCUCCAUCUUAUAGCUGAAGAACUUGUCGGAGACUUCAUAUCUCUCGACCCGGGCAUGAGCUUGAAAAACCAUUUUCAGCUCUUCGAACAUCUCAUAUGCUCCAUGUCUCUCAAAAUGCUUUUGGAGCCCCGGUUCUAAGCUGUAAAGCAUGCCGCACUGAACGAGGGAGUAAUCAUCAGCACGUAACUGCCAAGCGUUGAUAAUGUCUUGGUUCUCUGGGACAGGUGCGUGACCUAACGGUGCUUCUAGGACAUAAUAUUUCUUGGCAGCUACGAGGAUGAUCCUCAGGUUCCGGACCCAGUCCGUAUAGUUGCUGCCAUCGUCUUUCAGCUUGGUUUUCUCUAGGAACGCGUUGAAAUUGAGGACAACGUGGGCCAUUUGAUCUACAAGACAUAUUGUAAAGAUUUUAGACUAAGUUCAUGAUAAUUAAGUUCAUCUAAUCAAAUUAUACAAUGAACUCCCACUCAGAUAGACAUCCCUCCAGUCAUCUAAGUGAAACAUGAUCCAAGUUAACUAGGCUGUGUCGGAUCAUCACGUGAAACGGACUAGUCAACAUCGGUGAACAUCUUCAUGUUGAUCGUAUCUUCUAUACGACUCAUGCUCGACCUUUCGGUCUUCUGUGUUCCGAGGCCAUGUCUGUACAUGCUAGGCUCGUCAACUAAACCUAAGUGUAUUGCGUGUGUAAAUCUGGCUUACACCCGUUGUAUUCGAACGUUAGAAUCUAUCACACUCGAUCAUCACGUGGUGCUUCGAAACAACGAACCUUCGCAACGGUGCACAGUUAGGGGGAACACUUUCUUGAAAUUAUUUCGAGGGAUCAUCUUAUUUAAGCUACCGUCGUUCUAAGCAAAUAAGAUGUAAAACAUGAUAAACAUCACAUGCAAUCAAAUAGUGACAUGAUAUGGCCAAUAUCAUUUGCUCCUUUUGAUCUCCAUCUUUGGGGCUCCAUGAUCAUCGUUGUCACCAGCAUGACACCAUGAUCUCCAUCAUCAUGUCUUCUUGAAGUUGUCUCGUCAUCUAUUACUUCUACUACUAUGGCUAAUGCUUUAGCAAUAAAGUAAAGUAAUUACAUGACGUUUAUGUUGACACGCAGGUCAUAAAAAAAUAAAGACAACUCCUAUGGCUCCUGCCGGUUGUCAUACUCAUCGACAUGCAAGUCGUGAUUCCUAUUACAAGAACAUGAUCAAUCUCAUACAUCACAUAUAUCAUUCAUCACAUCCUUUUGGCCAUAUCACAUCAGACGGCACAUGCUGCAAAAACAAGUUAGACGUCCUCUAAUUGUUGUUGCAAGUUUUUACAUGGCUGCUAUAGGUUUCUAGCAAGAACGUGUCUUACCUACGCCAAAACCACAACGUGAUAUGCCAAUUUCUAUUUACCCUUCAUAAGGACCCUUUUCAUCGAAUCCGAUCUAACUAAAGUGGGAGAGAUAGACACCCGCCAGCCACCUUAUGCAAGUAAUGCAUGUCAAUCGGUGGAACCAGUCUCACGUAAGCGUACGUGUAAGGUCGGUCCGGGCCGCUUCAUCCCACGAUGCCGCCGAAUCAAGAUAAGACUAGUAACGGCAAGCAAAGUGACAAUAUCCACGCCCACAACUGCUUUGUGUUCUACUCGUGCAUAGAAACUACGCAUAGACCUGGCUCAUGAUGCCACUAUUGGGGAAUGUAGCAGAAUUUUAAAAUUUUCUACGCAUCACCAAGAUCAAUCUAUGGAGUUAUCUAGCAAUGAGGAAGAGAGGAGUGCAUCUACAUACCCUUGUAGAUCGCGCGCGGAAGCGUUCAAGAGAACGGGGUUGAUGGAGUCGUACUCGUCGUGAUCCAAAUCACCGAUGACCAAGUGCCGAACGGACAGCACCUCCGCGUUCAACACACGUCCGGUUGGGAAGACGUCUCCUCCUUCUUGAUCCAGCAAGGGGGAAGGAGAGGUUGAUGAAGAUCCAGCAGCACGACGGCGUGGUGGUGGAUGCAACAGGAUCCCGGCAGGGCUUCGCCAAGCGCAAGCGGGGAGGAGAGGUGUUACGGAGGGAGAGAGAGGCGCCAAGAGCAAGGGUGCGGCUGCCUUCCCUCCCCCCUCUUUAUAUAGGGGCCAUGGCGGGCGCCGGCCCUAGGAGAUGGAUCUCCAAGGGGGGCGAAGGCCAAGGGGUGGCUCCCCCCCCCAAGCCAAGUGGGGGGCGCCCCCACCCCUAGGGUUUCCCAACCCUAGGCGCAGGGGAGGCCCAAGGGGGCGCACCAGCCCACUAGGGGCUGGUUCCCCUCCCAAUUCAGCCCAUGGGGCCCUCCGGGAUGGGUGGCCCCACCCGGUGGACCCCCGGGACCCUUCCGGUGGUCCCGAUACAAUACCGGUUACCCCCGAAACCUUCCCGAUGGCCGAAACUGUACUUCCUAUAUAUAAAUCUUUACCUCCAAACCAUUUCAGAACUCCUCGUGACGCCCGGGAUCUCAUCCGGGACUCCGAACAACUUUCGGCUUACUACAUACUAAUAUCUAUACAACCCUAGCGUCACCGAACCUUAAGUGUGUAGACCCUACGGGUUUCGGAGACAUGCAGACAUGACUGAGACGCCUCUCCAGUCAAUAACCAACAGCGGGAUCUGGAUACCCAUGUUGGCUCCCACAUGCUCCACGAUGAUCUCAUCGGAUGAACCACGAUGUCGAGCAUUCAAUCAAUCUGUAUACAAUUCCCUUUAUCAAUCAGUACGUUACUUGCCCGAGACUCGAUCGUCAGUAUCCCAAUACCUUGUUCAAUCUCGUUACCGGCAAGUCACUUUACUCAUACCAUAAUGCAUGAUCCCGUGAUCAACCACUUGGUCACAUUGAGCUCAUUAUGAUGAUGCAUUACCGAGUGGGCCCAGAGAUACCUCUUCAUCACGCGGAGUGACAAAUCCCAGUCUCGAUUCAUGCCAACCCAAUAGACACUUUCGGAGAUACCUGUAAUGUACCUUUAUAGUCACCCAGUUACGUUGUGACGUUUGGCACACCCAAGGCACUCCUACGGUAUCCGGGAGUUUCACAAUCUCAUGGUCUAAGGAAAUGAUACUUGACAUUCGGAAAAGCUACAGCAGAUGAACUACACGACCUUUGAGCUAUGCUUAGGAUUGGGUCUUGUCCAUCACAUCAUUCUCCUAAUGAUGUGAUCCCAUUAUCAAUGACAUCCAAUGUCCAUAGUCAGGAAACCAUGACUAUCUUUUGAUCAACAAGCUAGUCAACUAGAGGCUCACUAGGGACGUGUUGUGGUCUAUGUAUUCACACAUGUAUUACGAUUUCCGGAUAACACAAUUAUAGCAUGAACAAUAGACAAUUAUCAUGAACAAAGAAAUAUAAUAAUAACCAUUUUAUUAUUGCCUCUAGGGCAUAUUUCCAACACCUACGUACCCCCAAACGAUCAUAUACGGAGCCAAAACCCUAAUUCCACCGCCGCAACUUUCUGUAUCCACGAGAUCCCAUCUUGGGGCCUGUUCCGGAGCUCCGCCAGAGGGGGCAUCGAUCACGGAGGGCUUCUACAUCAACACCAUAGCCUCUCUGAUGAAGUGUGAGUAGUUCACCUCAGACCUACGGUUCCAUAGUUAUUAGCUAGAUGGCUUCUUCUCUCUUUUUGGAUCUCAAUACAAUGUUCUCCCCAUCUCUUGUGGAGAACUAUUCGAUGUAAUCUUCUUUUUGCGGUGUGUUUGUUGAGACCGAUGAAUUGUGGGUUUAUGAUCAAGUCUAUCUAUGAAUAAUAUUUGAAUCUUCUCUGAAUUGUUUUAUGUAUGAUAGGUUAUCUUUGCAAGUCUCUUCGAAUUAUCAGUUUGGUUUGGCCUACUAGAUUGAUCUUUCUUGCAAUGGGAGAAGUGCUUAGCUUUGGGUUCAAUCUUGCGGUGUCCUUUCCCAGUGACAGUAGGGGCAGCAAGGCACGUAUUAUAUUGUUGCCAUCGAGGACAACAAGAUGGAGUUUUCAUCAUAUUGCAUGAGUCUAUCCCUCUACAUCAUGUCAUCUUGCUUAAGGCGUUAAUCUGUUUUUAACUUAAUACUCUAGAUGCUUGCUGGAUAGCGAUCGAUUAGUGGAGUAAUAGUAGUAGAUGCAGGCAGGAGUCGGUCUACUUGUCUCGGACGUGAUGCCUAUAUACAUGAUCAUACCUAGAUAUUCUCAUAACUAUGCUCAAUUCUGUCAAUUGCUCAACAAUAAUUUGUUCACCCACCGUAGAAUAUUUAUGCUCUCGAGAGAAGCCACUAGUGAAACCUAUGGCCCCGGGUCUAUCUUUAUCAUAUUAAUCUCCUACUACUUAGUUAUUUCCUUUGCUUUUUACUUUGCCUUUAUUUUACUUUGCAUCUUUAUCACAAAAAUACGAAAAAAAUUAUCUUUAUCAUAUCUAUCAAAUCUCACUCUCGUAAGUGGCCGUGUAGGAAUUGACAACCCCUAUUCGCGUUGGUUGCGAGGAUUUAUUUGUUUUGUGCAGGUACGAGGGACUCGCGCGUAGCCUCCUACUGGAUUGAUACCUUGGUUCUCAAAACCUGAGGGAAAUACUUACGCUACUUUGCUGCAUCAUCCCUUCCUCUUCGGGGAAAACCAAGGCAGUGCUCAAGAGGUAGCAAGGGUUCCUUUUUGUCGACGAUCCGAUGUUUCAACCCUGUUUUCCAGGUGGCCAACGCGUCGCUAAACUUGGUGACGGCGUGUUUGUUUAUCUUCUUCAUUGCCAGGUCCUUAUCUGGAUCUUUAUUAUCCUUUUCACUGCGGUCUGGGAACAAGAUUAUCUGGUGCAGUUUCUUAAGGAGGGAGGGCCUCAUAUUAUCUAUCUUCUGUAGUUUCCCAUCGUUGAUCGUGGCAGUUGUCCGUACGAUGCAACCUAUUUGAUUGCCGUAGCACGAUCGCGCUUCCUCGGGCGCUAUUGUCUCAAAAAUACCGCCGUCCAUCUCCGUGACCGCCAGUCUACUACUCAUGAGCUGGUUUGGGCGCUGUGGCCUCUUUGCUUUCGGUUCUAGACCAGCUCCGCUAGUCUCGGCGCCUGUCUCAGUUUCAUCAUCGGUCCGCAUGUCGGUAUCAGUCCCCGAUGCGACACCACAGUUGCUGCAACAUGGGUAAGGGAGACCACGUCAGUGGUGGGGGGUCUGAAAAUCAGAACACACUUUCGCGCGUCGCGGGCCGCCUCUCAGACAGCUACUGGGGAGGCGGUGGAGUACCUGGGUGCGCGGCGAAUCCCCGGGAACUCGGUGACCAACUUCCUUCCCGUGUGGCGCAUGGAGACGACGGCGACCCCGGCGAAGAGCAGCUUAGCCGCGAGCUGCACAGCCUCGUCCACCUCCUAAGUUGGGACCUCCGCGCGAGCGUUGCGGGGCCGCCACUCGGAUGGCUUCUGGAAGGCGGUUGUACAUGGGCACAUGGUGAAUCCCGGCGAGAGCUGGCCAUUGGCGCGCGCAAGUAGACGACGAUGUCCUCGAAGAAGAGCAGCCCGGCCAGCUCGCCUCACUAUCCUUUGAUUAGAAAUGAAAGAUUGGGAAGAAGCAGACUUGAGCCUGCAGGGAAAGGAUAAGGUGACGAUGCAGUCUCCACUCGUUCGGGGCGACACUCGUACUGAAUGUAUGAGAAACGUGACGUGGCAGAGACCCCAAGAUACUCCCUCCAUUUAUUUUUAGUCUGCAUAUAAAGUUUGGUCAAAGUCAAGAUUUGUAAAUUUUAACUAACUUUAUAAUAAAAAAAUAUCAACAUUCACAAUAUGAAAUCAAUAUUACCAGAUGCGUCAUGAAAUGUAUUUCCAUACUAUAUAGUUUUGGUAUUGUAGAUGUUCAUAUUUUUUUAUAUAUAUGGGAAGUAGAGGCACUCUUCUAUAUAAUGAAGUUUAUAAUAUAUGUGCUUAUAUUGUACUAUAAUUGUUUGAAUAACUUAGCAUAUAUUCAGAUGUAUGAUAUCUGUAAUUUAAACGCUUGAAUUUUACAUAUGAAUAUUUAUUAAUAAAUAUGUACCCCUAUAAUAGCUAGGCCGUGCAGUUGCACGGGUAGAUGACUAGUGAUUACAAUCUUGCUUGUGUGCAAGUCAAGCUUAUCUAGUUUACACGUAACAACUUAUAGAACAUUACAAAAUUUAUGCUUGCUAAUAACUUCUAGAACACUACAACACUUGACAUGUAAAAGGAAUUUGAUGAGUCAUGGCCUACUAAAGCAAGUUACAUUACUAGUCUUAUCUAUCUUAACAGACCACACAAGAUUACAAACUAUGUACCGUGACAGCCAUGCUUAUCUAGUUUAUGCGUAACAAUUUGCAGAAAAUUACAAACUUAGUUUCAGAAAGAUAGGCAAUCUAGAUUAGUGUUUGAGCUGUAAAGUGAAUAAGAUGAGUCAUGCAUGUCAUCACACCUUUUUGGUGGUGGAAUGAUAGUGCAACAACAAGGAACUUUAAUGACCAGUCCAAGAAUACACUUGUAAGUAGUGCCACCAAACAGAACAUACCAAAUGAUGAUUUUGAGAAGCAUCCAAGCACUUUCCACACAAACAAAUGCCAAUUGUGAAAGAGAUCAUUCCAUGGCAGCUAUAAAUAGCCCCAUAGCAUGACGAUCAUCCUUCCUCAUCCAUCAUUCUCAUAAGUAGAGCACAUCAUUUAAGCCAAGCAAGUUGUGGUCAAUACAAAUCCACCAUGAAGACCUUUCUCAUCCUUGCCCUCCUUGCUAUCGUGGCGACCACCGCCACAACUGCAGUUAGAGUUCCAGUGCCACAAUUGCAGCCACAAAAUCCAUCUCAGCAACAGCCACAGGAGCAAGUUCCAGUGGUACAACAACAACAAUUUCUAGGGCAGCAACAACCAUUUCCACCACAACAACCAUAUCCACAGCCGCAACCAUUUCCAUCACAACAACCAUAUCUGCAGCUGCAACCAUUUCCGCAGCCGCAACUACCAUAUUCGCAGCCACAACCAUUUCAACCACAACAACCAUAUCCACAACCGCAACCACAGUAUUCGCAACCACAACAACCAAUUUCACAGCAGCAGCAGCAGCAGCAGCAGCAGCAACAACAACAACAACAACAACAACAACAACAACAACCACAACAAAUCCUUCAACAAAUUUUGCAACAACAACUGAUUCCAUGCAUGGAUGUUGUAUUGCAGCAACACAACAUAGCGCAAGGAAGAUCACAAGUUUUGCAACAAAGUACUUACCAGCUGUUGCAAGAAUUGUGUUGUCAGCACCUAUGGCAGAUCCCUGAGCAGUCGCAGUGCCAGGCCAUCCACAAUGUUGUUCAUGCUAUUAUUCUGCAUCAACAACAAAAACAACAACAACAACAACAACAACAACAACCAUCGAGUCAGGUCUCCUUCCAACAGCCUCAGCAACAAUAUCCAUUAGGCCAGGGCUCCUUCCGGCCAUCUCAGCAAAACCCACAGGCCCAGGGCUCUGUCCAGCCUCAACAACUGCCCCAGUUCGAGGAAAUAAGGAACCUAGCGCUACAGACACUACCUGCAAUUUGCAAUGUCUACAUCCCUCCAUAUUGCACCAUCGCGCCAUUUGGCAUCUUCGGUACUAACUGAGAAGAAAAUAACUCUAGUACUAGAUAUAUGAAACACCGUUUUCUCAGUCCAUGGUUUGGUCGUUGUAGCGGUGAAAAAAUAAUGUGGCAUGCACUAUCAUGUAAGAACCCAAACUAUACUAGUUCAAACUUGGGAAUAAAAGACAAACACAGGUCUUGUCUACAUAUUUAUGUCGCAUCUAUUUAUAUAUUAAAAGUAAUAUAAGGUGAACCAGGAGCAAGGUAAAUAUGCUAGAAAAUUGCACGUUAAUUAGAAAUUACUAGCCCUCAAUCCGGUAAAUCUUAACAAAUAGAAUUAUCUUGACCGUUAGAUUUAUGUAACAUAUAUAAUUCUCUGGGCCUCCAACGACUGUACGUGACACAUCUGAACGCACAUAUGUUAAAGAAAAUAUAUUUGGUAAAUGGUGGGCCUCUUUAAAAAGAGAACUCACGUACAUGCACCAACUAAGAAAAACACAUACAUGUAAACGGGAAAAGGGCUCCACCCCGUUGAAAAAAUAUACAUCUGGAGGCCACUUUGUUUCCUCAUAAAAAAAAACUUACGUUAAAAAGAUUGCAUGCAUCCCAGGGAAAAUAGUCAAGAAGAAGUCGGACUCUUCCUUACAAAAACAAGGAACGUGUUAAGUUGACUUCAAAGAAAAAAGGAACAUGUUAAGUUAAAAAAAACAAGAAACCUGUUAAGUUAGAAAAAAACAAGGAACGUGUUGUCCUAGGAAAGAUAUGUGUCAAAUCUUACAAAAAAAAGAAUACACACACGUACGUUCAUGCACUUGGAAAAUAGAAAAAAAAAGGAACAUCACGUAUGUAUACACUUCGGAAACUCAUUACAUGACCAUGUCUGAUAUACUCCUCUAAUGCUUAAUAUUAGUGCCUAAUAAUUUAUAUUUAAAAUUUAAUUUACUGAUCAAAUAUCCCCACUGUUUAAAUUUUAAUUUGGCACAUUGUUUGGCUAUAGUAUGAACCUAAAUUUCCUCUUAUUAUUAUAUAUCAUGAUAAUAAUCCAAAGGCGACUAAUCUGCGCCGGCGCACCGGCGCAAUCAAUUCGGCCCGACACAGCGCGGCCGUUUGAUUAAAUUGCAUUUAACCGUCAGAUCUAGAAUCAUUUUAUUUCCAAUUAAACGGAUUCAACCAAACAGCAGAGGGGAAAACAAAGCAGCACCGCCGCCAACACUAGUCAUGGACGACCGAUGUAGCAAAACCUUGAAGAACCGCCGCCGGUCGCCACCCUCGCCGCUGGUCGCCGCCCUCGCCGCCUGCGUUUCUCAUCGGCUUCAUGCAUGCAACAACAUGCACUCGUGAUUGCAGGCUUGCAGCUCCGGCUCCGGGGGACAUGGCCGCAUCUCCGGUAGCGCCGGCCGCCAGCCGCAGCACCUGUCGUUGUGGUCACGCUGUACCUCGCCGUGUGCCCUCCCAAGGCUCUUGCUGGUUCCAACAAAAAACGAUACCUAUUGUAGCAAAAAAGUUUAUCGCUUCCAGCAAAAAAGCUUACCGCUAUAGCCCGCCAUCAUCAUUGUAGCAAAAAUGUUAACUCGAUGUAGCUUCUGUGGUUGCCGACUGCGGCCAAAAAUGACGUGGUUGUAGCAAAACACAAAAGAAAAACGCCGGCCGUCCGCUGUGUAUGGUGGUAACAAACCCUAUAGCCGGUGGUAGCGAAAAACUUCACUGUUUGCAGCAAAAAAAUGUUGUCGCCCGUCGUCGAGGUUGCAUCAUCUUCAUGAAUUAUGUCGCAAAAAAACGUUGUCGCCGGUAGUAGCAAAUGAAGCCGCCGGUAGUAACAAAACAAGACACUGGUUCCAGCCAAAAAAAUCAGCGACAGAACCUUUUGUUGGUUCCAACAAAAAAACUUGUCGGUUGUAACAUCCCUCGCCGCCGGAUGUAGCAUCUCCCAGGGCUAGUUGCAACACUCCAUAAAAAAAGUUGUCUAUGAGCGCAUCCAUGGCAACUGCUGCACCGUCAGCAACGAGGGGAAGAGGAGGCAAUGAAAAUCGUUCGAGUCGUAGCUCCACUGGACACGGCUGCAGCAUGGGGAGUCCAAAAAUCUGUCACAAGCAAGAUGCGCCUCGCCAUCCUCCUGCGCAGGAGAGAGAAGAAAAAGGAAUAAGAGGAAGAAGAAACGAAACGGGAGAAAGAAAAAAAGAAACGAUUGGUUGUGGGCUCAGGCAAUUAGUCAAAUGAGGGGCACGCGGGGCCGUAGGAUACAGCGCAAUCGAACGAAGUGCGCGCGUCCGGCCGAAGACUCAGCUGGACUGCCGGUCCAGCUGGAAAUGUUUCCCUAAUACAAAGGCUUUUCUGAAUGACAAGUCGUCUGAGUUAUCGGCUAACUAGAAAAAAGAUAAAUAUGCUAGAUAAUUCCAUAAUAAUUAGAAAUAUCUAGCCUUUAAUUAUGUAAAUCAGAAAAUCACAACCGUUGGAUUUACUUUAAAGGUAAAUUUCUCUAAAUUCCCACCAUUGCCAGUAUGUAGAAACAUGUGCUGCUUCAAUUCUCCCUUAAUCACCAAUCAAUCAACAACUGAAAACAUACCUCAGUUAAAAAAACUGAACAAAAAAAAGAAAAAAAGAAGAAAGGACAAGAUACACGCAUGUACACGACAGCCUUGGCUUGAAACACAUCAGUAGAUCAAGUGUCCGCCUCCCUUACACAGAAUAAAUUCUAGGGAAGAAAAUAAUAGUGCAACCUAACCUUAUACGUACUAUUCUAUCCUCACGUCCCAUGAGGUUUACUAGCCUACUGCCGCCGCAUCAUGCCAUCCUCUCCUUUCAGCUCCCUCCUUGCGGCGCCACUACUCGCCUAGGGAUAUUGCUGCUCAGACCGUGGAGCUUAACCUGCUUCUUCUUCAGCAAAUAUGGAACUGCUUUAGGAUCCUUCUGACAUCAGCGCGUAUGGGCCUCAUUAUACUGCAGCUCCUGGACCUCCUACAAUUGGUUGGCUAUGGCCAGUUGAUCGAUGUGCUGAAGUCCAGGUCUGUUUGCUGGCACAUAUGCUUUGGAAAUAGGCCACUAUGUUUGUACUUCGAAAUUGUUUCUGUAUUCUUCAGUGGUACAUCCUUUUAAGCGCCAGUUUUUUAUGUUAAUUCAUGCUGACAACACUUAACCUAGCCUUUCAUGUUCACGUACUAAAUACAGGAGCAAGUAAAAACAACAGACCACCUAAUUGCUCUGCAAGUUCUACAUAGGAAAAUUUGUCAUGUUCUACGAUCGCACCAUCCCACCCUUCUCUCUUGGUAUGGGCGCCAAUUGAGGGAUUGAUAAAACUGAAACGAAGACGUCACAGGGCUGGAAGUACCGCUAGCCUGGUUCGCACUGCAACCUACCCAACGCCAUCAGAAACUAGCAACUGAGUCAGGUGUUGAUCGAUUCUCUCAAAUUGCUCUCAUGUAAGUACUACCCCUUGCAUGUGCGUACAUACCUUUGUUGCAUUCUCAAACAGAUAGAACAUGUAUGAUCGGUGCAUGGCUAUUUUUCAUCACAUGACAUCCAGAUAACAAGCAUGAAAGGACUACAUUGGAGAUCAAAAAAUAUUGGUUCCUGGCUAGAGUACCACUACCUAUGGACUUGUCUCCAUAGAAUUUGUUCCCAAGAUGUUAUUUUAAUUAACCUCUUUAGCUUUCUUCCGUUGCAAACGGUGAUGUGCAUCAUGGUAUAUACGUGACCAUCUUGCACAUGUAUACACAAGAGGCUCAGACGGAGGUGCUGGAUUCUGGACGAGGGAAUAUGAAGCAGGAGUGAGCGAAGAGUAAAUAAUGGUGGGAGUACCGAUUGGUGUUAUGAAGAAAAAUGCCAUCCAAAGAUUGAUUAGUGUCAUGGAAGAUUAAUUUCUGAAUGCGAAUAUAUAUGUUACAUUGGUUUGGAUCUUUUUGAGAUAAUUGCACCUAAAUUAGGUUCUUUCUUAUUUCAUAUGUAUACCUUAUUUCAGUAAAAGUUCACAACGAACUUAGUAGGACAAAUAUAAUUUUGUUUGUUCUUUCUGUUGUCCGCCACCAAAGCUCAGUUUGAACUCUCUAGAAAUGGACAAUGAUUUAUGCAUUCUAUAUCUUCUUGAUUGAUUAGCCAUGACAAGGAAAUAAAAGGAUUGACUGAUAUAGCAUAACUUUGGAACGAUCUGUUCGUAGAGGUUACUACAAAUUAGAGUAGUGUCUGUUGGAAUUUUGCUAGUAGGCCUUUGGCCCAAAGCCCAACUAAAAUUCUGAAAUUCUCUUCGCUCAUUCAUGCACACAUGUGAGUGGAGUGAGUGAGACUAAAGUUUAGAGAGAGUUGCACCUCUUUAUAAGGUGAGCUCUUCUACCACUUGUAUGAGCAUGAGAAGAGGAGACCUAUACACGCGCUCCUCCUCCUCGCUCACCACGUCUCGUCACGCCGCGCCGCGCCGCGGAUUGCGGGAUUGAGCCGAGCCGAGGACGUUGUCUAUAUUUUUGCUGUUUGGGAAAAAUUAAUAAGUCAUUAAUUAAUAAUUAAUGGAUGCGUUAAUUACUGAACCAUUUUCGAUUCUUUUGGAUCGUGACGACUCGGACGUGGGGUUUACUCCCACGAUCUACCCGGCCCACACUAUAUAGUCAGGCAGACGUCUACCCUAGCCGCCGCCACUUCGUAUGGUUUCUCACCACCGUUACAGAUCGUUGCGCCGCCAAGCAAGUUUUCUCCAUUCCUCCUGUCGGCAUGCACUGGGAGAAGGGACAGCAGGCCUCCGGAACCCCGCCUCUCGUGAUCCUGUACGGGAGAGGGGCGAUCAGAUUUUUGGGGAGCGCACUCGCACGACUGCUGGCAGCGACGACUUCGCAAACGACGACUUCUUCCCCGACCUCGGCAACCUCAUCCUCGACUUCUGCACCGUAUGUUAUUCUAUCCUUCUUGUUCGAGAUCGUGGUAGAAUUCAGAUUUCUAGCAUGUUCCCUAGAUGUGAUUUGUUCAUCUACUAUUCUAAUUCGCAUGAUUAGUUUAAUCUUUGCUAUUGCUGUCAUGAUCUAUUUCCUAUUUAUUCGGAUUAAAUCUCGUAGUAAUUUGCUCAUUUUUCCAACAGUGCCAUCUAAUAGAUGAUGUAAAUCUCCUCAAGUUUGACGUUGUUGAGCUAAUUUACAAAAAAAACCUCAUCAUUAUUGGAUGUCCUUAACAGCUCAAGAACAAGUUGGGGUCGAAAUAAUGGAUUUUACACUUUUACAUUAAAGGUUUAGCUAAAGCAAGCAGGUGUUUUUAAACCUGAAUUUUUUUCCUCCUGAAUUUCUUUGUAUUUUCUUAUUGACACUAUUUAUACAAUCAUCUGACAAAGAUUAGCUAAAGCUGUUUGUAGAUACGUUCAAACCUGAAAAGCUUCUUUGGUUAUCCUUUUAAUAGUUCUACGUUUAUUUUCUCAUAGGUCUUAAUUCUUAUGUAAUACCAAGAUGCAUUGUGGUAGUGUACAUGUGUUAAAUUCAGGUUGUUAUUCACAAUUUGCGACAAAAUUUAGCUCACGCUACAUUUAAAUAUGUUGAAAUGUGAAAGCUCUUUUUCUUCUCCUUUCUACACCUUGCAUCGGAUUGCAUCCCUUUAGUUAUCCAACAUUUUGUACAACAUGUAGAGAUUAGGAAGUUCAUCAUAGUUUGUCUAUUUCCGUGCUAAUAAAUGUAUGAAAUCUGCAUUUCCAAGCUACUAGGACAAGUAAAAAAUAAUAAUUUUACUAUAGGAUUCAAAAACAGCAGUUCUGAAGUGCACUUUAUUUAUUUGUGAAAGUGAUCACAUUUUGUUUCAUUUUUCUAUAGACAAAUCUACUAAUACAUACUCACGAUAAAACUAUAAAAGUUCUAGUCCGCACAUUGGGCGGGCCACCCGGCUAGUUAGUCUAAAGAUAACAAAAUGAGUCUGGAAUUUGAAUUAAAUUGAAGUAUUUUCUUGGACUAUCCACAUCCUUGGCUUGCCCCUGAUCAAUUAUUUCCAGAGAAGCAUUCAAUUCAUCAAUCAAUUACAUUGAUUUUAGUGGCUGGUACUUCUCCUCGACAUCAGUAUAUUCACCGUGGCCACUCCAAAUCGGCAAGAAUGAGGUACCAGUGCUCUGGAGCAGUGCAAGCUAAUUGCUUCUCAUGUGAAGGGGUGCGGGCGCGGGAGAGGUAUUUCUGGUGGGCCAAGGGAUAAGAAGCGACCGUGGCAGCGGUACAGACGCCCGCAAAGCCCCAUAAUUUGUUUUUGGUUUACAGGAAAAAUGCACAUCCAUACCGGCCUGGGGAAUAUAGCACUGUAUUGCAUGGAAAACCAUGUCCGGAUGGUUGUGAGCGGUUUGAGGGUUAGCUUUUGUAACGCCCGGUUAGUUAUGCUAUAGCAAUUCCCUGCUAAUGAUGUCACGUCACCACGAUUACUGUUGUUAACCUCACAAUGAUUCAAUCCCGUUCAAAUUCAAAUUUGAAAUAAAGGUAAACAUCAAAAGUUUUCAAACAUUAAAACUAAAAUCUUUGAGAGGUGACAAAUAAUGCAUAAGUAAUUAUGGUGAAGAAACCACACUUUAAUCAAAUGUUUAAAUACUCUAAAAUGAAAAAAAAACAGUGACUUAAACUAUUAUUUAAAUGCUUUUAAAAUAGUAAAAAUCUUCUAACUAAAUUAUUUGGGUACCAAACUUUUGGUGGCAGUGGUAUAUUUAGUAGAACUAAUUUAGAUGCUAAUUAUAUAAUUUACAAAAUUAGAGUAAAUUGAAAAAUAGGAUAAAACGGAAAAAGGAAAGACAAAACAAAUAAAAGCAAAAGGGGGCAACCCCUCGCUGGGCCUCGGCCUAGCUGGCCACUAGACUAGCUAGGCUGGCCCCGCCGCCUCCCUUAACCCCCCACUCCCCAUCGAACCCAAGCCCGAUCGCCCCAUUUCCCACACACCCCCUCGCUAGUCUCCCCACCUCUUGAUCCCAUCUGGAUCGGGGAGGGUAUUGCCCCCAUCAACCCCGUUGCCGUCGCCGGAUCGCCCGCCGACGUCGGCAGGCCUCCUCCCCGUCGCCCGUCUCCGGCUCACCUCCCCUCUCGCUCCUCUUCCCCGACCCGAUCUGGAUCGUGAACGAGCAAUGAGCUCGAAGCCCCCCUUCACCAGCGCCAUCACCGUGCGCCACCACCACCACCUGAAGACCUCACCGUCGCUGAACCUUGCGUCGCCUCCUUGUAUCCCUCCCCUACUCGCAUCCUCAAGCCAGGCCGAGCCCCUUCUCGGCAACGCUGUGAGACGCCCCCGUUUCCCUCCUCUUUCCACCGCGUUCACCGCGCCGCCCGCCGUGCCCCUCGCCGUGCAUGAGCCCACCACCGCACCAGCCCCCGCUCCGCGCACGACCCUACCCGCGCCCGCGCCAUGAUCCCCUUUUCCGCCCUACCUUCACGCGCUCGCCGCGAUCCCCAUGCUCCCCCGCGCCCUCUUUCGGGGGCGCCGACUGCCCCUGUCCCGGUGCUCGCCGCCGUGCCUCGCCACCGCUCUACUGCUACGUUACUACUGCGCUGCGGCCGCCGCCUCUUCCCGCUGCUCCGCUAGCGCCGAAGCUCCCGGUUGGCUCCACCACUGCUCACGUUAAACCGCCGGCCUAAAUGGCCUAACCCUCGGCUAAUGAACCCCCACUAACCCACUGACACCGGGACCCACAUUCCCUAAUUAACCAUUUAAUAAAUUAACAUUAGUGUAUGACAUGUGCGUCCCCUGUUAAUUAAUAAUUUUACUGCUAGUUUUAUUAGUUUCUGUUUUUCUGCAUAUUUCUUUUGUAUUUGAACAGGCUUUAUACAAUAAUAUUUAGCGUAUCAUACACAUACAAAUGUAAUCAUAGCAUAUACAUACAAAUAGUCUCAUCAAAUCAUGUCAUCAUCAUAAUCAUCAUCCAUCACAAAGUGGUCUCUGGUCAUCAUCUCGAAAAUAGCGAUACAAGUCUCGAUUACUUGCAACUACAUCGUCAUCCAUCUAAACAAUGAUAUACACGAGAAGAGCUCUCACUAUGAGUGAGAGCGGAACUAUGCAGUACAUGAGUUUGUAUCCCUCUCUCGCAUUAGCGUGAACCUAAACUAACGACUGGCUGUUGCUCGGAAACCGGAAACCGGUACACCUGGGCCUGACACUCCGGCCACUCAUCGUAUACUCCUGGCGUAGCACUUCUUCGCCAUCGAUGAUCUAUGCACCUGCAUCGUCACAUGAGUCGAUGAUAUGCAACAUAUAUAGUUGAGCAACAGAAAGAGACAGACUUGGCAAAAAUAGAAGCAACAUAUCACAAGUAUAAAUAACAAAGUUAAUGUUUUGCAGGAUUACAACUCAACCCAUUGCAGAUUAGAAAACAAGCCCGUAUGAAUGCACAGGCUGACGACUAGUCUAUCUAUACCUAUACCUAUACCUAUACCUAUACCUACCUAUACUAAUUACAGACUCCCAAGGAAUUCCCACGUUAAUUAGUAAUUAGGAGUCGUUAAUCUUGUGGGACCAAAUUAUUACGACAGUCCACGAUCUCUUUUCUCUCUGUGUAAAAAAAGGUCCACGAUCUCUUUUCUCGGUUGUAAAAGAUAAAGGCAACUCAGGUCCACGAUCUCUUUUCACGGUUGUGAAAGAUAAAGACAACUCCCGUCUUCUUCUAAUCUAUAGUUCUAUACCUCCACGACCCCUUUCUCUCCCCAUUUAAAAGGAACAAGCUGAACCAAUAUCUAAGCAUGCAAUUGGUUCCUGUGCGGUCUUGACCUUCCAUCCGUCCACUGCUCGAUCGGCCCUCCCUCAACUACAAGCUGACAAGCCACCAUCGCCAUCCAGCGGCACGCCACCGUUCAUGCAUGUGUUUUUGCCCUUCAAUCUGAAGGAGAUGCGUUGGCUACUCAAGUAACUCUGUUUGUUUUGUUCAAACCAAUUUCGUUAAUUCGGUUCUUUGAUUAUCUAAUUGACAUGGCCUGUGAGUUUUGUGCUAGUGAUACAGGGCCUGUCUACUAGAUUCUCUCCUUGCAACUUCUAUUGUUGUCUCGAUUUGGUGUGGUCAAGAUCCUUGCCCCACCACAAGCAGCACCUUUGCACCAUCGGGGAAAUCUGUCAUAGCAAACAGAGGUAUGUAACAUGCUUUGGUGUUUUCCUCUUUCGUUUAGAUCACUAGAGUUGCUCAACCACACCAUUCAUUGAUUAGUAGUUGGCCUGAGAAGUUGCUCGGUCACCUGCAGCGUCUGAUCCCCUUCUUGACCCUCUCCUUCUGGUCAUUAUCCACCGGCAGGUCAAUGCAAAACGGAUCGUUCGUUGCCGCCACCUUGCGGAGACCGAUGUUUGGCUGCCCUCCUGCCAUCCUGGCACUCUGGUACCGGUCACUGUGCCGUUGUUCUAGAAGAACUAUGUCACACGAAGCGAGAUAUCUUCUUACUAAUCUGGAACAUAAGUGUUUCUUCUUACUAGGAUUCGCUCACCGGUGCAUUCAUCUCUUUUUGGAAAAUACGGCCUUCAUAUUUCACACGCCUAUACAUGGGUGCUGUCCCAACAAUAAUCCAUCUAAUCCAUGAUGCACAUUCAUGAAGACUGAUGUGACUGAAUUAAUAUAUCAAUCUGGUGCUUCCGGAUCAGCACUUGAAGAAGCAACCCCUUUAGUUCAUAAAUUUAUCAUACGAAAGUCAGGGGAAAAAUCAACUAAGUCAUGUGUGCUUUUCUAAUUAAUUACUAUACACUAAUUCCAUUUUUUUCAGUAGCAGGCUAGGAUACGUGGAUUGUGGCAGCACAGAAGUAAACCGAUGAGCUACAUUGGCCGUUCACCAGUCAUCGGAUCAGAAGCCAUGUCGACCAGAGGGACGGAACAGUUCUAUAUUAGGCGAUGGAUACAUGUGGAAGCAACUAAGCAUAUGUGGAUGCAUGUGAUCGCAUAGGUAAGGCCAUAGCUGUUCAAGCCCUACAGGAUCUUUAUUGCUGGUUUUAAUUAUGAGUUUACAACACCAUCUAUACAUACUACUUAUCCAUUUAUUUCCUUACCUUCUUUGUUUCUUUCUCUCCUUGAUCCCCUGUCAAAAGGGCAUCAACAUCCAUAUGCGCAACGGCACACGCAACAAACUAUGACUUCGGUUGCACGUCCAAUGGCAACCACAGUACAUGAUGAUAUCAUGUUUGCUGCAAGACGAAGUACAAGUUCAUAAUUUGGUCUUUUGCAUGGUCCCUUAGUAAAUUAUAUUUGUCCACAUACACCACAUACAUAAAAACAGGUAGAAGCGGUUGCAUGAUGAAAAUGUCCUCUCAAUAUGCAUGCCUAUGAAUACUAUCACCAGAAAGCCAAGGACUAACAAUUAUUCAGGGGUCAAGAUUGAAGACAGACGUCCAAGAUUGGCAGUCGGCCGGCCUAAGAGGGGCAAAACCGUUGUACAUUAUAUUGUAUGGACCUAGCAAGAUCCUAAAGAUAAGUGAUAAUGGAGAUCAUGGGGGCCACCCUUAUAACCAUAUGUCCAAAUGUUCUUAUUUGUUUAUUUUUCUUUUCUCUUUUCGGAAGAAUCCAUCCUGCCUCUAUGGUCAUCCUGACCACUUCGUAUUGUUAUCUAAUCUCCUCCCUUAAUUAAUAUAAAGAAUUACCGCAGCUGAAUUCACUAAAAAAAGUAUUCAGUUUAUUUUAAUUUAUUCAACUAUUAUGGCAUAUCAAUUGGAUUGCAAGUUCUUGGCGGUUGCAUUUGAAUCAUAUUUGAUGUGCACAAAGGCUUCAGUGUCAAGGUGGUCGGACGAGUAUUUAUGUCCAUUAUAUAUGUGUUAGCUUGAGAUCAUCAGGCACCUGUUAUGCAUCUGUCCAGUUAAAAGGAUGUUCAGACUCAGGCUUGCCCUACCAUAUAUGGCUGUGACACUCUGAACCAAGCAAGUUGGUCAUAUGUGUCGAGCACUAUUAACUCUUUGGAAGAGGAUCCACCAAGUACAGGAAACAAAUCAAAUAUCUUCUUAACCUUAUCACCAGAAAAAUUAGCAAGAGAUGAAUAGUAACAUUUUAAAGAAGAAAGAUAUGUUUGAAAAGGGAUAUAUAUUAUGGCGACGAUUAGAAGAGCCCUUGACGAAUGGUGCCUAGCCUGCGAAAGUUUCUUAUGAAUAUAGUCAACACUCUAUAUCAACUGUUGUAAGAUUUUAGAAAUAUUUUUGGGGACAUAUGAUACAUGUCUAUUAUACAUAUGAUUCAACAGAAGUUUGAUUGAAUACAUAUUUAAAACGUGACUGACUUCUAUAUGGACGGAGUAUUUCACAAAGGACUCACUGCCAACUGUGUGAAUAUUCCAAGAUAGUUAGUGCACAUAAAUGUUCAAAUCCAUAGCCUGCAUAAAUAUACAAAAGCAAUGUGUUAGACCACUACACAUGCUUCUGAAAGGAGGCAAAAAAAUGUAUGCUUGAUUGAUGACCGUUCAUGCAUGAAAUUAAUUUCUGAUUUCUAAUUAUUUUGGUCAUAUAAUGGAAAUAGAGACAUUAUAAAGAUCCAACAGCAUGCUAUCACACACGUGUGAACACAGACACACACAAAUAACAUUUGCCGAGCACUCACAAAUAAAAGGUGUGGCUACUCUUGGGUGUUCUACAGCUGGCUUAAAAAAACACGUAUGAAACAUGAUCCCCAAAAAUCUGAAAUUCGCAACAUAUGAAAAUCCACCCUCAAACAUAUUUCUGGUGUCUCAAUUCUUUUAGUUUCAGAUGGUAUGUCCAGCCAAAGUAGUUGUACACAUACAUUACUAUGUUCUAUUAUUUGAGAUUCUAAGACAACAUUUAGUAACUAGCCCGUGCGAUGCACGGGUUCACGACUAGUAUAUAUAAAGCUUAAUGGUGCCUAAGAAAGCUCGCACAAUUUUACAGUGGCUGUGGAGAUGUGUUGCCAAACUGAGACAUAAGAUUUUCGUUUGGCAUCCAGAGUUGCAGACCGCUUGUGUUAUCCUUAAUCCAUGGCCACUCUAAUUUUUCCGGCUGGGCCUUCCCUGUGGUACGGCAGCAAGGCUUGCGUGUGUAUAUGUUUCCUUUAACUACCACUAGCACAUAUGCCCGUGCGUGCGUUGCAAGGGGAGAGAUAAUGGCGUAUCCACCAAUAUAUCUAGCAGCAUGACCCAACAACAUCCGAAUGAUGUCACCCGACGACGGCAGGAAGGCACACACAGAGGUCUAGUAAAAACUCAACAAUUGUACGGGCAUGGUUAAUUCGCGUGAAUUCAAGGGUGUGAGAUUAGUUAGUGUUGGUCCCACAAUUGAAUUCGGGGGCUGAUUAGUUAGUGUGGGCCCACCCUUGAAUUCACCGGGGGAGACAAAAUAAUUAGGGUGAGGAGAGAUUUACGGGGCUUGGUCCCCAGAUGCGUUGCGGCAGUCAUUAUUCGAGCAUUGCAAUGCUCGCACGUGAGGAGCUCUUUUUCCAAUUGUAUAUUGAGAAGCAUUGCUACAGAUACAAUGUUUUUGAUACGUUUUUGUACGAUGAUCCUGAUCUUAAAGGGCCUUCUAAUUUUUAAAUCUUAAAGGCAUUAUUUGUAAGUUGUCGUGAAAAAAAUCUCGCUAAAAGGGUUAUGUUAGACCAUCUUCAGUACAUUAGAAAUAACGAAUUAUAAUUCCUUGGCAUUUGAACAAACAAUCCCUACUUAUUUACACAUACAAUACUUUUGGUAUGAUUUUGAAAUCUUGAAGGCAUUAUUUGUAAGUUGAAGCAAUUUUGAAAUCUCACUAAAAGGUCUGUUAGACCAUCUAUAGCUUUAGAAAUAACUAAUUAUAAUUUUGCAAAAAAAAGAAAUAACUAAUUAUAAUUCCUUAAGCAUCUGACCGAAACGACCCCGAUUUAUUGUCUGGGUAGUAAUUCCUUUGCAACAUUAUUCUCUCCUUUCUUGAAGGAACUCUUGCCUGGGUAGUAAUUCCUUUGCCCACGUAUUUGCAAGGUUAUUCUCUCCUUCAUUUUUACAGGAGCUCUCCUUCCUUAUACUAAUUGGUCAUUAUCCUCUCCUUCCUUUUUCUUUUUGCCAAACUCUCUUUCCAUAUUUAUGCCGCUAACCACGCCACUCUUUUUCCUUAUUUAUGCCCUUUGAUCACGCCACACAUCUCAUGAAAUCUAAGCCAUAUAUAUCACCCAUCUUUUUUCCUUAUUCCGGUGCUUUCCUCACAAACAGUAGUUCUCUAGGAUGCUUAACGAUUUUGAAACAGAAACAUAUAUAAAUCGGUAGAACGGGUUGUAAAGCAGCGAGGUGGUACUAAUUUAUAAAGAAACAAACCUUUUCUUUUUGUGUAAUGAUGCCUUGGUUCGGCUGGUUGCGUUGGGAAAAGGACCGGCGAAGUGGGCGAACCAAAAACGGAUAAAAUUACGGUGGUAAGAAGCGAUAGCCCUUUUAUUAGUAGGUAUGAGGAUGUCUAGGAUGUCUAGGAUGAGGAUUUACUGCACACAAGUGCGGGGGCACUCAGGUCCUGAUGCCGCCUUUUUAUUUUGGCUUCCGAUUUUCAAACUUCUAUAUCUUUUAAACAAAAAAUUCAAUUUAAGUUACGUUUUCAUAUUCGUGCUUCUCGCGGCCAGCGCUUUCAAAUAAGAUCCAUUUUGCAUACAUUUUGGUGGCUUUUGGAAACGGGCGAAUAGCUCCUAUGCGACGUUGUUGGUGUGUAUUGUCUCUCAUGCGACGUUGUUGGCUGUAAUAGCUCUCAUGCGACAUCUGCGUUGGAAAAAAUAGCUCCCAUGCGACACACCAUUUACGCGGCUAGUUGGCUGUUAGUUAGGCUGAGGUUUGGUUAGGACACUGGGGGUUAUGUGCUCUGACUGGUGGGGUCCACCUAUGGUCACGUAGACAAGAGUCAACCGUCCACGACUCGACCUGGGACUGUGUGACCGUGCUCGACUCACCCGUGCUGGACUGAGUGAGCGGUGCCGCCGUAAGCAUCUUCUCCGACAGCGGUUUCUUCUCCGCGGUGGUGGAGCGCAUUUCUCGGCAGCGGCAGAGCUAUUGCGAGGUGAGCCCGAAACCCUAGUCCCACUCCCCAGAAUUUUGGGGGAUCUGUGGCCUCAUGCUGCCCUCUGUUUCUUGGCGAUUUAGAAUCGGGCUCCAUUGGAUCCGGGGGUUGUUUCUUCUCCGUGGCCCGGUGGUGGAGCGCCUAUCUCUGUAGCGGCUAUUGCGAGUGAGUAUUUUCCAAACACUACUCGCAUUCCACUAAAUUUUGGAUAAAUCUGUGGCCUCAUGCUGCCCCUAUUUCUUGGCGUUUUAGAAUCUCGAUUGGAUAGGAGAUGGAGCGAGGGCUGGAUGAGAUGGAGCGAGGAGACAGUGCUUCAAAUCGGUAAUGCCACACUCUUUUCUUGGCGAUUUAGAAUCGAACUCGAUUUGGUAGUGACUGCCGCCGCUGCCUGCCAUUGACAAAACAGGGGAGGUUCAAGUUCUGCCACCACAUUCACAAUUAUAGUGGAAUUUUUUCCCUGUAAAGCCAAGCUCAGUGAUGGCAGUGUCCAAGACAUUGAUAGAGAUACCACCGUGAGGUUCGAUGUCGAAUUUGCAGAUGUUGAUCCCCAGGAAUUGGAGAGCAUGAAGGAGAAGGCCGUGGGCAAUUUGGUGGAGAGAAUUGGGGAGAAUAUUGUUUGGGGUCCAGAACAAGAGGUAUGUCUGCAACGUUUCGAUAACUAUAAUGGUGAAUAUGUGAGAAUUGAAGAUGGAGAAUCCAUGGUUGCUGAAAUUGAUCAGCAAGAAGGGUGGGCAACUAAACAAGUAACAUUUUAUGCAGAGCUAAUUGAUCUACAAACUCAUUCCAGAGUUGGUUAUGUGCAAUCAAAGAGGGCUGCACAGAUGGAAGAUGAUGAGUGGGUUUCACAAAAGAAGAUGUUGGCAUUGUUGACUGAACCGACUGUAGUAGCUGAAGAUACAGGGAUUGAUGCAGAUGGAGAGGAGGGAACCCAUGGUGCUAGGAAGAUUGUUGUUGACUGGAAUGUAGUAGAGUUGAAUGAAAAAACAGAUUUGGUCAUUACACCAAUAUCUGACAUUGAUAUGGCCGAAAUGUUUGGCAUUCAAGUUGAUGACAAAGAUAAGGAGAAGGAUGACAGUUCUUUGCCUGCUGAAGGAACAUAGGCCCUAGAAAUGCAAAUGAGGAUGAAGAACAGCUGAUGAGAGAGGCUGCAGAUGAUGUGGAUGAUGCAGAUGAUAAUGAGUUGGUUUGUUUGUAUGACAAAGAGAACCCAGUUAUUGAGGUGGGAAAGUUGUGGCCAAGCAUGAAGGAGUUUAGGAUGUCUUUCAGGACCUAUGCAGUGAAAAAGAGUUUGAUGCCAAGACUAUGUGGACUGAUUGAAAGAAAUUUUAUGCUCGGUGCAAAGGUUAUGAUGGUGGUGGCAAUCCUUGCAAAUGGUACUUGUCUGCCAGACUACAACCUGAUUGAAGUACAGUAAGGGUAAAUCAAAUACCACACCAGCAUACAUGUAUGACCACUUCACAGAGAGUUUCAAAGAUGACAUCACAGCUUUGGGUUACAGAGAAGAUUACUCCUAUUUUAGCCAAGACUCCAAACACUACUGCAAAGAGGCUUAAAGUUGACUUGGAGAAGCUGUACCCCAUCCAGCUGCAAUAUACCACAGUGUGGAAAGCAAAACAAAGGGCCAUGAAAUCAUUGUAUGGUGACUGGGCAAAUACAUUUAGGAUGUUGUAUAGUUUUAAAGCAGAGGUGGAGAAGAGGUCACCUGGGAGUGUGGUGGAGAUAGAUACAGAGGUAACAGAGGAUGUCAUGGUUUUAUUCAGCAAGUUUUUUAUGUGUUUGAAGCCAUGCAUAGAUGGAUUCAAAGCAGGUUGUCGUCCAUAUUUGAGCAUAGACUCAUCUUUUUUGACUGGAAAGUGGAAUGGUCAGUUGGCUGCAUGCAAUGCUCUAGAUGGACGCAACUGGAUGUUCCCAAUUGCAAUAGGAAUGUUUCAAUCAGAGACAGAGGCAUCAUGGAUAUGGUUCAUGAUGCAACUGAAAAGAUGUAUAGGGCCAGUUUCUCCUUUAGCCAUCCACACAGAUGCAUGUAAAGGGUUCGAAAAUGCAGUAAAAAAUGUUGUCCCCCAUGCUGAGCAGAGGGAGUGCUUUGGACAUAUGUGGAUGAAUCUGAUAAAAAAAUUAGAGGAGAUGAAUUUGGGCGCAUGUGGCCAGCAGCAAGAUCCUACACCAGACAGACACAUUCCUAUCACCUUGGUAAGAUAUUGGCAUCAUGUAGUGAUAAUGAAUUUGCUUCAUGGUUGAACACCCGCCAUUCUCUGUUGUGGUAUAGAUCAGGUUUUAAUACUGCCAUAAAAUGUGAUAAUAUCAAUAACAACUUGGCAGAAAGUUUUAACAACAAAGUGAAGGAUUUGAAAGACUUGCCUGUGCAUGACAUGGUGGACCAAAUAAGGAUCAUGAUCAUGCGUUUGUGGGAGUUGAGAGGAAAAAUUGCUAAUAUUUUGGAAGGGGACAAGCUUCCAGCAGUGGUACAAUAGGUGGUCAACAGGAGUAGAAAUCUUUCACAUCUAUCUGUUGAGAAAUCUUCCUUGUGGGGUGCUGAAGUUAGAGAUACAAAGAGUGGCAAGAGGCAUGUGGUAAAUACUGAGUUGCAUGAGUGUACUUGCCGAGAGUGGCAACACACUGGAAAACCAUGUGAGCAUGCCAUACUUUUUUUGGCAUCUAAACCCAGGUUAAAUAUGCACCCAUAUUUGCAUGAGUAUUAUUCAGUACAAAAAUUCAAAGCUGCAUAUGCAAGUCCAAUUCCUGCACUGACUGACCAAUCUCAGUGGCCUGAGGUGGAAAUAGAAUUUACCUUGUGUCCCCUGUCACUAGAAGAAAGGCUGGGAGGCCUAAACAGAGCAGAUUCAAAGCUUGGUUUGAGAAAGGUGGUUGUAGUAAGAAGGGGAAAAAAGAAAAGAAAAAGAAUGAUAAGCCCAAAAGGGCUCAAAAAGGUAAGAAAAAUAGGUGCAAGUUGUGUGAGGUACUUGGGCACAGAAUUGGUUCAUCCAAGUGCAUCUAUACUCCUCAGAGGACAAAGUAUGUUCAUGUUACUGUUUUUACAAGUUUUUGAUUUUGUUACUUGUUCUAGUAUCUAACCAAGUCAAAUGCUUUAUUUUUUAGGAGGAAGCGUGCAGAAAAAGCCCCACCUCUUGUUGUUGAACAAUGCUGGCCAGUGAAAAAAGCAAGACUCAAUGGCUAUAUAGAAGGAAGAGCACUAAGCAGAUAAUGUUUGGUGACAAAGAUAUGGAGCUAACUGAAACUGUUACUGCUGAACAUGAGCUAAGUGUUUCUGUUUUGGACGAUGUGAUGCAUACUGAAUCUGUUUUGCAGACGCUAGGGCAAUCUGAAACUGUUGCAGAUGAAGCAACGGUUGUGCUGCCAUGCGAAUCUGCUUUGACAACUGUGUUGCCAUGUUUGGAGGUUGUGCUGCCAAGUGUUGAGUUGCAAACUGAAGUAGUUGAACAAUUUGUGCCAUCUACUCAAUCUGCAGAAGUGCAAACUGAAGAAGUGCAAACUGAAGAAGUGGGACAUGGUCAGGUGAAAAAGUUGAGGGGGCCUAGUGGAGUUUGCAAGGGGCCAAAAAGCAAGAGCAUCAACAUCAACAAACUAUGCGCCGUGGAACCAAACGAUGGAAAAAAGCAGAAGAAAUCGAGUGGUAGAAAGAAGCAAAAGAAAUAGAGUCGAAAUCAUUCAAAUUUGAUGUGAAAACUUAAGUUUGUUGUCAUUUGAUGUGAAAACUUAUGUUCUUUCAUGUGAAAACUUAUGUGCUAUGAUGUUGAUUUGACUUGAAAUAAAAUUCAAAUUUGAACCGACAUUCAAAUUUGAACCUAUCUCCAAAUUUUUUUGAGUUCAUUUGUUUGUUCUGUGAUGUUGCAUCGUUUUAUGUACUACUAUGCACUUUGUGAAGUCCAACUCAUAGUCACUGAAAAUGCUGUACAAACAGGCUCCAAAGUAAGGGAAAACGGCCCCAUUUCUAAGCAAGUUUUUUUCGAUCUUCUCAAAAUCACCCAAAAAAGAUUUUCUUAGCUUAUAUUAUACCUAUAUAGGAUCAAUACAAAGUCUCACCUUUUUUGAAUAAGUAUUCAUAUUAUUUAAUUUAUUUUUGAAAAAACACCCUUUAAUACAAAGUCAGCAAUAAAACAAGUUUAAAAAUUUUAAAUGCAAAAAUAACUUCAGAUCCUCCUUAGUCACUCUAAAAUGAAGCUAAGGUGAUGUUUUUUGAUUUUUUUGCAUUUUCAAAACCUCAAACCCUCUUCUCACUCCUUUGAACUCUAUGCAACCUCAGUCGAGAUAGUCCAAUUUGUGAAGGUUUUUUCAUGCAAAGAUCAUUAGAUCAAGUUUAUCAUUUUAUAUCAUAACUAUGUAACAUAAAAAGGCUAUAUGCGCAGGUUUUUCAUUUUUUAGAUUUUUUUGAAUUAGUUAUACACAUUUGAAUGUUCGGUCAAACCUUUCAAAACCCCGUUGACUGCCUCAAAACCCCAUGUAACCCUAGCGCCAAACGUCCACCGUCGAUCUAACCCUAACGCCAAACUGCGGCCGUCGGAUGGGACUUCUAGAAGGAUUCCGCGGGGGCGAUCCAUGGGCUCCAAUCUGAUUGGCCAUUGUUUUUUCUCUCUGACGAACAGAUAACGUUGAGCGGGGGAGCAUCUAAGUGACCGUUGGGCCGAGUGGAUUGGGCCUGGCAAAGCCUGGCGUGCGUGCACACGGCUGUUGAGAGGGGGGAUGGGCUGCAUGCGAGCGGGUCAAUGACAUGUGGGCCAUCCUUGUCCCAUGCAUGCCAUGCAACGUCGCAGCCUAGCUAUUCUUUGCUCGUGAAAGCCUAGCCAUUUGCAUGCGGGCUUGCAUGCACGCAUCGACGCAGAGUACGGCAAGGGUGCAGCGUAUAGGUACGUCGCAUCUAAGCUAUUUUAACAAAUGCAUGUUUGAACGAGAUGGACGCGUCGGUGGUGCAGCUCCUUUUUCAGUGUCACGCGCGGAUGAACGGGCCUGUUUCCCAUGCGGCAUCACCGCCGAUGCAAGUGCCCGUGCCUCUUUGGAUGCUCUGGCCGCCGUUUUUUGAAUUAAUGCCCGCAAUUACUUAUGCCAUGCGAACGGAGAAGAGAAAAAGAUCGAGAAGGGGCACCGUGUACACAUUGACCAUGGUUGCAAUGCGGCUAUAAAAGGGCACCAUUUCCUCAUCCUCUCACACUCAUCUCUCAAGCCUCCUCCCCUUCUUCUUUUCGAGCCAAAUCCACCACUCGAGCCACCAUGCAGUUCAACGGCCCUACCUACCGUCGCCCUUGCACCGUGCCGGAGAGGCAGUACCCAGCCGGAGUCGUCGUGGAGAACAGCCUGAGGGUGUGGGCCAUCUCUAGGUGGAGGGGCCCUAGAGAGUUGGCUCGCUUCUUCCUCCAAGCUGGCUACCGCCACCUCCCUCCGGGCACUCCGCCCAUGUUCCACCUCCACGAGCAGUACGAUGGCAAUGCCGGCCCCGACGGCUUCGUCAUCGGCCUCUAUGUCACCUUCACCAACCCCUACGACGCUCACCACCUCCCCGGGGAGGUGUUCUGGUGUGGAUGCGAGUUUAUCGCGUUCACGACCUACAACAUCUUCACCAACUUCCACCACAUCUUCCCUCACCACAACGGCAUGCACACCCUCCCCUAUCAGAUGCCGGAGGACGACGAGUGAGGGGCCCAAGGAGGAGGGUCCAAGGAGUGGCAAGGAGGAGGGGCCAAGGAGUUGUUCAAGCGGCGAGUCUUCUAUCUAUCUAGUUUGGGGCUCUAGUUUGUGUUUGUGUUGGUUCGGGCGUGUGUGCCCGUGUCUUUUAUAUAUCUAGUUUUAAUUAUUUUACUUUCAUGUUUUAUGAACUAUAUGUAGUGGGGGGAUGCCCCUCUAUAAGUUUUAUCUAUCUAUGCUACUAGGGUACCCGAUGCCCCUCUAUCUAUCUAUAUGUUUUUUCGGUCCUAAAGUUUCUCCAUUGCAUUUUAUUUAUGUGGCCAUGUGUACUAAAAAACAAUUGAUCUGGUAUCUAAAAUGUACGUUACCAAGAAAUUGACAAUAAAGAUUAUAUACUGUACUACAUAAUCAUACAGUUGGUAUACAAUGCAUUUGAAGACAAUGGGCAAGAAAAAUGCUAAUUAUCUGGUGCUGGUGACAUGCGUAAGUGUUGUCUGAUGUUUAAAUCAUGCUUGCUAUGUCAUUUUUUGCUGCCAAACAUGGCAUUAGCGAGAAAGGUCAUUUGGGCACUGAAUGUAUUAAAGUAUACACCAUAUAUAAAAAUGUCUAGCCAAAAGAUUUGGGUGUACAACUGUACACCAAUGACCAAGUAUGGAUCCGCCCCUGGUUGUAAGGGGAUGCCCCUCUAUGUUGUAAGGAGAUGCUACUAGGGGCACACUAGAUGUCUUCUUUUUUUGAGAGAGGCACAACCUUUUUCGGUUGAAACACACGAGUAAAAACUUUGAAAACACCAUAGCACAAGUAAAAAAAUAUAUUAAGAAAUGGUGCUUGGUUGAAAUAAACUAGAACCAAACAAUUGCAACUUUCUUGGUUCACAAAGACUGCUCAAAUAAUUAUCUCAAAUAGCUUAUGCAUAAAAAUAUCUCAAAUAAUUAUUAGAUGAGUUAUCUCAAAAAAGGUGACUGCAGGAAACUUAAAAUUUGUGAAAUGAUCUAAAGCCGAAAAGAUAUAUCGAUGAAUUAUCUCAAAUAGCUUAUGCAUAAAAAUAUCUCAAAUAAUUAUUAGAUGAGUUAUCUCAAAAAAGGUGACUGCAGGAAACUUAAAAUUUGUGAAAUGAUCUAAAGCCGAAAAGAUAUAUCGAUGUCAAUGACCGUGUGCACUUUUUUUGCACUCCUUUUAUCAAUGGGCCUGGAUAUGUUCUAUUCGGCCCUGCCUAACUUCUAUAUGGGCCUGGCCUUUUCGGGCAACUAUGGACGAACCUUUUUUUUCCUUUUCUCCCUCUACCACUGAAACUGAAACUGAUGACGAACUGAAGAACUAAAAAACGGGGCCGAAACAGAGUGGAGAGGACAUGCUGAAUUCGUACAACGCAACACUUUUAUUCAAAUAUACAUAUCAUUAGGAUUACAAAUGAUGCCCAAUCUAUUCACUUACGACUAAUUAUCAUCACAUAAACAAAUGCGAGAGCAAUUACACAAACAUAAAAAAGUCCGGCCAUCAGCCCCAUCAAAUUGCCCUGCUUCUGCAAUUUGAUGAGUUUCUUCAUCUGCUUGUUUAGCUUCUUCAGCUCUGCCGUCACUACUGCAUCCCCCACAGUAGCCCCAAUGGAAUGGGCACAUCCAGGGGCCCCAGAUCCAGAAGCGCCCGAUCCAAACUUGCCCAACUUCUCCACCUCCAGCGGUAAAUCGAGCUCCCCUGAUGCACCCUCCAGUUGAAUCCGCUCUAUGUACUCAUUUAGCCACUCAAAAUGGGUGCAUUGCUUCAAUUUCUGAAAUUGGAAAGAUGAACCCUAAAUCCCAAAUCCGAUGAAAAAUGGGGAAAAAUUGUGAUAUGAAAUUGGGAUACAAAAACCAAAAUUGGCAUAUUGAGAAGUAAAAUCUCACCUUUCCCUGCUCUGGUUUGCUCUCGCAUUUCACGAAUUCCCGCCCAAGGUUGCCAUUCUUGUCGGUCGUUGUGACUAGCCGCUUCAGGGGUGUGAUACGUGGGCCUGCAGGGCACCUUGUCAUGGGCACUGCGCCAUAGCGCGGCCAUGAGCGGCGGGAGGCUGAAGCGGAGCUCGACAUUGCUAGGUCGCGGCCCGGAACGGCGUUGCUGCGCGUCGUCGCCGGAGAAGAAGAACAACAACGGUCGGGGAGGGGGGGUGGGGGCGGGGGCGAGGAUGGGCCACGGCUCGGGCCACGGCUCGGUGUCCUCUUGUACCAAUGCUGACCUGGAUAAGUUAGUGGGUCCCACGCAGUGGGUCCCGCUCACCUGACCAAUGCUGAGUUGGAUAAGUUAGUGGGUCCCGCGCUGUGGGUCCCGCUCACCUGAUUCGAGUUUUAAACAUGUGUCUUUGGAUUAGACAGCAGUGUCGCAUGGGAGCUAUUUUUUCCUAUGCAGAUGUCGCAUGAGAGCUAUUACAACCAACAACGUCGCAUGAGAGACAAUACACACCAACGAUGUCGCAUAGGAGCUAUUCGCCCUUUGGAAACAUUGCUAAGUUUCAUUGUUUGAAACUUAGUACGAGCGACCGAUAAAAUUUAAUUAUUUUGUGUCUACGACCAACAGGAGAAAUUGCUUAAAAUUACAUCUUUGAAACUGGUCAUUUUUUGAUGCAAAAAUGUAAGUUUCAUCAUUGAAACUUAAGGGCAUGUCCAAUGCUGGAUGCUUAUCCAGGCGCUUAUCGUGUGGAAAAAAAAAAUGCCACGAAGUUAGCUCUCGCUUGUCCAACAGCCAAUGCUAACAACGGGCGCUAACCACGGCUGGAGCUAUAGAUUAGAAAGAAAGAUCUGGUUCACUUGUACGUGAAAAAAGGAGCAAGCGCUCGAUGCCUUGCUUUGCAUCGAUGCCAGACUGAGGUGCUGGGAAUCGACAAGAUAACCGCCAAUCUACCAGGAUUAAAUUCCUAGCGCCUUCUUCUAGCGCCUCCCACUGAAAAUGCCCUAAAGGUUUUUGAGGGAUUUUUUUACUGUGUCCUACUUCACGUAUCACGAGGCAAAUCAAGUAGGCGGCAUGGCCUGGCCGGUGAGUGCCAUUGCACUUACUUGCCCCAGCGAUUUUCCGCCUGCAUUGUAGAAUUCUUUCUCCGAGUCCUGUGAAUUAAAGAUGGUGCAGACAAAAGUAUAUCCUAUAUGCGUACAUGUGCAUGAUCAGAACAUGUUUUUACGUGCGUCUACUAUAAAUCAUGACCAUUUUUAACACAAAUCAUGACCAUUCAUGAUUAGUGAAUCAUACUGUCUUAACUUAUGUGAAAUCAUGUGGAGUAAUAUAAUAUAAUAUAAUAGAUAGAUAGAUCCAUGUUGUAUCAUUACACAUUUUGAUUUAUGCAUUUGUUUACAAAAAAAACAGUAAAAUUUCAUGGUGAAAAGUUUGUAUUGUUUCAUACUGAACACCAAUGUUUUCCCGUAAAAGAAAAUAAUGCCUACGCAUAUGCUUUUAUAUUAUUAUUAUUCUUUCAAACUUAUUCAUAUAGUAUUUUUGAUUGUGCAACCAUAAUUUUUAUUAUCUCUCUUGUUCCACUACAUGCUCUUACUCAAUGAUUUUUUUAUAAUGGGUGUUUUUAUUAACUCAAAAUAUAGCAUCAAGCGGAUACAAAACAUAACGAGCCACGUCCGGUCUCUGCAUAACUAAGAUGCACACAGCCAAAAGCAGAAGUCUGACAAAAAUAAGAUAAGAAAAUCAACAUAUCGACAACAGUGAGUCAUAUAGUUCCGACACUAUGCCUCUGUUGAAGGACGGGGUGGAGCGAUCUGGAGAUUAUGCUUCCCUCCAUUUUGAGUAAAUACCUCCCUGGCCACUUGUUCCAACCGCAUAGACGCCGCCACGAAUAAUGGUUGGUACUCUGUUCGGUGUAGCAUACACCAUGUAGGAAGUGAGUGCUCACUCCUAGUUACUAAAUUAUGUACACACUAGUAGAAAAAGGGCCAUUUGUCCCGGUUCGUAAGGCCCAUUUGUCUCAGUUAGGGAACCGGGACUAAAGGGUCGGUACUAAAGCCCUACACCUUUAGUCCCGGUUCUUACACCAACCGAGACAGAUGGGGCUCCACGUGGCCGCUGCGGCUUGCCAUGGCAGGGGGGCCUUUUGUCCCGGUUGGUAGCACCAACCGGGACCAAUAAGCUACCACGCGUCAGCAUUUGAGGGGCUUGGGUUUUUGUUUUUUUCUGAAGGGGGGGAGGGGGGUUGGGGGUUUUGGGGGGUUUUGUAUGGUUAAUUUUGGGGGGUUUCAUAUAUAGUGUUAGGUAGUAAUUAAUUAAUAGAGAGAAGUGUCCUCUCUUAUCUCCGUGCUUGGUCGACGCUACGUACUAUACGUAUAGAGAGGCCCUCGACACGCUUGCCAGUAAGCAAAUGAAGGAAACCAUUAAGUACAGAAGUUCGUCAUGAACAUAUGCAUACAAACAUAAGUGAUAUCGACCUCUCCUUCUCCGAGAGAUAGGUCGAAGAACAAGUUUCCGUAUAUCUAUCCGGCGCUACUAGCUACAUAUAUACAAUAUUAAGAUCUCUUACAAUAUAAUCCCCUAAUUAUAUAUGAACUCAGCUUCCAGAUGGUAUUCUCCGGCUUUAUUGAUGACGUGGUCAAGAAAGAAUCCCUCCAAUUCCUCUUGAAUUGCUUUGAUGCGAUCUUGUGGUAGGAGUUCAUCCUGCAUCUGCCACAUCUAAUUUGAAGAAGGGGGUCAAUCACUAGUGGAAUAACAGCCAUUUGUCUAGGUUCGUAAGGCUCAUUUGUCCCGGUUGGGGAACCGAGACUAAAGGGUCGUUACUAAAGCCCUACACCUUUAGUCCCGGUUGUCGGUGUCAAAACCGGCGGAUCUCGGGUAGUGGGUCCUGAAUUGUGCGUCUAGGCCGGAUGGUAACAGGAGGCAGGGAACACGAUGUUUUACCCAGGUUCGGGCCCUCUUGAUGGAGGUAAAACCCUACGUCCUGCUUGAUUAAUAUUGAUGAUAUGGGUAGUACAAGAGUAGAUCUACCACGAGAUCAAGGAGGCUAAACCCUAGAAGCUAGCCUAUGGCAUGAUUGUUGUGUAUGGAGUUGAUUGCCUACGGACUACAACCCUCCGGUUUAUAUAGACACCGGAUAGGGUUAGGGUUACAUAGAGUCGUUUACAAUGGUAGGAGAUCUUGAAUAUCCGCAUCACCAAUCUUGCCUUCCACGCCAAGGAAAGUCCCAUCCGGACACAGGACGAAGUCUUAAAUCUUGUAUCUUCAUAGUCCAGGAGUCCGGCUGGACGUAUAGUCCGGCUACCCGAACACCCCCUAAUCCAGGACUCCCUCACCGGUUCUUACACCAACUGGGAGAGAUGGGCCUCCACGUGGCCGCUGCGGCGAGCCCAGGUAGGAGGUCCUUUGGUCCCCGUUAGUGACACUAAUACGUCUCCAACGUAUCUAUAAUUUUUGAUUGCUCCAUGCUAUUAUGUUAUCCAUUUUGGAUGUUAAUGGGCUUUAUUUUACACCUUUAUAUCAUUUUUGGGACUAACCUACUAAUCGGAGGCCUAGCCCAAAUUGCUAUUUUUUGCCUAUUUUAGGUUUUUGAAGAAGAGGAAUAUCAAACGGAGUCCAAACGGAAUGAAACCUUCGGGAACGUGAUUUUCUCAACGAACAUGAUCCAGGAGACUUGGAGUGUGCGCCAAGAAAUAAGGGAGGAAGGCACGAGGCAGGGGGGCGCGCCUACCCCCCUUGAGCAUGCCCUCCACCCUCGUGGGCCCUCCACUGCUCCACCGACGUACUUCUUCCUCCUAUAUAUAUCCACGUACCCCCCAAACAACCAGGAGCACCACGAAAACCUAAUUCCACCACCGCAACCUUCUGUACCCGAGAGAUCCCAUCUUGGGGCCUUUUCCGGAGGGGGCAUCGAUCACGGAGGGCCUCUACAUCAACUGCAUGGCCUCUCCGAUGAUGUGUAAGUAGUUUACUUCAGACCUACGGGUCCAUAGUUAUUAGCUAGAUGGCUUCUUCUCUCUCUCUUUGGAUCUUAAUACAAAGUUCUGCUCGAUUUUCUUGGAGAUCUAUUCGAUGUAAUCUUCUUUUGUGGUGUGUUUGUCGAGAUCCGAUGAAUUGUAGGUUUAUGAUCCAGAUUAUCUAUGGACAAUAUUUGAUUCUCCUCUGAAUUCUUUUAUGUAUGAUUCGUUUAUCUUUGCAAGUCUCUUCGAAUUAUCAGUUUGGUUUGGCCUACUAAAUUGAUCUUUCUUGCAAUGGGAGAAGUGCUUAGCUUUGGGUUCAAUCUUGCGGUGUUCGAUCCCAGUGACUGAAAGGGAAGCGAUAUGUAUUGUAUUGUUGCCAUCGAGGAUAAAAAGAUGGGGUUUAUAUCAUAUUGCAUGAGUUUAUCCCUCUACAUCAUGUCAUCUUCCUUAAAGCAUUACUCUGUUCUCUUGAACUUAAUACUCAAGAUGCAUGCUGGAUAGCGGUCGAUGUGUGGAGUAAUAGUAGUAGAUGCAGAAUCGUUUCGGUCUACUUGUCUGGGACCUGAUGCCUAUAUACAUGAGCAUACCUAUAUAUUCUCAUAACUAUGCUCAAUUCUAUCAAUUGCUCGACAGCAAUUCGUUUACCCACCGUAAUACUUAUGCUCUUGAGAGAAGCCACUACUGAAACCUAUGGCCUCGGGGUCUAUCUUCUAUCAUAUUAAUCCUCCAAUACUUAGUUAUUUAUAUUUCUAUCUAUUUUACUUUCCAUCUUUUAUUUCUCUUUAUCAUAAAAAUACCAAAAAUCUUAUCUUAUCAUAUCUAUCAGAUCUCACUGUUGUAAGUGACCGUGAAGGGAUUGACAACCCCUUUAUCGCGUUGGUUGCGAUGUUCUUAUUUGUUUGUGUAGGUUCGUGGGACUUGAGCGUGAUCUCCUACUGGAUUGAUACCUUGGUUCUCAAAAACUAAGGGAAAUACUUACGCUAAUUUACUUCAUCACUCUUUCCUCUUCAAGGGAAAACCAACGCAAUGCUCAAGAGGUAGUGUCGGUGUCAAAACCGGCGGAUCUCGGGUAGUGGGUCCCGAACUGUGCGUCUAGGCCGGAUGGUAACAGGUGGCAGGGAACACGAUGUUUUACCCAGGUUCGGGCCCUCUUCAUGGAGGUAAAACCCUACGUCCUACUUGAUUAAUAUUGAUGAUAUGGGUAGUACAAGGGUAGAUCUACCACAAGAUCAAGGAGGCUAAACCCUAGAAGCUAGCCUAUGGUAUGAUUGUUGUAUAUGGAGUUGAUUGCCUACGGACUACAACCCUCCGGUUUAUAUAGACACCGGAUAGGGUUAGGGUUACAUAGAGUCGGUUACAAUGGUAGGAGAUCUUGAAUAUCCGCAUCGCCAAGCUUGCCUUCCACACCAAGGAAAGUCCCGUCCGGACACGGAACGAAGUCUUCAAUCUUGUAUCUUCAGAGCCCAGGAGUCCGGCUGAAGGUAUAGUCCGGCUAUCCGAACACCCCCUAAUCCAGGACUCCCUCAGUAGCCCCUGAACCAGGCUUCAAUGACGACGAGUCCAGCGCGCAAAUUGUCUUCGGCAUUGCAAGGCGGGUUCCUCCUCCAAGUCCUUCAUAGAAGAUUGUAAGCACCAAGAGUAGUGUCCGGCUCUGCAAAAUAAGCUUCCACAUAUCGCCAUAGAGAGAAUAAUAUUAACACAAAUCAAAUCUGCUGACGUAUUCCGCAGUGCGUCAUCACACUACAGCCAAGUCCUUCACUCGAAUCGUUUUCACUUUUCCACCUCAGCGUGUUUUGCGAGGCGGUUUCCUUGGCACGUCUUGUCAAAGCAGAGAUCGUGUCCCCCUUGUUUACGGGAUUCUCGUUAAUACGGACGUGGGUAACCCAACCGCGCCACUUAUCACGGCGCUUGGGAGGCAAGCGAGUUUUACUAGGCUGGUGGGGACGCAUAGUCGCAUCCGCCCAUAUAAGGGGAUAAGGAUCCACCUUUUUACCUACGCCUUCUUCCUCCUUUGCCUAGCCAUCUUCUGCGCACCCGAGCUCUAGCGCCCCAGCCCGCGCUUCCUACCUCAACCCUCUCCAACAAUGUUCGGAGCGGGAGGCAAGUGGAUGGUCUCCUCCGUCACGGAGGGCCAUGUCAAAAGGUUAAGGAAGGCCGGAUACUUGUCCAAAGACAUCGCGCACCGGCUUCCUGAGGAGGGGCAGCUUCUCCCCACCCCAAGGCCCCAUGAGAGGGUAGUAUUUCUUCCCCACUGCCUCCGCGGACUGGGUUUUCCUCUCCACCCAUUUGUCCGCGGGCUCAUGUUCUACUAUGGCCUAGAUUUCCACGAUCUGGCCCCGUACUUCAUCCUCAAUAUCUCGGCGUUUAUCAUCGUGUGCGAGGCUUUCCUCUGCAUUCGCCCCCAUUUCGGCCUCUGGCUCACGACCUUCAACGUCAAGCCAAAGGUGGUGCGCGGUAACCAGGCGGAGUGCGGAGGUGCCAUGGCGGGCAAAAUUGCCAACGUCCUAUGGCUCGAGGGCUCCUUUGUGGAGACCUUGAAGGGGUGGCAGUCAGGGUGGUUUUACAUCACCGAGCCACGCGAUCCGAAGUGGAUCGCAGCCCCUGAAUUCCGAUCCGGACCCCCUACGCGGCUCAUGUCCUGGAAGGAGACGAGCUUGUCGUGGGGCGACGAAGGAGAGUUGACCAGACUGCAAAAAUGCAUCCAGUCCCUGGUGAACAAGCAGCUCAAGCUUGUCAACGUAAUCUAGGUCAUGCUCGUCCGCCGGAUUCUUCCGUGUCAAGAACGGGACUUCAAUUUGUGGGAGUUCAACCCGGCGCAACACCGAACUCUGAGAAGGCUCUUCAACACGACGUACGAAGAUGUCUGGAGGGGGCUAACCAAAGGCGCCGAGACUCCCACAUCCGCCUCCGAAGACCGCGGAUUCAGCUCGCAGCGUCCUGCUGGCGAGGUAAGAUAUUUCCAUCUUUUACAGGAUGUUAAGCUUUUUCAUAGUUGACUCUAUGCGGGAUCAAAACUCCCUCACCUUUGACAGGAUUGGCGGGAGAAGUCCGGACAGAUUAAAUGCCCGGCUCCCUUGCCCGAAGACCUAGCCCCUGCUCUCCUAGAGAAGCUGCUGGUUUCGGCACCUUAUGUGGUGCCGGAGAAGAGGGCCAAGAAGAAGAAGGCCACGGGGACUCGAAAGAGUUCCUGGCAUAUGGUGGUGUCGGACUCGUCGUCCGACCAGUCCGAGACGCACUCCUCCCGUGAAGACGAGGAGGAAGAGUGUCGGACUCGUCGUCCGACGAGUCCGAGACGCACUCCUCCCGUGAAGAGGAGUGGCCGGACUACGUCCCCGACGCCGACGAGGACGAAGAGGAGUGGCCAGACAGGGCCAAGCAUCCGGCGAGAUCGUAAGUGUUCGGAUACCAGAGUAACUCGUGAUAUUCCUUUUGUUGCACAGCUUUCCCUAAUGUCGGAUAUAAUCAUGCAGUCCGCCCAAGGAUGGGCUCGACGAGUCGUCGAGCGGCUCCCUGGAUUCAUCGGACGUGAAUUCAGUUCCGCCUACUGCUUCCCCCUGUGCUGCAGAUGACGCCGAAGUGGCGUCGCGACAAGCUCCGGGACGAGAGGAGGUGGUCCAGGAGGAGUCGCGAGGUGACCUCCCGGACUCCAGGAGUGAAGGGGACAAGACCCCCCUGGGAUCCAAGUUCGGCUUUAAGCCGGACACUGAGAUGGAAUCAUCAACAGUUCCGGACUGCGGUAGGCGAACUCCUACCAGGAGGAGCAAGCCUACUGAGCCGGCAUCCUCCGUCCAGCCGGAGGCGCCGGACAAUCUGCUGGAGGAGCUUAAGGGCGCCUCCACCGACGAGGAGCACCGUGCCGUCAUGAGUACGGUGAUCCAGAAGGUUCGGUCCGCCAAAAGCGGACUGACUGAAGCUUGUGCUGGCCUUCUAACAGGCUUCGAGGUAAGUAAAAAUAUGUAAAAAUAUUACCGUAUAGACAGUAGCCCCUGAUGCUCUGUUUGGCGUUUGUAAAGAAAAGCCAAAUAGAGGAUCUAUUAAAUAUCGCAGGAGUCUAACUAAAAAGGAGUCAAUAUAUGUAUGCAGGCUUCGCUGCUGGCCACCGCCGCACUGACUGCGGAGGUGGGUGCCCUGAAGGAGGGCCUCCAGCGGACCGAGCAAGAGCUCGGCCUUGCCAAACGGCAGCUCGAGGAAAAAGAAUGUAAGAGAUACCUUACAGAAAAAGUGCCUAUAAAAAGGCUUGAUUGCAAAAAGAGUAGCAGGAUUGUACUGCUUAUUGUAGGGGCCACGACUGAGGUGGCGACCUUUAAGCAGGUGUUGUCUGAGGCCGAAAAGAAAACGGCCGCGGAGCGCACCGAGCGAGACAGACUUGGGGCUCAGGUCAGCGAGGUGCAGCAAGAGCUUCAGGCUCUCAUGAAAAAACAUGAGAGUUUGAAGCUGGAGUCGAAGGCGCAAGCAUCCGAGCUUGCAACGGCCCUAGAGGCUGCCAAGUCUACCAAGGCCGAUGCCCUAAAGACCCUCCAAGAGUUGGAGGAGAUGAGGAAGAUAGCAACGGGUAAGGCAUUCUUUAUGCAAAGCAGAAAUAUAAAAGUGAACUACCUGUUACUUACCCGAAUCCGAAGCUCUCCAGGGGCAUUCGCAGAUCUUCCCUGCAGCGUAUCCGAUGCCGCCGCAUUAUACCAAGCUGAAGAGGGUAGCUCGACGGAGAAGGUGUUCUGGUUUCAGUAUUCUGAGGCCGGACACCCUGUGCCCUUGAGCAACCAGCUGAAACAGCUGGUUGAGCUCCACAAGGCGGCCAAGCAGGCCAUGAAGGGCUUCAUAGUUCGGCUGUGGCCUGGAGAGGCCCUACCUGGGAGCUAUCUCGGGCUGGUGCGGCGGCUGGUGGAGGCCUGUCCGAGGCUUGAGGUCAUCAAGUGCUCCGUCUGCAUCGAUGGUGCCCGUCGGGCCCUUGCCCGUGCAAAGGUGCACUGGGGUAAGCUGGACGGUGAGAAGCUUGUGAAGGACGGGCUGCCGCCGGGGAAGGAGCAUCGCAAGCCCGAGAACUACUACAAGGAUGUUCUUGCAGGUGCCCGCCUUAUGGCGGAUCAAUGUACCAAGGAUGUGAUAUUUGAAUGAACUCGCUCGUGUUUAUCUUGUGCGCUGAAAACUUGUUCAUAUGUGCUAAGCAAUGCUUAUUGAAUUUAAAAUAUUACUUUCUGUGCGGCCAUUUAUCAAAAAUUGAGAGAUGGCCAGUCGUCGGCUUCUGCCCCCGUGCCACUAGUGCUGGGGUGUUCGGGAUAAACCUGAGCGCUCUUUUUCCCAUAGUUGGGUCCUUCGAGGGAGGCGCUCAGCACAACGAACCAGGCAAUCGGACUAUAAUGCUUGAACACUCUCACUUAGCCAUAGAGCUCUAUAAUUUUAAAUUUCGGUGAAGCCCGUAGUUCGGAAGACCGAGUUCGGGGCGCUAUCCACGCCUUGGCCGGACAAAGCCGGCUCCUCGCUCGAAGCGGCAUAAGCCUUUAGGGACUCGAAAAACCUCUCGAACAGCGAUCGGUCUCUCGCCACAUCAUGACAGUCAGUUUUAGCUUUCUCCACUCAGGUGCUUAACCCAGGUGAACCGGGGCACAAUCGCAGUGGUUCUCCUAGUGCUACCUUAGCCGAUAGAGCGGAACGUAAGGCACCAAAACAUAGGAGCCACGCAAACCCAACUAUUGACCCAAAUCAUGAUUCGGAGCCGAUGCAUAUAGUGCUAUAAGUUCGGGGUGCCGCACUUGUGAAAGUGUACGGACUUCUCACACCAUUAUGAGCGGUACUGAAGCCCCUGGCAUGUUUGCCAUACCAUGGUGUACGGGUGCAAUCAUGUCAUUUAAUAAACAUAAAUGUGAAAAGAAGAUAAUGCAAAAAAUAGACUAGAAGCUAAGCAUUGUUUAUAGAGAGGCUAUUUAUCAAAGCCGAACGAUACAAAUAGUGCGGUAAGCAAAAGAUAUUGGACUAUUCAGUAUGUCCUGACCAGGGGCAGGCCGCGGAAUUGUAUUUAAAACAGGUAUACCGCUCGUAACAGAGACCACCUGGGAGUUCCAUAAUGCGUCAUGGCUUGUCUGCCUCCCUGGAUCUUGCAUCGUUUGUGCGGCAGUCGAAUUGCCGAACAGGUCGUCCGAAGUAUGGAGUCCUGAAAGAAGAAAAAAUUAAAAAAAGAAUCCGGCAGCCCCUAGUACGUAUUAAGCCGUAUUUUGGGCGUGUUGUUAUUGUGCCCCUUCCCCUGUGCCCAUGGUAUUUCAAGGGCGUAGUUAUGUACGUGAGGUACUGGUUUCGCUAUGUUGCGAAAGCUGGGGUUGGGGCCGCAUUGCUACGCUUGCUUAGAGUGUGCCAGGCAGUGUCUGGCUUUUUAAUGGCCGGACUGGAGAAUUGCCUGAGAAGGCUACUUUGUACCUCCGCUGCGAGAGCCGCCGUAUGCUCCUCCAUAUGGAGGGAGCGUUCGGUGUUUCCGUUGAACGUAAUUACUCCUUGAGGGCCUGGCAUCUUGAGCUUGAGAUAUGCGUAGUGCAGCACCGUGUUGAUCUUUGCGAAUGCGGUUCGUCCGAGCAGGGCAUGAUAGCCACUGCGAAACGGUACUAUAUCGAAGAUUAACUCUUCGCUUCGGAAAUUGUCCGGGGAUCGGAAGACCACAUCAAGUGUUACUGAGCAUGUACUGUUGGCUUCUACACCUGGUAUAACGCCUUUAAAGGUCGUUCUUGUGGGCUUAAUCCUUGAGGGAUCUAUGCCCAUUUUCUGCACUGUAUCCUGAUAAAGCAGGUUCAGGCUACUGCCGCCGUCCAUGAGGACUCUUGUGAGAUGAAAUCCGUCGAUGAUCGGGUCGAGAACCAAUGCGGCGAAGCCGCCAUGACGGAUGCUAGUGGGAUGGUCCCUUCGAUCGAAAGUGAUCGGGCAGGAGGGCCAUGGGUUGAACUUUGGGGCGACUGGCUCCAUCGCAUAUACGUCCCGUAGCGCAUGCUUCCGCUCCCGCAUGGGAAUGUGGGUUGCGUAUAUCAUGUUCACCGUCCACACUUGUGGGGGAAAGCCCUUCUGUCCAUUGUUGUUCGGCGGCUUGGGCUCCUCGUCGUCGCUGUGCAGCCCCUUGUCUCUGUUUUCGGCCCUUAACUUGCCUGCCUGCUUGAACACCCAACAAUCCCUGUUAGUGUGAUUGGCUAGCCUUUCGGGGGUGCCAUGUAUCUGGCACAAGCGAUCGAGUAUUCGGUCCAAACUGGACGGGCCCUGAGUAUUCUUUUUGAAUGGCAUUUUCCGCUGACCGGAUUUAUAGCCUUUGAAUCCGGCAUUGACUGCCGUGUCUUCAUUGCUGUCGCUGCUAACGCGGCGUUUUUGCUUAUUCCGAUGUGUCCUACCACUUUUGUCCUUGGUAUCCGAAUUACCAGGGUGCUUUGAUAAGUUGUUACUGCGAGCUAGCCAGCUGUCUUCUCCCGCGCAAAAGCGGGUCAUGAGUGUCGUGAGGGCUGCCAUGGAUUUCGGCUUUUCCUGUCCCAGGUGCCAGGCAAGCCACUCGUCGCAGAUGUUGUGCUUCAAGGCUGCCAGGGCCUCUGCGUCCGGACAGUCGACUAUCUGGUUUUUCUUUGUUAGGAACCGUGUCCAAAAUUGUCUGGCCGAUUCCUCUGGCUGCUGAAUUAUGUGGCUUAAGUCGUCGGCAUCCGGUGGUCACACGUAAGUGCCCUGGAAGUUGUCGAGGAAUGCGGCUUCCAGGUCCUCCCAAGAACCGAUUGAGUCUGCUGGCAAGCUGUUAAGCCAAUGCCGGGCCGGUCCUUUAAGUUUGAGCGGGAGGUAUUUGAUGGCGUGUAGAUCAUCGCCGCGUGCCAUGUGGAUGUGAAGGAGACAAUCCUCGAUCCAUACCGCCGGAUCUGUUGUGCCAUCGUAUGAUUCGAUGUUUAUGGGUUUGUAGCCCUCUGGGAUUUUAUGAUCCAUUACUUCAUUCGUGAAGCAUAGCGGGUGUGUGGCGCCUCUGUAUUGGGCUAUAUCACGACGUAGCUCGGAAGAGCUAUGUCUGUUGUGUUCGGCCCGGCCGGAUUUGUUGUAUCCAGAGUGAAGAUCAUUUUCCCGUGCCUUAGUUGAGAGGUGUCGGGGCAUGGCUUGGGUGGAGGGCCGAGACGCCUCUCUGUCGCGGCCGCGAGGUGGCCGGUCUGCCAUGUCAUGCGCUGGUGAUGUAGGUGCUUCCUCCUCUGAUCGGGGUAGCGGCCUAUGCUUCGGGUAACUCUUGGAGGGGCGUUCGAGUUCAUACUCUUCGGCCGCAAGGACUUCAGUCCAUCUGUCAGCUAGCAAAUCUUGGGCAGCUCUAAGUUGUUGCUGCUUUUUCUUGAGGCUGCUUGCCAUGGCUAAAAGCCUGCGUUUAAAAAGCUCUUGUUCGGCGGGGUCUGAUGGUAUGACGAAUUCGUCGUCAUUGAGGCUUGCCUCGUCUUCGGAGGGAGGCGUAUAGUUAUCAUCCUCGACCUUUCCGUCUGCCGCUCUCUCAUCAGGGCUGGCUUCUCCAUCUUCCUGUGCCGAAUCUUGCUGAGGUGGGUGUUCUUCGGCGCUAUCCGGGGUAGUAUUAUCUCUCAUGUCGGAAUCACCGUUUUUGCUUUGGCGGGAUUUAGAGCGGCGCCGCUGGUGCCGGCGCUUUGGCUGUUUCUUGGGGGCGUCAUCCCCCACUGUUCCAUCGCCAUCUCCAUCUUUUGGAGUAUCCACCAUAUAUAUGUCAUAUGAUAAGGUGGCCUUCCAGCGCCCUACAGGUGCUGGUUCCUGUUCGUCUCCUACAUUGUCGUCCAUGCCGUCGAUGUCUUUGGAGCUGAAGUCAACCAUGUAGGUUAGACCGUCGAUAAUGGCUACAAAGUGGGUGGUGGGUGGGCUUUGAAUUUCCUCAUCGUAUGUAUCCCACCCUCGCUGACCGUAGUCCGGCCAGGGCUCUCCUGAUAAAGAGAGAGACUUAAGAGAAUUCAGGAUGUCGCCAAAAGGCGAAUGCUGAAAGAUGUCUGUAGCGGUGAACUCCAUUAUCGGCACCCAAUCGGAUUCGAUUGGCAGGGGCGCGGGGGGUUCGGAGUCCGGGGAGGAGUCCGGAUCCUCGGAGUCACGGGUCGUGCAGAGUGCGGGGCUAGCGUUCGGCUCGAUCGCUUUCGGGAUCGCAGCCCCCGAGGUGACGUCCAACCGCUCAUCCUCGAUUGGCGCAAUAGGUUCCGAGUUAGGGGUCGGAACCGAUGCGUGUGCGGCCUCCAGGACACUGGCCGGGGGCAGAGCUAGAUCAUGCCCCUCGGGAUAGUGCGGCGUGCUUGGCCGUGGCUCGAGCCCGUCGAAGAUCAAGUCUCCGUGGAUGUCAGCCGUGUAGUUUAAGCUUCCAAACCUGACUUGAUGGCCAGGGGCGUAGCUUUCGAUCUGCUACAGGUGGCCGAGCGAAUUGGCUCAUAGAGCGAUGCCGCCGAAGACGAAGAUCUGUCCGGGGAGAAAAGUCUCACCCUGGACCGCAUCGUUGUUGAUGAUCAAAGGAGCCAUCGGGCCUAAAGGCGACGAGACAGAGGAACUCUCAAUGAAAGCACCAAUGUCAGUGUCAAAACCGGUGGAUCUCGAGUAGUGGGUCCCGAACUGUGCGUCUAGGCCGGAUGGUAAUAGGAGGCAGGGAACACGAUGUUUUAUCCAGGUUCGGGCCCUCUUGAUGGAGGUAAAACCCUACGUCCUGCUUGAUUAAUAUUGAUGAUAUGGGUAGUACAAGAGUAGAUCUACCACGAGAUCAAGGAGGCUAAACCCUAGAAGCUAGCCUAUGGUAUGAUUGUUGUAUAUGGAGUUGAUUGCCUACGGACAACAACCCUCCGGUUUAUAUAGACACCGGAUAGGGUUAGGGUUACAUAGAGUCGGUUACAAUGGUAGGAUAUCUUGAAUAUCCACAUCGCCAAGCUUGCCUUCCACGCCAAGGAAAGUCCCGUCCGGACACGGGAUGAAGUCUUCAAUCUUGUAUCUUCAUAGCCCAGGAGUCCGGCUGAAGGUAUAGUCCGGCUACCUGAACACCCCCUAAUCCAGGACUCCCUCAGGUAGCAAGAUGGAUUUCUGGCGCCAUUGCCGGGGAGAUUCGCGCCAAGUCAAGACAUACCAAGUACCCAUCACAAACCCUUAUCCCUCGCAUUACAUUAUUUUCCAUUUGCCUCUUGUUUUCCUCUCCCCCACUUCACCCUUGCCAUUUUAUGCGCCCUCUCUUUUUCCGUUCCCCUCUUUUCCACUUGCUUUGUCGUUAUGGCUAGUCCUUUAUCUACUCCUUUGUCUCCCGAGAAUGAAGUUCUUAAUUUUAAACAAAGGGAGGGAGAAAAUCUAAAAGAUGCUUGGUACAGAAUUUGCAACACACAAAUUAGAUCUACUAGGAAACAAUCUACUUUUGUUCUUCUUCACGAUUUUUAUGUAGGCAUCACACCUUGGAAUAGAUAUAUUCUUGAUGCCAUUACCGGAGGGAAUUUCUUGGGUAGCCAUACUUUUGAUUCUUAUAAUGCUAUGAUAGAUCUGUUUGGCCCACCACCUCUUUUGGUUAAUGGAACUAUUUUAACUUUGGAACAUGUGAUGCAAUGGCUUGAAAUUAGUGAAAAUAAAGUUGCCACCAUAGAGUUAAUUGAAAAUUUGGAUAGAAAGAUCCAUAACCAAAUUACCCAAUACGGAUCUAAGUUAGGAGUUGCUCUUAAAAGUUUUAAAGAAAAGGGACCUAUGGUUAAUGAAAAGAUAGAAAAGGAUUCCACUAGAAUUGAUAAAAUUGAGGAUAUUAUUACCAACCUUGGGUCUUCCUUUUCUUCUAUUAUAAAUACUCCGCCUAAUGCUAAGAUUGCCAAACUAAUGUAUGUUACAAAAAAUAAGGGUGAAACUUCUAAUAAGGAAAAUGCGGAUCUCAAAUCCAUAAGUGUUCACCCCAAUUUUCUCACUAUCCUUAAGGAACCUUUUGCUACAAAUGAUUUUCUUGAUUUCAUACCUAGGAGUUUGAUAAUUAAUAAAAACAAAGAAACUCCUAAAAGUUAUUGGUGUGUUAUUGAAGAAUCACCUUCCAAAGACGGCAAUACCUAGGUCUAUCUUCGCUUUUAUGCCUAGCUAGGGGCGUUAAACGAUAGCGCUUGUUGGGAGGCAACCCAGUUUUACUUUUAUUCCUUGAUGUUUGCUCCUAUUUAGUAAUAAAUAAUUUAUGUAGCCUAUGUUUUGGUUGUGUUUUUUGUGUUUAAUUUGUGUUUGUGCCAUGUAGAACCAUUGGGUAGACUUGGGGAAAGUCUUUUUGAUCUUGCUGUAAAAAACAGAAACGUUAGCGCUCACGAGAAUCGCUGACAUUUUUAUUUGGAAAGUGAUAUUUAGAUAAUUCUUUUUGCGGAUGAUUAAUAGAUAAAUUCCUCACGUCCAGCAAUUUAUUUUAUAAUUUUUGGGGUUACAGAAGUUCGCGUUAGGUACAGAUUACUACAGACUGUUCUGUUUUUGACAGAUUCUGUUUUUCGUGUAUUGUUUGCUUAUUUUGAUGAAUCUAUGGCUAGUCAAAGAGGUUAUAAACCGUAGAGAAGUUGGAAUACAGUAGGUUUAACACCAAUAUAAAUCAAGAUUGAGUUCAUAACAGUACCUUGAAGUGGUGUUUUGUUUUCUUUCGCUAACGGAGCUCACGAGAUUUUCUGUUUGAGUUUUUUGUUGUGAAGUUUUCAAGUUUUGGGUAAAGAUUUGAUGGAUUAUGGAACAAGGAGUGGCAAGAGCCUAAGCUUGGGGAUUCCCAUGGCACACCAAGGUAAAAUUAAAGGACACCAAAAAGCCUAAGCUUGGGGAUGCCCCGAAAGGCAUCCCCUCUUUCGUCUUCGUCUAUUGGUAACUUUACUUGGAGCUAUAUUUUUAUUCACCACAUGAUAUGUGUUUUGCUUGGAGCGUCUUGUAUGAUUUGAUUAUUUGAUUUUUAGUUUACCAAAAUCAUCCUUGCUGUACACACCUUUUGAGAGAGACUCACAUGAUUGGGAAUUUAUGAGAAUACUCUAUGUGCUUCACUUAUAUCUUUUGAGCUAUAUGGUUUUUGUUCUAGUUCUUCGCUUAUAUAUUUUAGAGAAUGGCGGUGGUUUUAUUUUAUAGAAAUAAUUGUUCUCUCAUGCUUCACUUAUAUUAUUUUGAUAGUCCUUUAGAACAACAUGGCAAUAAUAAAACUGUCAUACAAGUGCAUUGAAUACUAUGAGAAGUUUGAUACUUGAUAAUUGUUUUGAGAUAUGGAGAUGGUGAUAUUAGAGUCAUGCUAGUUGUGUAGUUGUGAAUUUGAGAAAUACUUGUGUUGAAGUUUGUGAUUCCCGUAGCAUGCACGUAUGGUGAACCGUUAUGUGACGAAGUCAGAUCAUGAUUUAUUUGUUGAUUGUCUUCCUUAUGAGUGGCGGUCGGGGAUGAGCAAUGGUCUUUUACUACCAAUCUAUCUCCCUAGGAGCAUGGGCAUAAUACUUUGCUUUGAUAACUUAUAGAUUUUUGCAAUAAGUAUGUGAGUUCUUUCUGAGCAAUGUUGAGUCCAUGGAUCAUACGCACUCUCACCCUUCCACCAUUGCUAGCCUCUCUAAUACCGUGCACUUCUCGCCGAUAUCAUACACCCACCAUAUACCAUCCUCAAAACAGCCACCAUACCUACCUAUUAUCACUAGUGCAGAACCGGGCAAUAGCACCGGUUCGUAAGGCCCUUUAGUGCCGGUUUAGGAACCGGCACUAUUAUUUCGGCACUAAACCCCCCCCCCUUUAGUACCGGUUCAGCACGAACCGGUGCUAAAGGGGUACCACGUGGCACGAGCCAGCUCCGGGGGCCGGGAGCCCUUUAGUACCGGUUGGUAAAACCAACCGGUACUAAAUGGUUGUGGGUUUUUGUUUUAUUUUGUAUUUUUCAAUUAAAUUUGUGUUAUCAAUUUAAAUUAGGAUUGUUUUACGUUAUAAUGAGUUGUAGUCGUCAUCAUCAUCAUCAUCAUCGCAUAUUAAUAAAUAAAUAAACUCUAGCUAGCUAAAAAUCAUCGUGGUCGUCUAAUUACCACUAUUUAAUCAUCAUAGUCAUUACCGCUAGCUAUGUAAUCAUCAUCAACGUUGGCUAGCUUAAAGAGGAAACAUUCACUUUGUAACAGAAGCAAAGAGAUAUCAUCAAGUUCAACAUAAUCAUCACCAACAUCGAAGUUCAGGACACGGAUCCAUGAGACGAGUACUAAUUAAGAGCAUGAAGUAGUAGCUACUGAUCCUGCUUCUCCCUCUCAGGUAGAAUAGCACAGAACAUGUAUAGCUCUCCUGAUUCAUCAUACUGAAGCAUGCAGAUGAAUCUGUCUCCUAAUCUUGGGUUGCGCUUCUCCUUACUGCCCCCUAGUACUUCUCUGCGAUCGUUAACAAUUUUGCUCCAAUCUUUCACUAUUAAGCAUUCUUCGCUUUUAGAAAUCCUGAAUGCACUCAUGUGCAAUGUAGGAAAUCUUGGUCGUAAGCUAACCAUUGACAUGCGACCUUUUGUCUCGAUCCACUAAGGCACAACUGUCAUCGGAAGUCCCUGUUGAACAACAUCGUAUAGUAAUUAAUAUACUAAGCAAUGAAAGUUUAGCUUUAAAAAUAAUGUACGCAAAAGAUGCACUAAUUAAGGACAAAUAUUUAAAAUCUUACCAUCUUUUGAUUAUAGAUGUGACCGUAGUUCAAGGCGAUCACCAUUGGUCGCACGUUUUGAGUACUAACAUUUCUAAGUUUAGAAAAAAAAUUGUCUUGACAGUAUUAAGAUCCUCAAGCCAUGAAACACAAUGACUUAUUUCCUCGCAGUUUAGUUGAGCCCCGAGGUAGUAGUAGGUCCUGUCUACCAAGCGCCGGACAUGUUUGCUUGAACCGAAAUAAGCUGACAAUACACAUCAGUUGUCAACUAUUUUUGAAUAAACUGUACGAAAGACAUAAACGUAUAUAUGCAUGCAUGGUUGAGAAAAACUCACCAAAUGGUAGAACUGGAGGCGUUUGCACAUCGACCCAGAUGUCUAUAUUACCUUCAAUAUCAUCUUCCGGACGAAUAUCAAAGGUGAUAACCAUAUCAGGCUCAAAUGCAUAAGCCUUGCAUAGUGCUUGCCAAGUUUUGCAUUCAAAAUGGGUGUAUGUGCCUCCAUUAUAUAAUUUGACGUUGAAAGUAUACCCAUGCUCCGUCUUCAAGUAAACUCUCUUUACCUCCAUAUCAUCUAUAGCACUAAAACCUAUCUUAUAUAAUACAAAAAUUCUUGUAUGGCAGGGGAUGCGCUAGUAGAAUAGUGAAAAUUUAAAAUUAUAAGUUGAAGCAAAUGAAGCAUAAGUUUUGCAUUCAAAUAAUAAUUGACAAAGUGGCUUACUGUAUCAACUUCAAAUGUCUCAUCCAGCUUGAUGUUGAAGCGCCUACCAUCAACAAGGAAAUUUUGGUCGCACAGGCCGCGCUGGUCUUCACAGUGUUCGCACAUAAUAAAAUCUUUUUAGUUGUCAGAUGACAUUUCCUAUGUUCAUAUAGGUGAAACAUUAAACACCUAUAUCUAGCCAAAUAUAUAUUCAUCUAACAUUUGACAUUAAUAUAUCUAACUAUAUAUUCAAUUGACAUUACUAUAUAUUUAACUUUUCUAUCUAAUUCAUCUAACAUUCGACAUUAAUCUAACAUUUAUAUAAACUCAAAAUAUAUAAAAAAUUAAAUAAACAGAAAAACUCAUUAACAAAUAAUAUUUUAAUUAGAUCAUCAAAUCUCAUAUACCUAAAUUUUCUUACUAAAAAUAAACUAGUUAUAUUAAUUAUUCAACUAGUUCUAAUCUNNNNNNNNNNNNNNNNNNNNNNNNNNNNNNNNNNNNNNNNNNNNNNNNNNNNNNNNNNNNNNNNNNNNNNNNNNNNNNNNNNNNNNNNNNNNNNNNNNNNNNNNNNNNNNNNNNNNNNNNNNNNNNNNNNNNNNNNNNNNNNNNNNNNNNNNNNNNNNNNNNNNNNNNNNNNNNNNNNNNNNNNNNNNNNNNNNNNNNNNNNNNNNNNNNNNNNNNNNNNNNNNNNNNNNNNNNNNNNNNNNNNNNNNNNNNNNNNNNNNNNNNNNNNNNNNNNNNNNNNNNNNNNNNNNNNNNNNNNNNNNNNNNNNNNNNNNNNNNNNNNNNNNNNNNNNNNNNNNNNNNNNNNNNNNNNNNNNNNNNNNNNNNNNNNNNNNNNNNNNNNNNNNNNNNNNNNNNNNNNNNNNNNNNNNNNNNNNNNNNNNNNNNNNNNNNNNNNNNNNNNNNNNNNNNNNNNNNNNNNNNNNNNNNNNNNNNNNNNNNNNNNNNNNNNNNNNNNNNNNNNNNNNNNNNNNNNNNNNNNNNNNNNNNNNNNNNNNNNNNNNNNNNNNNNNNNNNNNNNNNNNNNNNNNNNNNNNNNNNNNNNNNNNNNNNNNNNNNNNNNNNNNNNNNNNNNNNNNNNNNNNNNNNNNNNNNNNNNNNNNNNNNNNNNNNNNNNNNNNNNNNNNNNNNNNNNNNNNNNNNNNNNNNNNNNNNNNNNNNNNNNNNNNNNNNNNNNNNNNNNNNNNNNNNNNNNNNNNNNNNNNNNNNNNNNNNNNNNNNNNNNNNNNNNNNNNNNNNNNNNNNNNNNNNNNNNNNNNNNNNNNNNNNNNNNNNNNNNNNNNNNNNNNNNNNNNNNNNNNNNNNNNNNNNNNNNNNNNNNNNNNNNNNNNNNNNNNNNNNNNNNNNNNNNNNNNNNNNNNNNNNNNNNNNNNNNNNNNCGGCGGCGGGGACAGCGACGAUGACGACGGACGACGGUACGGGCGACGGGCGGCGACGACGGGAUCGAGCGGUCCGCGCGGCGGAGGUGGGAGACGAAGUGGGGAGUUGAAACUGAAAUUUUCGUAAGUGCUAUAUAUAUAUAUAUAUAUAUAUAUAUAUAUAUAUAUAUAUAUAUAUAUAUAUGAUUGGCCUUUAGUACCGAAUCGUGGCUCCAACCGGUACUAAAGGCCUAUUUUCGCCAGGCCAAGCGGCGGGAAACGAAGGCUUUUAGUACCGGUUGGAGCCACCAACCGGUACUAAAGGGGGGCCUUUAGUACCGGUUGGAGCCACCAACCGGUACUAAAGGCCUUGCGCUGCCACCCCAAAAUUUAGUCCCACCUCGCCCGGCGAAGGGCAGCCGCACUGGUUUAUAAACCUAGCCGCGGCUACCUCUUCGAACUCCUCUAUAUAGCAGCCUUCUGGGCCUAAUUAAUUAGGGCGCGCUGCCAUGUGAGUCUGCUGGCCCUUCUGGGCCUGCAUUUGCACACCCUAGGUCUGGUAGACCCACAGGGCAGUGCGCCAACAAAUUUUUUAUAUAGUUUUAUCUUUUCUGCAUUACUUAUUUUCUUUUAUUUAUUUUUGAGUAGUUUUUUAUAUAGUUUUUGUUUUCUGCAUUAUUUAUUUUCUUCUAUUUAUUUUUGAGUAAUUUUUUUGUAUAGUUUUUUUAUUUUCUGCAUUACUUAUUUUUGCAUAGUCCGAAACCCUGAUACUCGGAAAGAGUUUGUCCAGUUUGUACACGAAGUGCGUCCAGUUUUUGCCGUGACCCUCUCUACUCUUUCGCGCAUGCUAUGCGGGUGAUACGAUGAUACCAUGCCAAGUUUCAACAUUUUCAGGAUUCAUUUUGUAGUGAUUUUCAAUUUCACGGUCAUUUAGCUCUCUAAACAAUUAGGUAAAUGACUGAAAAACAACAAAUGAUGUCAGAACAUGUUGAAAAUUGAUGACGUCGCUUUAAAUGCUGCAUACUGAACACAAAAGAAGUCCGGAGUACAAAUAAGUUUAAAAAACAUUGAAGUGGCCAUGUAACAGAUGAGUUCUCGUCCGAAACCCUGAUACUCGGAAAGAGUAUGUCCAUUUUGUACACGAAGUGCGUCCAGUUUUUGCCGUGACCCUCUCUACUCUUUCGCGCAUGCUAUGCGGGUGAUAUGAUGAUACCAUGCCAAGUUUCAGCAUUUUCAGGAUUCAUUUUGUAGUGAUUUUCAAUUUCACGGUCAUUUAGCUCUCUAAACAAUUAGGUAAAUGACCGAAAAACAACAAAUGAUGUCAGAAUAGACUGCACUGCACAUAGCUCAGUGUAGACUACACUGCACAUAGCUCAGUGCAAUCUAUGUUAUUCCGCAAGGCUUGAAGCUAAUCAACAUGUAGAUGAGCAUUGCAAUUCUUCGUCAUUGUCUGUGCACUCACGGCUUAUAAACCGCUCAUACUGCCUCUCUCUUGGCGAGGUGGGACUAAAAACAACUUGCCAUAACCUCAUCAAUUUCCUCUUGAAGCUUGUCCUUGCCUUUUUGCUUGUAUUCUUGUGGUGGAAGAUCAUCUUGAGCUUGUGUCCCCUUGAAGGAAGUAGGAUACUUCUCUUGUUGAGGAACAAACUUUGUCUUGGGGUAUUGAUCUUCUUCCCACUCAACUCCAUUGGCAUUGAACUUUCGUUCAAAACCAACACCUUGAUUCUUCCAGUGCCUUCCUUGCUUGCGCACAAUUUCCUCGAAUUGCUUACUCCCGGCAAGGCUUUUGUACAUUCCUUUCUCUAUAAUUCCCUUCAAUAAGCUAUUUUCUUGCUCAAGUGUAACUUGGCUAAGAGAAUCAUUAGUGGAAUCAAGAGAACUACUAGAAGCAACAAUGUUAGAUCUUAUGUCACAAAAAAGAAGUCGUAUCAAACCUUUUAUGUCGGAUCUAGAACAAACCAAUCGGUAUCGCCAUCAUACAGCCCUACCGUGGCUUGUGAUGCAUAUAUAUAUGCAUAUCAAAUGCACGGUUGGGCGUAUGAUGGCGAAUCCGAAUGAUUUGUAUUCAGUCGAUGAACUGGUAGAUGUAUGCAGUCGAUGAACUGGUAGAUGUAUGUAGUCGAUGAACUGAAAGACUUAUGCAGGGAAGGCGAGAGAUGGGCUAUAUAUAGGGUCGUCUGGCUCACAAAGUGAUUGUGGUAGUUUCGAUCCAACGACUCACAUGAGCUAGGAAGAAGCACACCCUUGAUCCAACGACUCGCAAGAGCUAUAAAGAAACACACGAUCCAUGUGAUUCUUCCUGAUUGGUGGGAUGCACAUUAGUAUCGGUUUGUGCCAUGAACUGGUGCUAAAGAUUGGCAAUGAACCGGUACUAAUGGUAGCAGCCCGCCUAGCCGUUGGAAUCGGCACUAAUGGUCACAUUUGUGCCGGCUCAAAUUCAAACCGGCACUAUAAUGUGCUUCACAUUUGACUGUUUUUCUACUAGUCAAUAGAGUUUGCCAAACUUGAGUUUCCCAAGUCACUUACACAAAAAGCUAUGAUUCAUGGUUGUCAAAUCCAUAAUUUACAAACCACAACAACCUUGAGGCAUAACAAGCUUUAAAUGCUGCAUACUGAACACAAAAGAAGUCCAGAGUUUAAAUAAGUUAUUAAAAAUAAAAAAGAGGUGCAAUGCUGGUUAAUUUGCUUCAAGCUAUUCGGAAUAGUGUAGAUUGCACUAAGCCACUGCACAUAGCUCAGUGCAAUCUAUGCUAUUCCGCAAGGCUUGAAGCUAAUCAACAUGUAGGUGAGCAUUGCAACUCUUCGUCAUUGUCUGUGCACUCACGGCUUAUAAACCGCUCAUACUACCUCUCUCUUGGCGAGGUGGGACUAAAAACAUCUUGCCAUAACCUCAUUAGUACUGGUUCAUGGUACGAACCGGCACUAAAUGGUGAUGGUGGGGCCAUAGCCUGACCGCAGGCUGACACAGCCUCUUUAGUACCGGUUCGUGGCAUGAACCGGUACUAAAGGUUCGCCACGAACCGGUACUAUUGAUCGCCGCCACGAACCGGCACUAAUGUACACAUUAGUGCCGGCUCUAAUUCAAACCGGCACUAAUGUGCUUCACAUUUGACCCUUUUUCUACUAGUGUAUGGCAUUUCCAUAGCCAUUCCGAGAUAUAUUGCCAUGCAACUUUCCAUCGUUCCAUUAUUAUGACACACUUCAUCAUUGUCAUAUUUGCUUGCAUGAUCAUGUAGUUGGCAUCGUAUUUGUGCAAAGCCACCAUUCAUAAUUCUUCAUACAUGUCACUCUUGAUUCACUGCAUAUCCCGGUACACCGCCGGAGGCAUUCACAUAGAGUCAUAUUUUGUUCUAAGUAUCGAGUUGUAAUUCUUGAGUUGUAAGUAAAUAAAAGUGUGAUGAUCAUCAUUAUUAGAGAAUUGUCCCAAGUGAGGAAAGGAUGGAGACUAUGAUUCCACAACAAGUCGGCAUGAGACUCCGGACGAAAAUAAAAAAAGAGGGAAAAAAGAGAAAGGCCAUAAAAAAGAAGGCCCAAAAAAUGAGAGAAAAAGAGAGAAGGGGCAAUGUUACUAUCCUUUUUCCACACUUGUGCUUCAAAGUAGCACCAUCAUCUUCAUGAUAGAGAGUCUCCUAUGAUAUCACUUUCAUAUACUAGUGGGAAUUUUUCAUUAUAGAACUUGGCUUGUAUAUUCCAAUGAUGGGCUUCCUCAAAUUGCCCUAGGUCUUCGUGAGCAAGCAAGUUGGAUGCACACCCACUUAGUUUCUUUUGUUGAGCUUUCAUACACUUAUAGCUCUAGUGCAUCCGUUGCAUGGCAAUCCCUACUCAAUCACAUUGAUAUCUAUUAAUGGGCAUCUCCAUAGCCCGUUGAUACGCCUGUUCUGGAGCUCCGCCAGAGGGGGCAUCGAUCACGGAGGGCUUCUACAUCAACAGCAUAGCCUCUCCGAUGAAGUGUGAGUAGUUGACCUCAGACCUACGGGUCCAUAGUUAUUACCUAGAUGGCUUCUUCUCUCUUUUUGGAUCUCAAUACAAUGUUCUCCCCCUCUCUUGUGGAGAACUAUUCGAUGUAAUCUUCUUUUUGCGGUGUGUUUAUUGAGAUCGAUGAAUUGUGGGUUUAUGAUCAAGUCUAUCUAUGAAUAAUAUUUGAAUCUUCUCUGAAUUCUUUUAUGUAUGAUUGUUUAUCUUUGCAAGUCUCCUCGAAUUAUCAGUUUGGUUUGGCCUACUAGAUUGAUCUUUCUUACAAUGGGAGAAGUGCUUAGCUUUGGGUUCAAUCUUGCGGUGUCCUUUCCCAGUGACAGCAGGGGCAGCAAGGCAUGUAUUGUAUUGUUGCUAUCGAGGACAACAAGAUGAGGUUUUCAUCAUAUUGCAUGAGUCUAUCCCUCUACAUCAUGUCAUCUAGCUUAAGGCGUUACUCUGUUUUUAACUUAAUACUCUAGAUGCAUGCUGGAUAGCGGUCGAUGAGUGGAGUAAUAGUAGUAGAUGCAGGCAGGAGUCGGUCUACUUGUCUCGGACGUGAUGCCUAUAUACAUGAUCAUACCUAGAUAUUCUCAUAAAUAUGCUCAAUUAUGUCAAUUGCUCAACAGUAAUUUGUUCACCCACCAUAGAAUUAUUAUGCUCUCGAGAGAAUCUACUAGUGAAACCUAUGGCCCCCGGGUCUAUCUUUAUCAUAUUAAUCUCCUACUACUUAGUUAUUUCCUUUGCUUUUUCCUUUGCCUUUAUUUUACUUUUCAUCUUUAUCACAAAAAUACCAAACAUAUUAUCUUUAUCAUAUCUAUCAGAUCUCACUCUCAUAAGUGGCCGUGUAGGGAUUGACAACCCCUAUUCGCGUUGGUUGCGAGGAUUUAUUUGUUUUGUGCAAGUACGAGGGACUCGCGCGUAGCCUCCUACUGGAUUGAUACCCUUGGUUCUCAAACUGAGGGAAAUACUUACGCUACUUUGCUACAUCAUCCCUUCCUCUUCGGGGAAAACCAACGCAGUGCUCAAGAGGUAGCAAGAAGGAUUUCUGGUGCCAAUGCCGGGGAGGUCUACGCAAAAGUCAACAUACCAAGUACCCGUCACAUACCCUUAUCUCCCGCAUUACAUUAUUUGCCAUUUGCCUCUCGUUUUCACCUCCCCCACUUCACCCUUGCCAUUUUAUUCGCCCUCUCUCUCUCUCUAUCCUCCCUCUCUUUCUCUAUUUGCCUCUUUUUUCCCGCUUGCUUUCUGUUUGCUUGUGUGUUAGUUGCUUGCUUGUCACGAUGGCUCAAGAUAAUACUAAAUUAUGUGACUUCACCAAUACCAACAACAAUCAUUUUAUUAGCACUCCGAUUGCUCCUCUUACCGAUGCUGAAUCUUGUGAAAUUAAUACUGCUUUGCUGAAUCUUGUCAUGAAAGAUCUGUUUUCCGGCCUUCCUAGUGAACAUGCCGGUACCCACCUAAAUAGAUUCAUUGAUUUGUGUGACAUGCAAAAAAAAGAAAGGUGUGGAUAAUGAUAUUGUUAAAUUGAAGCUAUUUCCUUUUUUGCUUAGAGAUCGUGCUAAAGCUUGGUUUUCGUCUUUGCCUAAAAAUAGUAUUGAUUCAUGGAAUAAGUGCAAAGAUGCUAUUAUCUCUAAGUAUUUUCCUCCUACUAAGAUCAUCUCUCUUAGAAACAAUAUUAUGAAUUUUAAGCAACUUGAUCAUGAACAUGUUGCACAAGCUUGGGAGAGAAUGAAACUAAUGGUACGUAAUUGCCCUGCCCAUGAUUUAAAUUUGUGGAUGAUUAUACAAAAAUGUUAUGCCGGAUUGAAUUUUGCUUCUAGAAAUCUUUUAGAUUCGGCCGCGGGAGGCACUUUUAUGGAAAUCACUUUAGAAGAAUCUACUAAACUCCUAGAUAAUAUUAUGGUUAAUUAUGCUCAACGGCAUAGUAAAAUAUCUAAUAAUAAAAAGGUGCAUGCGAUACAAGAAAUUAAUGUUUUGAGUGGAAAGAUGGAUGAACUUCUGAAAUUAUUUGCUAAUAAGAGUGUUUCUUCUGAUCCUAAUGAUAUACCCUUGUCUACUUUGAUUGAGAAUAGUAAUGAAUCUAUGGAUGUGGAUUUUGUUGGUAGGAACAAUUUUGGUAACAACGCGUAUAGAGGAAAUUUCAACCCUAGGCCUUAUCCUAGUAAUCUCUCUAAUAAUUAUGGUAAUUCCUACAACAAUUCUUAUGGAAAUUAUAAUAAGAUGCCCUCUAAUUUUGAAUCUAAUAUUAAAGAAUUUAUUACUUUGCAAAAGAAUUUCAAUACCUUGAUUGAAGAAGAACCGCUAGGAUGCGUGCUAAGAAAGAUGCCUUUAUAAGAGCGUGUUCUUCUAGUUCCUAUGAAAAUAAUGAUGAAGAUCUAAAAGUUAUUGAUGUGUUCCCUAUUAAAUCUUUGUUUUUCAACAUGGAUCUUGAUAAUGAUGGGAUUGAAUAUGAUCCACCUUUACCUAUAAGGCGUUCCAAGAAUUCAGAAUUUGUUGAUCUUGAUGCUAAAAUUGAUAAAGGUGGGAUUGAAGAAAUUAAAACCCUAGAUGUUGCUAAACCCACUAUUAUGGAUUUCAAGGAAUUUAACUAUGAAAAUUGCUCUUUUAUUGAUUGUAUAUCCUUUUUACAAUCCGUGCUAAAUUCUCCUCAUGCUUAUAGUCAAAAUAAAGCGUUUACUAAACAUAUCGUUGAUGCCUUGAUGCAAUCUUAUGAAGAAAAACUUGAAUUGGAAGUUUCUAUCCCUAGAAAGCUUUAUGAUGAGUGGGAACCAACUAUUAAAAUUAAAAUUAAAUAUCAUUAAUGCUAUGCUUUAUGUGAUUUGGGUGCUAGUGUUUCCACGAUUUCAAAGACUUUGUGUGAUUUGUUAGGUUUCCGUGAUUUUGAUGAUUGCUCUUUAAACUUGCGCCUUGUGGAUUCCACUAUUAAGAAACCUAUGGGAAGAAUUAAUGAUGUUCUUAUUGAUGCAAAUAGGAAUUAUGUGCCUGUAGAUUUUAUUGUUCUUGACAUAGAUUGCAAUCUUUCAUGUCCUAUUAUUCUUGGUAGACCUUUCCUUAGAACGAUUGGUGCAAUUAUUGAUAUGAAGGAAGGAAAUAUUAGAUUCCAAUUUCCAUUAAGGAAAGUCAUGGAACACUUUACUAGAAAGUAAAUUAAAUUACCUUAUGAAUCUAUUAUGAUAGCCACUUAUGGAUUGCCUACCAAAGAUGGCAAUACCUAGAUCUAUCCUUGCUUGUUAUGCCUAGCUAGGGGCGUUAAACGAUAGCGCUUGUUGGGAGGCAACGCAAUUUUGUUUUUAUUCCUUGAUUUUUGCUCCUGUUUAGUAAUAAAUAAUUUAUCUAGCCUCUGUUUUGGUUGUGUCCUUUGUGUUUAAUUAGUGUUGGUGCCAAGUAGAACCGUUAGGAAGACUUGGGGAAAGUCUUGUUACACUUGCUGUAAAAAACAGAAACUUCAGCGCUCACGAGAACUACUGCCAUUUUUAUUUGGAAAGUUCUAUUUAGUUAAUUAUUUCUGCAGAUGAUUAAUAGAUAAAUUCCUCACGUCCAGAAAUUUAUUUUAGAAUUUUUGGGGUUCCAGCUCUUGAGCUAGGUACAGAUUACUACAGACUGUUCUGUUUUUGAAAGAUUUUGUUUUUCAUGUGUUGUUUGCUUAUUUUGAUGAACCUAUGGCUAGUAAAAUAGUUGAUAGACCAUAGAUAAGUUGGAAUACAGUAGGUAUAACACCAAUAUAAAUAAAUAAUGAGUUCAUUAUAGUACCUUGAAGUGGUCUUUUAUUUUCUUUCGCUAACGGAGCUCACGAGAUUUUCUACUUUAAGUUUUGUGUUGUGAAGUUUUCGAGUUUUGGGUAAAGAUUUGAUGGUUUAUGGAACAAGGAGUGACAAGAGCCUAAGCUUGGGGAUGCCCAUGGCACCCCCAAGAUAAUCUAAGUACACCUAAAAGCCAAAGCUUGGGGAUGCCCCGGAAGUCAUCCCCUCUUUCGUCUACUUCUAUCGGUAACUUUACUUGGAGCUAUAUUUUUAUUCGCCACAUGAUAUGUGUUUUGCUUGGAGCAUCUUGUAUUAUUUGACUCUUUAUUUGUUAGUUUACCACAAUCAUCCUUCCUGUACACACCUUUUUUAGAAUACUCUAUGUGCUUCGCUUAUAUCUUUUGAGUUAUAUAGUUUUGCUCUAGUACUUCACUUAUAUCUUUUAGAGCACGGUGGUGGAUUUGUUUUAUAAAAACUAUUGAUCUCUCAUGCUUCACUUAGAUUAUUUUGAGAUGCUUAAUAGCAUGGUAAUUUGCUUAAAAUCCUAAUAUGCUAGGUAUUCAAAGUUAGUAUAAUUUUCUUAAGAGUGUUUUGAAUACUAAGAGAAGUUUGAUGCUUGAUGAUUGUUUUGAGAUAUGGAGGUAAUAAUAUCAAAGUCGUGCUAGUUGAGUAGUUGUGAAAUUGAGAAAUACUUGUGUUGAAAUUUGCAUGUCCCGUAGCAUGCACAUAUGGUAAACGUUGUGUAACAAAUUUGAAACAUCAGGUGUUAUUUGAUUGUCUUCCUUAUGAGUGGCGGUCGGGGACGAGCGAUGGUCUUUUCCUACCAAUCUAUCCCCCUAGGAGCAUGCGCGUAGUACCGAGGUUUUUGAUCACUUGUAGAUUUUUGCAAUAAGUAUGUGAGUUCUUUAUGACUAAUGUUGAGUCCAUGAAUUAUACGCACUCUCACCCUUCCAUCCUUGCUAGCCUCUUCGGUACCGUGCAUUGCCCUUUCCCACAUUGAGUGUUGGAGCAAACUUCGCCGGUGCAUCCAAACCCCGUGAUAUGAUACGCUCUUUCACACAUAAACCUCCUUAUAUCUUCCUCAAAACAGCCACCAUACCUACCUAUUAUGGCAUUUCCAUAGCCAUUCCGACAUAUAUUGCCAUGCAACUUUCCACCAUUCCGUUCAUCAUGACACAUUCAUCAUUGUCAUAUUGCUUAGCAUAAUCAUGUUGUUGACAUAGUAUUUGUGGCAAGGCCACUGUUCAUAAUUCUUUCAUACAUGUCACUCUUGGUCCAUUGCAUAUCCCGGUACACCGCUGGAGGCAUUCAUAUAGAGUCAUACUUUGUUCUAGUAUCGAGUAGUAAUUAUUGAGUUGUAAAUAAAUAGAAGUGUGAUGAUCAUCAUUAAUAGAGCAUGGUCCCAAAGAGAGAAAAAAGGAAGGGCCAAAAAAGGCCAAAUAAAAAAUAUAAAAAAGGGGGGCAAUGCUACUAUCCUUUUUUCCACACUUGUGAUUCAAAGUAGCACUGUAAUCUUCAUGAUAGAGAGUAUCUUGAUUUGUCACUUUCAUAUACUAGUGGGAAUUUUUCAUUAUAGAACUUGGCUUGUAUAUUCCAACAAUGGGCCUCCUUAAGUGCCCUAGGUCUUCGUGAGCAAGCAAGUUGGAUGCACACCCACUUAGUUUCUUUUGUUGAGCUUUCAUACAUUUAUAGCUCUAGUGCAUCCGUUGCAUGGCAAUCCCUACUCCUUGCAUUAACAUCAAUCGAUGGGCAUCUCCAUAGCCCAUUGAUUAGCCUCGUUGAUGUGAGACUUUCUCCUUUUUGUCUUCUCCACAUAACUCCACUCAUUAUAUUCUAUUCCACCCAUAGUGUUAUGUCCAUGGCUUGCAAUCAUAUAUUGCGUGGAAGUUUAUAGGUUUGAGAUCACUAAAGUAUGAAACAAUUGCUUAGCUUGUCAUCGGGGUUGUGCAUGAUGAGAGCGUUGUUGUGUGACAAAAAUGAAGCAUGACUAAACUAUAUGAUUUUGUAGGGAUGAACUUUCUUUGGCCAUGUUAUUUUGAGAAGACAUAAUUGCUCAGUUAGUAUGCUUGAAGUAUUAUUAUUUUUAUGUCAAUAUGAACUUUUGUCUUGAAUCUUUCGGAUCUGAAUAUUCAUAUCACAAUUAAGAAGAAUUACAUUAAAAUCAUGCUAAGUAGCACUCUGCAUCAAAAAUUCUGUUUUUAUCAUUUACCUACUCGAGGACGAGCAGGAAUUAAGCUUGGGGAUGCUUGAUACGUCUCCAACGUAUCUAUAAUUUUUGAUUGCUCCAUGCUAUAUUAUCUACUGUUUUGGACAAUAUUGGGCUUUAUUAUCCACUUUUAUAUUAUUUUUGGGACUAACCUAUUAACCGGAGGCCCAGCCCAGGAUUGCUGUUUUUUGCCUAUUUUAGGGUUUCGAAGAAAAGGAAUAUCAAACGGAGUCCAAACGGAAUGAAACCUUCGGGAACGUGAUUUUCUCAACGAACAAGACCCAGGAGACUUGGACCCUCCGUCAAGACACAAAAGAGGAGGCCACGAGGUAGGGGGCGUGCCUACCCCCCGGGCGCGCCCUCCACCCUCGUGGGCCCCCUGUUGCUCCACCGACGUACUCCUUCCUCCUAUAUAUACCUACGUACCCCCAAAUGAUCAUAUACGGAGCCAAAACCCUAAUUACACCGCCGCAACAUUUUGUAUCCACGAGAUCCCAUCUUGGCGCCUGUUCCGGAGCUCCGCCGGAGGGGGCAUCGAUCAUGGAGGGCUUCUACAUCAACACCAUAGCCUCUCCGAUGAAGUGUGAGUAGUUGACCUCAGACCUACGGGUCCAUAGUUAUUACCUAGAUGGCUUCUUCUCUCUUUUUGGAUCUCAAUACAAUGUGCUCCCCCUCUCUUGUGGAGAACUAUUCGAUGUAAUCUUCUUUUUGUGGUGUGUUUGUUGAGACCGAUGAAUUUUGGGUUUAUGAUCAAGUCUAUCUAUGAAUAAUAUUUGAAUCUUCUCUGAAUUCUUUUAUGUAUGAUUGGUUAUCUUUGCAAGUCUCUUCGAAUUACCCGUUUGGUUUGGCCUACUAGAUUGAUCUUUCUUGCAAUGGGAGAAGUGCUUAGCUUUGGGUUCAAUCUUGCGGUGUCCUUUCCCAGUGACAGUAGGGGCAGCAAGGUACGUAUUGUAUUGUUGCCAUCGAGGACAACAAGAUGGGGUUUUCAUCAUAUUUUAUGAGUCUAUCCCUCUACAUCAUGUCAUCUUACUUAAGGCAUUAAUCUGUUUUUAACUUAAUACUCUAGAUGCAUGCUGGAUAGCGGUCGAUGAGUGGAGUAAUAGUAGUAGAUGCAGGCAGGAGUCGGUCUACUUGUCUCGGACGUGAUGCCUAUAUACAUGAUCAUACCUAGAUAAUCUCAUAACUAUGCUCAGUUCUGUCAAUUGCUCAAUAGUAAUUUGUUCACCCACCGUAGAAUACUUAUGCUCUUGAGAGAAGCCACUAGUGAAACCUAUGGCCCCCGGGUCUAUCUUUAUCAUAUUAAUCUCCUACUACUUAGUUAUUUCCUUUGCUUUUUUACUUUGCCUUUAUUUUACUUUGCAUCUUUAUCACAAAAAUAAAAAUAUCUUUAUCAUAUCUAUCAAAUCUCACUCUCGUAAGUGGCCGUGUAGGGAUUGACAACCCCUAUUCACGUUGGUUGCGAGGAUUUAUUUGUUUUGUGCAGGUACGAGGGACUGGCGCAUAGCCUCCUACUGGAUUGAUACCUUGGUUCUCAAAACCUAAGGGAAAUACUUACGCUACAUUGCUGCAUCAUCCCUCACUCUUCGGGGAAAACCAACGCAGUGCGCAAGAGGUAGCAAGGGUUCCUUUUUGUCGACGAUCUGAUGUUUCAACCUUGUUUUCCAGGCGGCCAACGCAUCGCUCAACUUGGUCAUGGCGUGUUUGUUUAUCUUCGUCAUUGCCAGGUCCUUAUCUGGAUCUUUAUUAUCCUUUUCAUUACGGUCCGGGAACAAGAAUAUCUGGUGCAGCUUCUUUAGGAGGGAGGGCCUCUGGUGCAGCUUCUAUAGUUUCCCAUCGUUGAUCAUGGCAGUUGUCCGUACAAUGCAACCUAUUUGAUUGCCGUAGCACGAUUGCGCUUCCUCGGGUGCUAUUGUCUCAAAAAUACCGUCGUCCAUCUCCGUGACCACCAGUCUAGUACUCAUGAGCUGGUUUAGGCGUCGUGGCCUCUUUGCUUUCGGUUCUAGACUAACUCCGCUAGUCUCGGCGCUGGUCUCAGUCUCAUCGCCGGUCUGCAUGUCGGUAUCAGUCCCUGAUGCGACAACACAGUCGCUGCAACAUGGGUAAGGGAGACCACAUCAGUGCUGGGGGGUCCGAAAAUCGGGACACACUUUCGCGCGUCGCGGGCCGCCUCUCAGACAGCUACUGGGGAGGCGGCGGAGUACCUGGGUGCGCCGCGAAUCCCCGGGAACUCGGUGACCAACUUCCUUCCCGUGUGGCGCAUGGAGACGACAGCGACCCCGGCGAAGAGUAGCUUAGCCGCGAGCUGCACAGCCUCGUCCACCUCCUAAGUUGGGACCUCCGCGCAAGCGUUGCGGGGCCGCCGCUCGGGUGGCUUCUGGAAGGCGGUUGUACAUGGGCACAGGGUGAAUCCCGACUAGAGCUGGCCAUUGGCGCGCGCAAGUAGACGACGACGUCCCCGACGAAGAGCUGCCCGGCCAGCUCGCCUCACUCUCCUUUGAUUAGAAAUGAAAGAUUGGGAAGAAGCAGACUUGAGCCUGCAGAGAAAGGAUAAGGUGACGAUGCAGUCUCCACUCGUUCGGGGCGACACGCGUACUGAAUGUAUGAGAAACGUGACGUGGCAGAGACCCCAAGAUACUCCCUCCAUUUAUUUUUAGUCUGCAUAUAAAGUUUGGUCAAAGUCAAGAUUUGUAAAUUUUAACUAACUUUAUAAUAAAAAAAUAUCAAUAUUCACAAUAUGAAAUCAAUAUUACCAGAUGCGUCAUGAAAUGUAUUUCCAUACUAUAAAGUUUUGGUAUUGUAGAGGCACUCUUCCAUAUAAUGAAGUUUAUAAUAUAUGUGCUUAUAUUGUACUACAAUUGUUUGAAUAGCUUAGCAUAUGUUCAGAUGUAUGAUAUCUGUAAUUUAAGCGCUUGAAUUUUACAUAUAAAUAUUUAUUAAUAAAUAUGUACCCCUAUAAUAGCUAGGCCGUGCAGUUGCACGGGUAGAUGACUAGUGAUUACAAUCUUGUUUGUGUGCAAGUCAAGCUUAUCUAGUUUACACGUAACAACUUGUAGAACAUUACAAAAUUUAUGCUUGCUAAUAACUUCUAGAACACUACAACACUUGACAUGUAAAAGGAAUUUGACGAGUCAUGGCCUACUAAAGCAAGUUACAUUACUAGUCUUAUCUAUCUUAACAGACCACACAAGAUUACAAACUAAGUACCGUGACAGCCAUACUUAUCUAGUUUAUGCGUAACAAUUUGCAGAAAAUUAGAAACUUAGUUUCAGAAAAAUACGCAAUCUAGAUUAGUGUUUGAGCUGUAAAGUGAAUAAGAUGAGUCAUGCAUGUUAUCACACCUUUUUGGUGGUGGAAUGAUAGUGCAACAACAAGGAACUUUAAUGACCAGUCCAAGAAUACACUUGUAAGUAGUGCCACCAAACAGAACAUUCCAAAUGAUGAUUUUUAGAAGCAUCCAAGCACUUUCCACACAAACAAAUGCCAAUUGUGAAAGAGAUCAUUCCAUGGCAGCUAUAAAUAGCCCCAUAGCAUGACGAUCAUCCUUCCUCAUCCAUCAUUCUCAUUAGUAGAGCGCAUCAUUUAAGCCAAGCAAGCUGUGGUCAAUACAAAUCCACCAUGAAGACCUUUCUCAUCCUUGCCCUCCUUGCUAUCGUGGCGACCACCGCCACAACUGCAGUUAGAGUUCCAGUGCCACAAUUGCAGCCACAAAAUCCAUCUCAGCAACAGCCACAAGAGCAAGUUCCAUUGGUACAACAACAACAAUUUCUAGGGCAGCAACAACCAUUUCCACCACAACAACCAUAUCCACAGCCGCAACCAUUUCCAUCACAACAACCAUAUCUGCAGCUGCAACCAUUUCCGCAGCCGCAACUACCAUAUUCGCAGCCACAACCAUUUCGACCACAACAACCAUAUCCACAACCGCAACCACAGUAUUCGCAACCACAAGAACCAAUUUCACAGCAGCAGCAACAACAACAACAACAACAACAAAUCCUUCAACAAAUUUUGCAACAACAACUGAUUCCAUGCAUGGAUGUUGUAUUGCAGCAACACAACAUAGCGCAUGGAAGAUCACAAGUUUUGCAACAAAGUACUUACCAGCUAUUGCAAGAAUUGUGUUGUCAGCACCUAUGGCAGAUCCCUGAGCAGUCGCAGUGCCAGGCCAUCCAAAAUGUUGUUCAUGCUAUUAUUCUGCAUCAACAACAAAAACAACAACAACAACCAUCGAGCCAGGUCUCCUUCCAACAGCCUCUGCAACAAUAUCCAUUAGGCCAGGGCUCCUUCCGGCCAUCUCAGCAAAACCCACAGGACCAGGGCUCUGUCCAGCCUCAACAACUGCCCCAGUUCGAGGAAAUAAGGAACCUAGCGCUACAGACGCUACCUGCAAUGUGCAAUGUCUACAUCCCUCCAUAUUGCACCAUCGCGCCAUUUGGCAUCUUCGGUACUAACUGAGAAGAAAAUAACUCUAGUACUAGAUAUAUGAAACACCGUUUUCUCAGUCCAUGGUUUGGUCAUUGUAGCGUUGAAAAAAUAAUGUGACAUGCACUAUCAUGUAAGAAUCCGAACUAUACUAGUUCAAACUUGGGAAUAAAAGACAAACACAGGUCUUGUCUACAUAUUUAUGUUGCAUCUAUUUAUAUAUUAAAAGUAAUAUAAGGUGAACCAGGAGCAAGGUAAAUAUGCUAGAAAAUUGCACGUUAAUUAGAAAUUACUAGCCCUCGAUCUGGUAAAUCUUAACAAAUAGAAUUAUCUUCACCGUUAGAUUUAUGUAACAUAUAUAAUGCUCUGGGCCUCCAACGACUGUACGUGACACAUCUGAAUGAACAUAUGUUAAAGAAAAUAUAUUUGGUAAAUGGUGGGCCUGUUUAAAAAGAGAACUCACGUACAUGCACCAACUAAGAAAAACACAUACAUGUAAACGGGAAAAGGAUGAGAUUUUCUCACGUACGUGCUCCCUGGCUCCACCCCGUUGAAAAAAUAUACAUCUGGAGGCCACUUUGUUUCCUCAUCAAAAAAAACUUACGUUAAAAAGAUUGCAUGCAUCCCAGGGAAAAUAGUCAAGAAGAAGUCGGACUUUUCCUUACAAAAACAAGGAACGUGUUAAGUUGACUUCAAAGAAAAAAGGAACAUGUUAAGUUAAAAAAAACAAGAAACCUGUUAAGUUAGAAAAAAACAGGGAACGUGGUGUCCUAGGAAAGAUAUGUGUCAAAUCUUACAAAAAAAAAGAAUACACACACGUACGUUCAUGCACUUGGAAAAUAGAAGAAAAAAAAGGAAACAUCACGUAUGUAUACACUUCGGAAACUCAUUACAUGACCAUGUCUGAUAUACUCCUCUAAUGCUUAAUAUUAGUGCCUAAUAAUUUAUAUUUGAAAUUUAAUUUACUGAUCAAAUAUCCCCACUGUUUAAAUUUUAAUUUGGCACAUUGUUUGGCUAUAGUAUGAACCUAAAUUUCCUCUUAUUAUUAUAUAUCAUGGUAAUAAUCCAAAGGCGACUAAUCUGCACCGGGGCACCCGCGCAAUCAAUUCGGCUAGACACAGCGCAGCCGUUUGAUUAGAUUGCAUUUAACCGUCAGAUCUGGAAUCGUUUUCUUUCCAAUUAAACAGAUUCAACCAAACAGCAGAGGGGAAAACAAAGCAGCGCCGCCGCCAACACUAGCCAUGGACGACUGAUGUAGCAAAACCUUGAAGAACCGCCGCCGGUCGCCACCCUCGCCGCUGGUCGCAGCCCUCGCCGUCGGUCACCGCCGGUCGCCGCCCUCGCCGCCUGCGUUUCUCAUCGGCUUCAUGCAUGCAACAACAUGCACUCGUGGUUGCAGGCUUGCAUCUCCGGCUCUGGGGGACAUGGCCGCAUCUCCGGUAGCGCCGGCCGCCGGCCGCAGCACCUGUCGUUGUGGUCGCGCUGUACCUCGCCGUGUGCCCUCCCGAGGCUCUUGCUAGUUCCAACAAAAAACGAUACCUGUUGUAGCAAAAAAGUAUCGCUUCCAGCAAAAAAAGCUUACCGCUACAGCCCGCCAUCGUCAUUGUAGCAAAAAUGUUUACCCGAUGUAGCUUCUGUGGUUGCCGAUUGCAGCAAAAAAUGACAUGGUUGUAGCAAAACACAAAAGAAAAACGCCGGCCGGCCGCUGUGUAUGGUGGUAACAAACCCUAUAGCCGGUGGUAGCGAAAAACUUCAUAGUUUGCAGCAAAAAAAAAUGUUGUCACCCGUCGUCGAGGUUGCAUCAUCUUCAAGAAUUAUGUCGCAAAAAAACGUUGUCGCCGGUAGUAGCAAAUGAAGCCGCCGGUAGUAGCAAAACAAGACACUGGUUCCAGCCAAAAAAAAUCAGCGACAGAACCUUUGGUUGGUUCCAACAAAAAAACUUGUUGGUUGUAACAUCCCUCACCGCCGGAUGUAGCAUCUCCCGGGGCUGGUUGCAACACUCCAUAAAAAAAAGUUGUCUAUGAGCGCAUCCAUGGCGACUGUUGCACCGUCAGCAACGAGGGGAAGAGGAGGCAAUGAAAAUCGUUCGAGUCAUAGCUCCACAGGACGCAACUGCAGCAUGGGGAGUCCAAAAAUCUGUCACAAGCAAGAUGCGCCUCGCCAUCCUCCUGCGCAGGAGAGAGAAGAAAAAGGAAUAAGAGGAAGAAGAAAGGAAACGGGAGAAAGAAAAAAGAAACGAUUGAUGGUUGGCUCAGGCAAUUAGUCAAACGAGGGGCACGCGGGGCCGCAGGAUACAGCGCAAUCGAACGAAGCGUGCGCGUCCGGCCGAAGACUCGGCUGGACUGCCGGCUGGAAACGUUUCCCUAAUCCAAAGGCUUUGUCUGAAUGACAAGUCGUCUGGGUUACCGGCUAACUAGAAAAAAGAUAAAUAUGCUAGAGAAUUCCAUAAUAAUUAAAAAUAUCUAGCCUUUAAUUAUGUAAAUCAGAAAAUCACAACCGUUGGAUUUACUUUAAAGGUAAAUUUCUCUAAAUUCCCACCAUUGCCAGUAUGUAGAAACAUGUGCUGCUUCAAUUCUCCCUUAAUCACCAAUCAAUCAACAACACAAAACAUACCUUAGUUAAAAAAAACUGAACAAAAAAAAAGAAAAAAAGAAGAAAGGACAAGAUACACGCAUGUACACGACAGCCUUGGCUUGAAACACAUCAGUAGAUCAAGUGUCCGCCUCCCUUACACAGAAUAAAUUCUAGGGAAGAAAAUAAUAGUGCAACCUAACCUUAUACGUACUAUUCUAUCCUCGAGUCCCAUGUGGUUUACAAGCCUACCGCCGCCGCAUCAUGCCAUCCUCUCCUUUCAGCUCCCAUGCUCUCCAGCACCCUCCUUGCCGCGCCACUACUCGCCUAGGGAUAUUGCUGCUCAGGCCGUGGAGCUUAACCUGCUUCUUCUUCAGCAAAUAUGGAACUGCUUUAGGAUCCUUCUCACAUCAGCACGUAUGGGCCUCAUUAUACUGCAGCUCCUGGACCUCCUACAAUUGGUUGGCUAUGGCCAGUUGAUCGAUGUGCUGAAGUCCAGGUCUGUUUGCUGGCACAUAUGCUUUGGAAAUAGGCCACUAUGUUUGUACUUCAAAAUUGUUUCUGUAUUCUUGAGUGGUACAUCCUUUUAAGCGCCAGUUUUUUAUGUUAAUUCAUGCUGACAACACUUAACCUAGCCUUUUCAUGUUCACGUAAUUGCUCUGCAUGUUCUACAUAGGAAAAUUUGUCAUGUUCUACGAUCGCACCAUCCCACCCUUCUCUCUUGGUAUGGGCGCCAAUUGAGGGAUUGAUAAAACUGAAACGAAGACGUCACAGGGCUGGAAGUACCGCUAGCCUGGUUCGCACUGCAACCUACCCAACGCGAUUGGAGCAGGUGGCUAUGGAGAUUUUACCCAACAUGGGUGGCAGCAUAAUCUCCGGAUCGGUCCACCAACCGUUUCGACAUAGGCAUAUUGUCGGUCUAUAGGACUCUACUGUUGCCGAAUUGUCGGGUUUUUUUCUUAUCAGAUUUUUUAUGUUUGGCUGUGUGCAUCCUAGUUAUGCAGAGGCCGGGUGGUACUCUAAAUGCUUUGUAUCGCUUGAUGCUACAUUUUGAGAUAAUAAAAACGUCCUUUAUCAAAAAAAAAUUGUAAGUACUACCCCUUGCAUGUGCGUACAUACCUUUGUUGCAUUCUCAAACAGAUAGAACAUGUAUGAUCGGUGCAUGGCUAUUUUUCAUCACAUGACAUCCAGAUAACAAGCAUGAAAGGACUACAUUGGAGAUCAAAAAAUAUUGGUUCCUGGCUAGAGUACCACUACCUAUGGACUUGUCUCCAUAGAAUUUGUUCCCAAGAUGUUAUUUUAAUUAACCUCUUUAGAUUUCUUCCAUUGCAAACGGUGAUGUGCAUCAUGGUAUAUACGUGACCAUCUUGCACAUGUAUACACAAGAGGCUCAGACGGAGGUGCUGGAUUCUGGACGAGGGAAUAUGAAGCAGGAGUGAGCGAAGAGUAAAUAAUGGUGGGAGUACCGAUUGGUGUUAUGAAGAAAAAUGCCAUCCAAAGAUUGAUUAGUGUCAUGGAAGAUUAAUUUCUGAAUGUGAAUAUAUAUGUUACAUUGGUUUCCAUCUUUUUGAGAUAAUUGCACCUAAAUUAGGUUCUUUCUUAUUUCAUGUGUAUACCUUAUUUCAGUAAAAGUUCACAACGAACUUAGUAGGACAAAUAUAAUUUUGUUUGUUCUUUCUGUUGUCCGCCACCAAAGCUCAGUUUGAACUCUCUAGAAAUGGACAAUGAUUUAUGCAUUCUAUAUCUUCUUGAUUGAUUAGCCAUGACAAGGAAAUAAAAGGAUUGACUGAUAUAGCAUAACUUUGGAACGAUCUGUUCGUAGAGGUUACUAUAAAUUAGAGUAGUGUCUGUUGGAAUUUUGCUAGUACGCCUUUGGCCCAAAGCCCAACUAAAAUUCUGAAAUUCUCUUGGCUCAUUUAUGCACACAAGUUAGUCCCACCCCGGAAGUUGAGAGAGAGUUGCACCUCUUUAUAAGGUGAGCUCUUCUACCACUUGUAUGAGCAUGAGAAGAGGAGACCUACACGCGCGCUCCUCCUCGCUCGCCCCGCCGCGCCGCGGGUUGCGGGAUUGAGCCGAGCCGAGGACGUUGUCUAUAUUUUUGCUGCUCGGGAAAAAUUAAUGAGUCAUUAAUUAAUAAUUAAUGGACGCGUUAAUUACUGAACCAUUUCCGAUUCUUUUGGAUCGUAACGACUCGGACGUGGGGUUUACUCCCACGACCUACCCGGCCCGCACUAUAUAGUCAGGCAGACGUCUACCCUAGCCGCCGCCGCUUCGUAUGGUUUCUCACCAUCGUUACAGAUCAUUGCGCCACCAAGCAAGUUUUCUCCAUCCCUCCUUUCGGCGUGCACCGGGAGAAGGGACAGCAGGCCUCCGGAACCCCGCCUCUCGUGAUCCUGUACGGGAGAGGGGCGAUCAGGUUUUUGAGGAGCGCACUCGCACGACUGCUGGCAGCGACGACUUCGCGAACGACGACAUCUUCCCCGGCCUCGGCAACCUCAUCCUCGACGACAUGGGCGACAACGUCAACGCCGGCGGUGCUACACCCACUACACCGUAUGUUAUUCUAUCCUUCUUGUUCGAGAUCGUGGUAGAAUUCAUAUUUCUAGUAUAUGUGCUAUAGAUGUGAUCUGUUCAUCUACUAUGCUAGUUCGCAUGAUUAGUUUAAUCUCUGCUAUUGCUGUCAUGAUCUAUUUCCUAUUUAUUCGGAUUAAAUCUCGUAGUAAUUGGCUCAUUUUUCCAACAAUCCAAAAACCUGAUUAUAGGCAAUUUACUCCGAGUGGUUUUACUGCGCAUCUAAAAGCCGCCUGCCUUUAAGGGGGCGUAAUAUAAGAGGUGGCGCACCAGAGCAGUCUACUGGUUUCAGAUCAUGGGCUGCUAUGAUGCCACCAAGGGCAAGCCUGAGGGCGAUCUUAAUCCAGCACAGCUGGAAGCUUUCAAGGAGAUCAAUACCCUCUUUAAAGGCACUCUUCUGAGUGUUCUUGAUGACUCCAUUGUAGAUUCGUAUAUGUCAUUUGACAACGGCAAGAACAUGUGGGCUACGCUCGAGUCCAAGUUUGGUGCCUCAGACGCCGGCAGCAAGUUCUACGUCAUGGAGCAAUUCUAUGACUCCAAGAUGACUGAUGAGCGCCCUAUUGUACAGCAGGCUCAUGAGAUACAUUCGCUCGCAAAAGAACUUGAGUACUUCAAGUGUGUGUUGCCGGACAAAUUUGUUGCCGGAGGCAUCAUUGCCAAGCUUCCACCUUCGUGGAACAAUUUUGCUACUUCCCUGAAACACAAGAGACAGGAGUUUUUCAUUGCGGAUCUCAUUGGUACUCUUGAUGUUGAAGAGAAGGCGAGAGCAAAGGAUACACGUGCUCGAGUUGCUGAGGGAGGUUCUAGUGCCCACAUGGUACAGAAGAAGAACUUCCAGCCCAACAAGUUCAAAAACAACAAGAACAAAACUUAGGGCAAAGGCAAGUUUGAUACAAAGAACAAGCCAUCACAUUCUACCAACUUCAAGAAGAACUCUCAUAAGAAGGGGAAGGGACUUUGCCAUGUCUGCGGUGAUCCUAAUCACUGGGCUCCGAAGUGUGCUAACCGCUUUGAGGAGCGCGAAGAUGAGAAGAGCCGCAAGUCCGCUAAUGUUAUCAUCGGUGAUACUGAUAUGAAGGAAUCAGGGUACGGUAUUUUUCCUACCAUCCUUUCAGUAUUCCAAACCCCUGAUUCGUUAAUUGACACCGGUGCCAAUGUACAUGUUUGUGCUGAUGCCUCCAUGUUUUCUUCUUACCAGGCCACUGGGACUUCUCCCGUGCUAUUGGGGAACGGGUCACAUGCCAUCGUUCGAGGUGUUGAUACGGUCGAUCUGAAGUUUACUUCAGGGAAGACCGUGCGUCUGAAGAACGUUCAUCAUGUGCCGUCCAUCAAUAAAAAUCUCGUUAGCGGUUCCCGUUUAUGUCGAGAUGGUUUUAAGUUGGUUUUCGAAUCCAAUAAAGUUGUAAUUUCUAAGUAUGGACAAUUUGUUGGAAAAGGCUAUGAGAGCGGAGGCUUGUUUCGCCUGUCUUUGUCAGAUAUUUGCACUAAAGUUAUUAAUAAUGCUUGCCACAACAAUGAGUCUGAUAUUUGGCAUUCACGACUUUGUCACAUUAACUUUGGUUGCAUGACGCGGCUAGCCAAUAUGAAUUUAAUUCCGAAAAUCUCUACUAUCAAAGGCUCUAAGUGCCAAGUAUGUGUGCAAGCUAAGCAACCUCGCAAGUCCCAUAAGACUGCAGAGGCAACAGACUUGGCGCCACUAGAGCUUAUACAUUCUGAUAUUUGUGAGAUGAAUGGCGUGUUGACAAAAGGUGGAAAGAGAUACUUCAUGACGUUGAUUGAUGACUCCACUAGAUAUUGUUAUGUGUAUCUUGUGAAAUCAAAAGAUGAGGCUUUGGCUUUCUUCAAAAACUAUAAAGCUGAGGCAGAAAACCAACUUGAUCGAAAAAUUAAACGGCUUAGGUCCGAUCAUGGUGGCGAGUAUUUUUCCAAUGAAUUUGAUCUGUUUUGUGCGGAACAUGGUAUAAUCCAUGAGAGGAUGCCUCCCUACUCACCCCAGUCAAAUGGGGUAGCCGAAAGAAAGAACCGAACUCUAACUGAUAUGGUUAACACCAUGUUAGACACUUCGGGUCUAUCCAAGGAAUGGUGGGGGGAGGCGCUAAUGACUGCGUGUCAUGUCCUAAACCGAGUUCCCACAAAGCAUAAGACCAUGACUCCAUUUGAGGAAUGUGAAAGGAAAAGGUUGAAACUCUCUUACCUAUGUACUUGGGGUUGUUUGGCAAAAGUCAAUAUAUCAAUUCCCAAGAAGCGCAAGCUUGGACCAAAAACCGUGGAUUGUGUUCUUCUUGGCUAUGCUUUUCAUAGCAUCGGCUAUAGAUUUUUGAUAAUAAAAUCUGAGGUAUCCGACAUGCAUGUUGGUACGAUUAUGGAGUCGAAUGAUGCAACUUUCUUUGAGGACAUAUUUCCUAUGAAGGAUAUGUCGAGUUCAUCAAAUCAGGAGACACCUACUCCAUCUAGUGAGGAGUUCACUGCAAUUCCUAAACCCAUCAUUGCGAUGGAAUACGUUGAGAAUCCUGUUGAGGGUGACAAUGGAACUCCUGUGAGGAGUAAGAGACAUAGGGCUACAAAGUCCUUUGGUGAUUAUUUCAUUAUGUACCUCGUGGAUGACACACCCAGGACUAUUUCAGAAGCCUGUGCAUCUCUUGAUGCUGACUACUGGAAGGAAGCUGUACGUAGCGAGAUGGAUUCCAUCUUAGGUAACGGAACCUGGGAGAUCACUGACCGUCCUUAUGGGUGAAAACCUGUAGGAUGUAAGUGGGUGUUCAAGAAGAAGCUUAGACCUGAUGGUAUGAUUGAAAAGUAUAAGGCACGGCUUGUGGCCAAGGGUUAUACCCAGAAAGAAGUUGAAGACUUCUUUGAUAGUUACUCACCCGUGGCUAGACUGUCCACAAUUCGGGUGCUACUAUCACUUGCUGCCUCACAUGGUCUUCUCGUUCAUCAAAUGGACGUUAAGACAACUUUCCUCAAUGGAGAGUUGAAGGAGGAAAUUUACAUGGAUCAGCCAGAUGGUUUUGUAGUACCUGGUUAGGAAGGAAAGGUGUGCAAGUUAUUAAAGUCUUUAUAUGGCCUUAAACAAGCUCCUAAAGAGUGGCAUGAGUAGUUCGAAAGAACAUUAACUACUGCCGGCUUUGUAGUAAACGAUGGUGACAAGUGCGUGUACUAUCGCUAUGGUGGGGGCGAAGGAGUUAUUCUUUGUCUGUAUGUCGAUGACAUAUUGAUCUUUGGAACCAAACUUGAUUUAAUCAAGGAGGUUAAGGAUUUCUUAUCUCGCUAUUUUAAGAUGAAGGAUCUAGGAGUAGCUGAUGUUAUCUUAAACAUCAAGCUGUUGAGAGAUGAGAAUGGUGGGAUCACACUGCUUCAGUCUCACUAUGUGGAAAAGGUCUUGCUUCGUUUUGGGUAUAGCGACUGCACACCUUCUCCAACUCCAUAUGAUGCUAGCGUGUUGCAUCGAAAGAAUCGAUGGAUUGCUAGAGAUCAACUAAGGUAUUCUCAUAUUACUGGCUCGCUUAUGUAUUUGGCGAGUGCCACGAGGCCUAACAUCUCGUUUGCUGUUAGCAAGCUGAGUCGGUUUGUGUCAAAACCGGGAGAUGAUCAUUGGCAUGCGCUUGAGAGAGUUAUGCGCUAUUUGAAAGGCACCGCGAGCUAUGGGAUUCACUACACCGGGUAUCCAAGGGUACUGGAGGGUUAUAGUGACUCAAACUGGAUAUCUGAUGCUAAUGAGAUUAAGGCCACAAGUGGUUAUGUUUUUACACUUGGUGGUGGCGCUGUUUCUUGGAAGUCCUGCAAGCAGACCAUCUUAACGAGGUCAACUAUGGAAGCAGAACUCACAUCAUUAGAAACUGCCACUGUUAUAGAAGAGUGGCUUCGUGAGCUCUUGAUGGACUUACCUAUGGUUGAAAAACCAAUACCCCCUAUCCCGAUGAACUGUGAUAAUCAAACUGUGAUCGUCAAGAUAAACAGUUCUAAGGACAAUAUGAAGUCCUCAAGGCAUGUGAAGAGGAGACUGAAAUCUGUCAGAAAAUUGAGGAACUCCGGAGUUAUUAUGUUGGAUUAUAUCCAAACGUCAAAAAAAUUAGCAGAUCCCUUCACAAAGGGUCUAUCACGUAAUGUGAUAGAUAAUGCAUCGAUGGAGAUGGGUCUGAGACCCACCGCAUGAGUUGUCCAUAGUGGUAACCCACUCUAUGUGAUCGGAGAUCCCGUGAAGUAGAAGUGGGAGACAAGUUGUUGGUCAGCUGGGAGGAGAGUAUCCCUAUAUUACCUAUCCCACUUCAUGAAGAUGCAAUACUCUCCUAAUCUGCAUGGCAGGUUGAUACUUAUCUUAAUGUGUUCCAAGUGGCUUAUUCGGGUAAGCAGAGAUGUUGUCCUGCAGAACAUCUUCUAAGAAACACAUCUAUAUGAAUUUGACUGUUAACAUUGCAGUCUGUGAGAAUUGGGUGUUCUCUAAUAAAUUCAUGAAAAGGCCCUGGAAUAUGACGUAUACACUCCACCCGCGGGGAAGCCUUGCGGCAGCCCAGUAUCGGUCAAGAAUUUAUGUGAAACUAGUCUCGCAGAAAAUUUUUAGUUCAAGGCAUAGUCCACUAUUCAAGUUGUGAUCUAGUGUAGCAUAAAUCUCUAAGUGGAAGUUAAACUUCACAGUCUCCACUAAGCCCUGGUAUAUAAACAAUGUUUUGGAACUAAAUGAUGAGAUGUGCCCAUGAGACUUUGUGGGGGAUUGUUGGAAUUUUGCUAGUAGGCCUUUGGCCCAAAGCCCAACUAAAAUUCUGAAAUUCUCUUGGCCCAGUCAUGCACACAUGUGAGUGGAGUGAGUGAGACUAAAGUUUAGUCCCACCCCGGAAGUUGAGAAAGAGCACAUCUUUAUAAGGUGAGCUCUUCUACCACUUGUAUGAGCAUGAGAAUAGGAGACCUACACACGCGCUCCUCCUCCUCGCUCGCCACACCACGCCUCGUCACGACGCGCCGGCCGUGGGUUCGGGAUUGAGCCGAGCCGAGGACAGAGCUAUGCACAUUGUCUAUUUUUUGCUACCCCGGAAAAAUUAAUGAGUUAUUAAUUAAUAAUUAAUGGACGCAUUAAUUACUGAACCGUUUCCGAUUCUUUUGGAUCGUGAUGACUCGGACGUGGGGUUUACUCCCACGACCUACCUGGCCCGCACUAUAUAGUCGGGCAGACGUCUACCCUAGUUGCCGCCGCUUCGUAUGGUUUCUCACCACUGUUCCAGAUCAUUGCGCCGCCAAGCAAGUCUUCUCCAUCCCUCCUUUCGGCGUGCACCGGGAGAAGGGACAGCAGGCCUCCGGAAUCCCGCCUCUCGUGACCCUGUACGGGAGAGGGGCGAUCAGGUUUUUGGGGAGCGCACUCGCGCGACUGCUGGCAGCGACGACUUCGCGAAUGACGACUUCUUCCCUGACCUCGGCAACCUCAUCCUCGACGACAUGGGCGACAAUGUCUACGCCGGCGGUGCUGCACCCGCUGCACCAUAUGUUAUUCUAUCCUUCUUGUUCGAGAUCGUGGUAGAAUUUAGAUUUCUAGUGUGUGCCCUAGAUGUGAUCUGUUCAUCUACUAUGCUAGUUCGCAUGAUUAGUUUAAUCUCUGUUAUUGCUGUCAUGAUCUAUUUCCUAUUUAUUCGGAUUAAAUCUCAUAGUAAUUUGCUCAUUUUUCCAACAGUGCCAUCUAAUAGAUGAUGUAAAUCUCCUCAAGUUUGACGUUGUUGAGCUAAUUUACAAAAAAAAACUCAUCAUUAUUGGACGUCCUUAACAGCUCAAGAACAAGUUGGGGUCGAACUAAUGGAUUUUAAACUUUUACAUAAAAGGUUUAGCUAAAGCUAGCAGGUUUUUUUAAACCUGAAUUUUUUUCCUCCUGAAUUUCUUUGUAUUUUCUUAUUGACACUAUUUAUACAAUCAUCUGACAAAGAUUAGCUAAAGCUGUUUGUAGAUACGUUGAAACCUGAAAAGCUUCUUUGGUUAUCCUUUUAAUAGUUCUACGUUUAUUUUCUCAUAGGUCUUAAUUCUUAUGUAAUACCAAGAUGCAUUGUGGUAGUGUACAUGUGUUAAAUUCAGGUUGUUAUUCACAAUUUGCGACAAAAUUUAGCUCACGCUACAUUUAAAUAUGUUGAAAUGUGAAAGCUCUUUUUCUUCUCCUUUCUACACCUUGCAUCGGAUUGCAUCCCUUUAGUUAUCCAACAUUUUGUACAACAUGUAGAGAUUAGGAAGUUCAUCAUAGUUUGUCUAUUUCCGUGCAAAUAAAUGUAUGAAAUCUGCAUUUCCAAGCUACUAGGACAAGUAAAAAAUAAUAAUUUUACUAUAGGAUUCAAAAACAGCAGUUCUGAAGUGCACUUUAUUUAUUUGUGAAAGUGAUCACAUUUUGUUUCAUUUUUCUAUAGACAAAUCUACUAAUACAUACUCACGAUAAAACUAUAAAAGUUCUAGUCCGCACAUUGGGCGGGCCACCCGGCUAGUUAGUCUAAAGAUAACAAAAUGAGUCUGGUGUUUGAAUUAAAUUGAAGUAUUUUCUUGGACUUUCAAAUUGAGUAUUAUUAAAGUAGUAAGGACUAUUCACAUCCUUGGCUUGCCCCUGAUCAAUUAUUUCCAGAGAAGCAUUCAAUUCAUCAAUCAAUUACAUUGAUUUUAGUGGCUGGUACUUCUCCUCAACAUCAGUAUAUUCACCGUGGCCACUCCAAAUCGGCAAGAAUGAGGUACCAGUGCUCUGGAGCAGUGCAAGCUAAUUGCUUCUCAUGUGAAGGGGUGCGGGCGCAGGAGAGGUAUUUCUGGUGGGCCAAGGGACUAAGAAGCGACCGUGGCAGCGGUACAGACGCCCGCAAAGCCCCAUAGUUUGUUUUUGGUUUACAGGAAAAAUGCACAUCCAUACCGGCCUGGGGAAUAUAGGACCGUAUUGGAUGGAAAACCAUGUCCGGAUGGUUGCGAGCGGUUUGAGGGUUAGCUUUUGUAACGCCCGGUUAGUUAUGCUAUAGCAAUUCCCUGCUAAUGAUGUCACGUCACCACGAUUACUGUUGUUAACCUCACAAUGAUUCAAUCCCCUUCAAAUUCAAAUUUAAAAUAAAGGCAAACAUAAAAAGUUUUCAAACAUUAAAACUAAAAUCUUUGAGAGGUGACAAAUAAUGCAUAAGUAAUUAUGAUGGAGAAACCACACUUUAAUCAAAUGUUUAAAUACUCUAAAAUGAAAAAAAACAGUGGCUUAAACUAUUAUUUAAAUGCUUUUAAAAUAGUAAAAAUCUUCUAACUAAAUUAUUUGGGUACCAAACUUUUGGUGGCAGUGGUAUAUUUAGUAGAACUAAUUUAGAUGCUAAUUAUAUAAUUUACAAAAUUAGAGUAAAUUGAAAAAUAGGAUAAAACGGAAAAGGAAAGACAAAACAAUAAAAGCAAAAGGGGGCAACCCCUUGCUGGGCCUCGGCCUAGCUGGCCACUAGGCUAGCUAGGCUGGCCCCGCCGCCUCCCUUNNNNNNNNNNNNNNNNNNNNNNNNNNNNNNNNNNNNNNNNNNNNNNNNNNNNNNNNNNNNNNNNNNNNNNNNNNNNNNNNNNNNNNNNNNNNNNNNNNNNNNNNNNNNNNNNNNNNNNNNNNNNNNNNNNNNNNNNNNNNNNNNNNNNNNNNNNNNNNNNNNNNNNNNNNNNNNNNNNNNNNNNNNNNNNNNNNNNNNNNNNNNNNNNNNNNNNNNNNNNNNNNNNNNNNNNNNNNNNNNNNNNNNNNNNNNNNNNNNNNNNNNNNNNNNNNNNNNNNNNNNNNNNNNNNNNNNNNNNNNNNNNNNNNNNNNCAUCUGGAUCGGGGAGGGUAUUGCCCCCAUUGUCCCCGUUGCCGUCGCCGGAUCGCCCGCCGACGUUGCCAGGCCUCCUCCCCGCCGCCCGUCUCCGGCUGACCUCCCCUCUUGCUCCUCUUCCCCGACCCGAUCUGGAUCGUGAACGAGCAAUGAGCUCGAAGCCCCCCUUCACCGGCGCCAUCACCGUGCGCCACCACCACCGCCUGAAGACCUCACCGUCGCCGAACCUUGCGUCGCCUCCUCGUAUCCCUCCCCUACUCGCGUCCUCAAGCCAGGCCGAGCCCCUUCUCGGCAACGCUGUGAGACGCCCCCGUUUCCCUCCUCUUUCCAGCGCGUUCAUCGCGCUGCCUGCCGUGCCCCUCGUCGUGCGCACGCCCACCACCGCACCAGCCCCCGCUCCGCGCACGACCCUACCCGCGCCCGCGCCAUGAUCCCCUUUUCCGCCCUACCUUCCCGCGCUCGCCGCGAUCCUGAUGCUCCCCCGCGCCCUCUUUCGGGGGCGCCGACUGCCCCUGUCCCGGUGCUCGCCGCCGUGCCUCGCCACCGCUCUACUGCUACGUUACUACUGCGCUGCGGCCGCCGCCUCUUCCCGCUGCUCCGCUAGCGCCGAAGCUCCCGGUUGGCUCCACCACUGCUCACGUUAAACCGCCGGCCUAAAUGGCCUAACCCCCGGCUAAUGAACCCCCACUAACCCACUGACACCGGGACCCACAUUCCCUAAUUAACCAUUUAAUAAAUUAAAACUCUUAAAUUAACAUUAGUGUAUGACAUGUGCUUCCCCUGUUAAUUAAUAAUUUUACUGCUAGUUUUAUUAGUUUCUGUUUUUUCUGCAUAUUUCUUUUGUAUUUGAACAGGCUUUAUACAAUAAUAUUUAGCGUAUCAUACACAUACAAAUGUAAUCAUAGCAUAUACAUACAAAUAGUCUCAUCAAAUAAUGUCAUCAUCAUAAUCAUCAUCCAUCACAAAGUGGUCUCUCGUCAUCAUCUCGAAAAUAGCGAUACAAGUCUCGAUUACUUGCAACUACAUCGUCAUCCAUCUAAACAAUGAUAUACGCGAGAAGAGCUAUCACUAUGAGUGAGAGUGGAACUAUGCAGUACAUGAGUUUGUAUCCCUCUCUCACAUUAGCGUGAACCUAAACUAACUACUGGCUAUUGCUCGGAAACCGGAAACCGGUACACCUGGGCCUGACACUCCGGCCACUCAUCGUAUACUCCUGGCGUAGCACUUCUUCGCCAUCUAUGAUCUAUGCACCUGCAUCGUCACAUGAGUCGAUGAUAUGCAACAUAUAUAGUUGAGCAACAGAAAGAGAUAGACUUGGCAAAAAUAGAAGCAACAUAUCAUAAGCAUAAAUAACAAAGUUCAUCAUACGCAAAAUGCCCUAACUAGAGUGAUCUUCGCUAGUCGAGGAGGACGGUUUAAUUACAUCACAAAUAAUGUUUCGUCGUGCAUAACUCAAAGUUCCGUCAUACAGAAAGUAUGAACUAAAUGGACACAUUGUCAUAUUUCGAAAAUCACUCCAACAUGUCGUGCCAUCCAUCCAAGUCAAGGAGAUAGUACCCGAGCUUAGUGAAAGGCUUUAGGUCAAGACGCUGAGCGGCUACGCGUGUUCGGACAUCUUCCCACGACAUUUGUCCUUCAUAGAACAUCCCUGUUUUUUCGACGACCUCCUUCAUCACUGGUAGAAAAAGGGCCUGUUGUCCCGGUUCGUAAGGGCCUGUUGUCCCGGUUCUGGAACCGGGACUAAAGGGUCGGUACUAAUGCCCUGUCCCUUUAGUCCCGGUUCAAUCCAGAACCGGGACAGAUGGGCCUCCACGUGGCCUGUGCGCGGAGCCCAGGCAGGAGACCCUUUGGUCCCGGUUGGUGGCACCAACCGGGACCAAUAGGCAUCCACGCGUCAGCAUUUUUGUGGUUGGGGUUUUUGUUUUUUUGAAAGGGGGGGUGUUGGGGGUCUUGGGGGGUUAAUUUAGGUGUUUCAUAUAUUGUGUUAGCUAGCUAUAAUUAAUAGAGAGAAGUGUCCUCUCUUAUGUCCGUGCUUGGUCGACGCUACGUACUAUACAUACGUAUAGAGAGGACUAGACACGCUAGCUAGCUAGUAAGCAAACGAAGGAAACAGACGAUCGUCAUGAACAUAUAUGCAUACAGAGAGAAGUGAUAUCGAUCACCUCUCCUUCUCCGAGAGAUUGGUCGAACAACAAGUUCUCGUAUAUCUAUCCGACACUACCGGCUACAUAUAUACAAUAAUUAUCACUUACAAAUAUAAUCAUACGGACUCAGGGUCCACAUAGUAUUCUCCGUCUUUAGGGAUCACGUGGUCAAGAAAGAAUGCCGCCAAUUCCUCUUGAAUUGCUCGCAUGCGAGCUGGUGCUAGGAGUUCUUCCCGCUUCCGAAACAUCUAAUUCAAAGAAGGGGGUCAAUACAUAUAUAUAUGAAUGAAUGAAACUCAACACAAAUGAUGGUAAUAAAAUAAAAUUGUGAAUGUUGUUAUUUACGUACUUCAUAUUGUUCGUCAGUGUAGCCCCGCUCACAGGUCAUGUGGCGGAUGGACUCGCAAACGUAGUAUCCACAGAAAUCAUUCCCUUGUUCCUGCCACAACCACUUUACAAGAAAUAGAGGUCAAUCAAACUGAUAAGCAAGAAUGCCAAAUGGUAUUGAUGAAACCAGCGCUUGAAUGACUAGUAGAUGCGCGGAACAUGCUACUAUAGUACUUACUUUCGGGUGUCUAAAUUGCAGCUCCUUCGGCAGUCCCGGAGCUUUUCUGGUGAAUUUUCUCCAAACCCUGCCAGACAAAGAAAACAAUUACUUGAUAUAUCAGGAAAUGAACAAAGUUGCUGAUAUGGUGGAUAAUGAUCGAUUUAACUUACUUCUCGAGUAUUUGAGUCAUGUUUGCAUAGUCCUGGGGAUCUUUUCGUCUUGAGUCUAAGACGGUUACUAGUCCCUGCUCAAGCUUAAUCUCUAGGAGAAUAUAGUAGAAACUGCACACGCAUGCAUAACUCAUCAAUUACAUUACUAUAACCUUGACUAAUAUAUAAGGGAAACCGAACACACACAAGACAGUAACACUCACUUGAAGUUGUAAGGAAAGAGUAUUAUAUCUUUGUUUUCAUUUAUUACCAACGAUCGUAGCAAGUUGGCCUCGGUAGCUAUGGCAUGAAAUUUAACCUGAGUUGCAUCUAUGAGAUAUGUGUUAAUGAACCCAAUAUCACCGACUUAUCUUUUCUUCAAUUCGGCGAUCUUCAAUCUGCAUAAUAUAGUGAGGAUGAUUAUAAAUACAUGCAAUGAAAGAGCUGAGCUAUAUAUAGAGACUUAAUGACAGAAGUAGUACUACUUACAGACAGUAGCAGGCGACCGUUGUUUUAUCGAGGGCCAAUUGAUUGAAAAACUGAUAGAACUCCUCAAAUGGAACAGGCAACAGUUCAAUUCCAACGAGGUCAUGCUCCUUUUUAACUUUCACAUACAAAGUACUCCUCCCCCCAGAGUCUUUGCAGAUUUUCAAGUACAAAUCAUGCACUCUUCGCAUCAUCGUUGAUAGAGAUAUUUCAUCUUUGAAGAGAGGCUUCCCGUACUCGUAUCUUUGUAUCUGCACCUUCAGGGGUUCAUAAUGUACAUCGUCGGGCAGGUAAUCUGCAAGAUUGCUAUAACCGGGCACCAUGCUCGGACCAUUAGCGACAUUGUGGCUAGGCACCUUGAGCGGGGGGGACGAUUGCUUCGCUUGUUCGCCGAGUUGGGCAAUUUGUUUCCCAGCUCGUCGUUCUUUCAGCCUUUGAUCACUGACAGUACUUCCCGACCGCUCCGCUUCGGCAAAUUCCUUUCCAAUAAUGCACUCAUAGUUUCCUUUCGGCGGAGACUUGGGUGGUUUUGUCAUGGCAGCCAGAGUGUGCUUCGCUUUCACCGGAUCUACCUUCUCCUCCGGAAGUGGAUGUCUCUUUGCUUUUAACCCUUGAAACUAGUCAUCCACUUCGGUUCGUGCGAUCUCGGCGUUCUCCUCCGGGGUCCUCUCGUAUGGUAACUUCUCUGGAGUCUUCAGAGAAGGGCCGAAUCUAUAUGUCCUCCCGCCUCUGGCUGUACUGCUAGACGCCGGCCGAGCAGACGGAGCGGUUGUCUUCUUUACUUGCUUACGAGGCGGAGGAGAAGGACUAUGAUGCGCCGGAGAAGCCGGAGCGGCGGCAGGUCUCUUCCGCCCUUGCUGACGAGGCGGAGAAGGAGGAGGCUGGCUGCUCGGGCGCGUCAGCGCAGGCGGAGAAGGAGGCGGAGUGCUGCCACGCGCUGGAGAAGGAGCCGGUCGAGUGCCCUGAUCGUCACUCGCCGGAGGAGGAGGCGGUGGAGGAAGCGGAGUGCCCUGACUUGCCGGAGGAGGAGGCGGAGGCAUCCAGUUCGGAAGGUUGAUGAGCUCCUUCCGCCAUAGGCAUGGAGUCUUUAGAGCAGACCCCAGCCUAGUCUCCCCUUCACUGGUAGGGUGGUCAAGCUGGAGGUCCUCAAAUCCCUCCGUUAUUUCAUCCACCAUCACCCUAGCAUAUCCUUCUGGAAUCGGCCGGCAGUGAAAAGUUGCGUCGGGUUCAGUAGGAUAAACAGAGCCAACAGCCGCCUUGACCUUCAAAUUCAUCCAUUGUGUCAUAGUAAUUUCAAAAAUUUCCUACGCACACGCAAGAUCAUGGUGAUGCAUAGCAACGAGAGGGGAGAGUGUUGUCUACGUACCCUCGUAGACCAAAGCGGAAGCGUUGACGCAACAUAGAGGAAGUAGUCGUACGUCUUCCCGGUCCAACCGAUCCAAGCACCGUUACUCCGGCACCUCCGAGUUCUUGGCACACGUUCAGCUCGAUGACGCUCCCCGGGCUCCGAUCCAGCAAAGCUUCGGGGAGGAGUUCCGUCAGCACGACGGCGUGGUGACGAUCUUGAUGUUCAACCGUCGCAGGGCUUCGCCUAAGCACCGCUACAAUAUGACCGAGGUGUAAUAUCGUGGAGGGGGGCACCGCACACGGCUAAGGAACGAUCACGAAGAUCAACUUGUGUGUCUAGAGGUGCCCCCCUGCCCCCGUAUAUAAAGGAGUGGAGGAGGGGAGGGCCGGCCCUCUCUAUGGCGCGCCCUAGGGAGUCCUACUCCCACCGGGAGUAGGAUUCCCCCGUUCCUAGUCCAACUAGGAUUCCUUCCAUGUAGUAGGAGUAGGAGACAAGCAAGGGGAAAAGAGAAGGGAAGGAAGGAGGGGGCGCAGCCCCUCCCCCUACUCCAAUUCGGACUAGGCCUUGGGGGGGCACGGCCUGCCCUAGGCAGCCCCUCUCUCUUUCCCGUAUGGCCCAAUAAGGCCCAAUACUUUUCCCCCGUAUUCCUGUAACUCCCCGGUACUCCGAAAAAUACCUGAAUCACUCGGAACCUUUCCGAUGUCCGAAUAUAGUCGUCCAAUAUAUCGAUCUUUACGUCUCGACCAUUUCGAGACUCCUCGUCAUGUCCCCGAUCUCAUCCGGGACUCCGAACUCCUUCGGUACAUCAAAACUCAUAAACUCAUAAUAUAACUGUCAUCGAAACCUUAAGCGUGCGGACCCUACGGUUCGAGAACAAUGUAGACAUGACCGAGACACGUCUCCAGUCAAUAACCAAUAGCAGGACCUGGAUGCCCAUAUUGGCUCCUACAUAUUCUACGAAGAUCUUUAUCGGUCAGACCGCAUAACAACAUACGUUGUUCCCUUUGUCAUCGGUAUGUUACUUGCCCGAGAUUCGAUCGUCGGUAUCCAAUACCUAGUUCAAUCUCGUUACUGGCAAGUCUCUUUACUCGUUCCGUAAUACAUCAUCCCACAACUAACUCAUUAGUUGCAAUGCUUGCAAGGCUUAAGUGAUGUUCAUUACCGAGAGGGCCCAGAGAUACCUCUCCGACAUUCGGAGUGACAAAUCCUAAUCUCGAAAUACACCAACCCAACAUGUACCUUUGGAGACACCUGUAGAGCUCCUUUAUAAUCACCCAGUUACGUUGUGACGUUUGGUCGCACACAAAGUGUUCCUCCGGCAAAUGGGAAUUGCAUAAUCUCAUAGUCAUAGGAACAUGUAUAAGUCAUGAAGAAAGCAAUAGCAACAUACUAAACGAUCGGGUGCUAAGCUAAUGGAAUGGGUCAUGUCAAUCAGAUCAUUCAACUAAUGAUGUGAUCCCGUUAAUCAAAUAACAACUCUUUGUCCAUGGUUAGGAAACAUAACCAUCUUUGAUUAACGAGCUAACCAAGUAGAGGCAUACUAGUGACACUCUGUUUGUCUAUGUAUUCACACAUGUAUUAUGUUUCCGAUUAAUACAAUUCUAGCAUGAAUAAUAAACAUUUAUCAUGAUAUAAGGAAAUAAAUGAUAACUUUAUUAUUGCCUCUAGGGCAUAUUUCCUUCAGGAAGCCACGCUGCUUCUCCGCUGAGAUGGCGGGGUAGCUUCGGGGGAAGCUUCGGCAGUACAUUUGCUGCGAUUUGCUUCUCGUUCCUCUAUCGCUUGUACCCUUGCUUGCAUCGCCUGCAUUUGGGUCUGCUGCACUUUUUUCCUCCUCUCAUGGGAUUUGUAACCGCCUGCGUCCGGAAACCCAACCUUCCACGGAAUGGAGCCUGGCGUGCCUCGUGUCCGUCCAGGGUGCUCAGGAUUCCCGAGGGCCAUUGUGAGCUCGUCGUUCUCUCUGUCUGGAAAGAACGUCCCUUGCUGCGCUGCUUCGAUAUAGUGCUGAAGCUUCCUGACUGGUAUGUCCAUUUGAUCGUUCGUCCAAAUGCACUUCCCUGUUACAGGGUCCAAGCUUCCGGCAGCCCCGAAGAACCAAGUCCGGCAACGGUCUGGCCAGUUAAUUGUCUCUGGUUCGAUCCCUUUAUCAACUAGAUCAUUCUCAGUCUUGGCCCACUUAGGCCGGGCUACGAGGUAGCCACCUGACCCCGUGCGAUGGUGAUGCUUCUUCUUCGCAGCAUUUUUCUUGUUUGUCACUGACAUCUUCUUACUCUUUUCCGAUGUCUUGUGGGCCACAAAUGCGGGCCAGUGAUCUCUGAUCUUCUCAUAUCUGCCCUUGAACUCUGGUGCCUCAUUAUUUUCGACAAACUUAUUCAGCUCUUUCUUCCACCUCCUGAAUAGUUCUGCCAUCCUCUUAAGAGCAAAAGACUUGAUUAAUUGAUCUUUAACUGGCUUCUCUGGAUUAUCCUCUGGCGGUAGGGUGAAAUUUGACUUUAGCUCAGUCCAAAGAUCAUUUUUAUGCAUAUCAUUGACAUAAGACACCUCAGGGUCUUCUGUAGCCGGCUUAAACCAUUGCUGGAUGCUGAUCGGGAUCUUGUCCCUAACCAAAACCCCGCACUGAGCAACAAAUGCGCUCUUUGUCCAGAGGGGUUCAAUCAGUUGGCCGUCGGGCGUGAUUGCUAUGAUCUCAAACUUUUCAUCCGAGCUCAACUUUUUCUUCGGGCCUCGUCUCUUUACCGAAGUUGUGCUCGAUCCGGAGGGCUAGAAAAAAGAACAAAGAUUUAAUUAAUAUGUGUACAUACCAAAACAAUGAAUGCAUCAAUUAGCUAGUCAGCAGAAGCUUAACUAAUAUAUAUACCUGGCCGGACUCGGUUCGGUCACCGGAGACGUCAUCACGGUCUCCUUCUUGCACCGGCAUUGGGUCACCGGAGCCGUCCUCACGGUCUCCUUCUUGCACCGGCAUUAGCUCACCGGAGCCAUUAUAAUCAGCUGAUUCCAGACCAUCGGUCUCGUUGAGAAACAACGAGCAGAUGGCAUCACUUCCUCGUGCGAUUAUGUGCCCCAACAACUCUUCUUGUACUUCGUCUCGGGCGGUGUCCAUAGUUUCUACAAAUAUUGACAACAUGGCAAUUAUUAUUCAAACAUGAGAGAUGGAUAUAUUAGUGGCAAAAACGUAGAACUAAUAUUAAUUAGUGGCCUCGACGGUGCUUCUCUAGGGUUUGGGGUGGCCUCGACGCUGCUUCUCUAGGGUUUGGGGUGGCCUCGACAACGCUUCAAGGAUAAAAAAAGAAGAGGAAGAAGAAAAAAAAGAGGAGAAGAAAGAAUAGAGGAGUAAGAACUCCUCUAUUCUUUCUUCUCCUCUUUUUUUCUUCUUAUUCCUAUUUUUUUAUCGGGAACAAGGGUCGUCGAGGGUCACCGAGCGAUAGAGGAAACCCUAAAUAGCAAGUAUCGUGGGUGUGAGAUACAUGUGGCCGUCGGUGUCGGACAUUCAUCCACGUCCCACAAGUGACGUGGGCGUCGAAGCCCGCGCCACUUGUGGGACGUGGAUGUAGUGUCCGACACCGAGGGCCACAUGUAUCUCACACCGACGAUACUUUCUAUUUAGGGUUUCCUCUACCGUUCGGCGACCCUGACCCUCGACGACCCUCGUUCCACAAAGGUCGUCGAAACCAUAGAAAGAAUAGAGGUUGCCUAGUGUCAAAGGAUUCAACAAAACCAUGUCUUCAUCAUUAGGCGAAAGUAACAGGUGCAUGAUGGUACGAAGCUCUCCAAAGUUAUUUUGGAACGGAGUCCCAGAUAAGAUAAUUCUCUUUUUGGUACAAAGUUCAGCAAGAACCUUCCAAAUGUCGUUAUUUGGAAGGCCUUUGCUGAAAUUCAUUCAAAAAGGCAAAUUAUCCUAUCCGAGACACCAUUCCAAAAUAACUUUGGAGGACUUCGUCAUGCCCUGGUUACUUCCGGCUAAUGAUGAAGCCAUGGAUUUCUUCAAUACUUUGACACUAGGAAACCUCUCUCGACCCCUCGGCGAUCCUCGACCCCUCGACGACCCUGGAACCCUCGACCCCUAGAUGACCCUAGAACCCUCGACCCUCGAUCCCUCGACCCUCAAUCCCUCGACCCUAUAGAACCCUCGAAGAAAGGAAUAGCUAGAGGAGAAGAUCGAAGAAAAAAAAGAAGAAAAAAAAGAGGAGAAGAAGAAAGGAAGAGUGGAGAAGAAGAGAAAAUAGAAUAUUCUAUUUUCUCUUCUUCUCCACUAUUCCUUUCUUCUUCUCCUCUUCUUUUCCUUCUUUUUUCUUCUUCUUAUUUAUUUCUCCUCUUCUUUUCCUCUCCUCUUCUUCUUUCUUUCCUCUUCUUAUUUUCUUCUUUCAUAUCCUUCUUUUUCUAAAAUUGUAACUUUUGCAUAUAUAAAACUUUUCUAAAAUUGUAACUUUCUAUAUAUGAACAAAAAACUUUCUAUGAACAAAAAAACAUUUUUAACAUAUAUAUCUAGCAAAUUCUAGCCACAUACAUCACAUACACAUAUACAUUGUAGCCACAUACACAUAUACAUCACAUAUGAACAAAAAAAUANNNNNNNNNNNNNNNNNNNNNNNNNNNNNNNNNNNNNNNNNNNNNNNNNNNNNNNNNNNNNNNNNNNNNNNNNNNNNNNNNNNNNNNNNNNNNNNNNNNNNNNNNNNNNNNNNNNNNNNNNNNNNNNNNNNNNNNNNNNNNNNNNNNNNNNNNNNNNNNNNNNNNNNNNNNNNNNNNNNNNNNNNNNNNNNNNNNNNNNNNNNNNNNNNNNNNNNNNNNNNNNNNNNNNNNNNNNNNNNNNNNNNNNNNNNNNNNNNNNNNNNNNNNNNNNNNNNNNNNNNNNNNNNNNNNNNNNNNNNNNNNNNNNNNNNNNNNNNNNNNNNNNNNNNNNNNNNNNNNNNNNNNNNNNNNNNNNNNNNNNNNNNNNNNNNNNNNNNNNNNNNNNNNNNNNNNNNNNNNNNNNNNNNNNNNNNNNNNNNNNNNNNNNNNNNNNNNNNNNNNNNNNNNNNNNNNNNNNNNNNNNNNNNNNNNNNNNNNNNNNNNNNNNNNNNNNNNNNNNNNNNNNNNNNNNNNNNNNNNNNNNNNNNNNNNNNNNNNNNNNNNNNNNNNNNNNNNNNNNNNNNNNNNNNNNNNNNNNNNNNNNNNNNNNNNNNNNNNNNNNNNNNNNNNNNNNNNNNNNNNNNNNNNNNNNNNNNNNNNNNNNNNNNNNNNNNNNNNNNNNNNNNNNNNNNNNNNNNNNNNNNNNNNNNNNNNNNNNNNNNNNNNNNNNNNNNNNNNNNNNNNNNNNNNNNNNNNNNNNNNNNNNNNNNNNNNNNNNNNNNNNNNNNNNNNNNNNNNNNNNNNNNNNNNNNNNNNNNNNNNNNNNNNNNNNNNNNNNNNNNNNNNNNNNNNNNNNNNNNNNNNNNNNNNNNNNNNNNNNNNNNNNNNNNNNNNNNNNNNNNNNNNNNNNNNNNNNNNNNNNNNNNNNNNNNNNNNNNNNNNNNNNNNNNNNNNNNNNNNNNNNNNNNNNNNNNNNNNNNNNNNNNNNNNNNNNNNNNNNNNNNNNNNNNNNNNNNNNNNNNNNNNNNNNNNNNNNNNNNNNNNNNNNNNNNNNNNNNNNNNNNNNNNNNNNNNNNNNNNNNNNNNNNNNNNNNNNNNNNNNNNNNNNNNNNNNNNNNNNNNNNNNNNNNNNNNNNNNNNNNNNNNNNNNNNNNNNNNNNNNNNNNNNNNNNNNNNNNNNNNNNNNNNNNNNNNNNNNNNNNNNNNNNNNNNNNNNNNNNNNNNNNNNNNNNNNNNNNNNNNNNNNNNNNNNNNNNNNNNNNNNNNNNNNNNNNNNNNNNNNNNNNNNNNNNNNNNNNNNNNNNNNNNNNNNNNNNNNNNNNUUUUGUUUCUACUUACAACAAAAUACUUAUUGUUGCUAUUUUUUCCAGUUUUUUUGUUUUGUUUUCUGCAUUUUUUUUGCUUUAUUUUUUUAUUCUUUUUUCUUUUAGUUUUAGAAAAAUUAUAAACUUUCUGUUAGUGCCUUUAUAAACUUUUUGCUUUUAAUUUGAAUUCUUUGAAAAUUGUUUGAAUCACAAGUUUGUGAUUAACUUACUAAAAAAAUGAGAAUAGAUGCGCUUAUAGAGAAAAUUCAACCUAAAUUCCUAGUAAAUUUCUAUGAAUUUCAGAGAAAUUCACUAUGAAUUUAGGUUAAACUUUUCUCUAUUAGGGCAUCUAUUUUCACUUUGAGAGGAGCUCAACAAGGCAGAGAGGGAAGGGCUUAUAAACUGGUGUGAGCCCCCUUCGGUUGGCGAGGUGGGACUAAACUCUGCCUGCAACGACGACCAACCCUUUAGUCCCGGUUUGUGGCACAAACCGGGACUAAUGGUCAUGGGCCAGGGGUGAGGAGCAAAAUUAUAAACUUUCUGUUAGUGCCAUUAGUUUUAGAAAGUUGAAAGUUGAAAGUUGGCAUGGGCCAGGCACUAAUGGUCAUGGUAUUACGAGGGCCGAACCAUAAGACAUGAAAGCAUUUCAAAUGAACUCUGAAAAAGUUGAAAGUUGGCAUGGUAUCAUAAUUUCACCCACAUAGCAUGUGCAUGUACAAAACAGACAAUGGUAGCAUGUUCGUGUGUUACAAAGUUGGCAUGGUAUCAUCAUAAUAGUUGCGGGAGAAAGUCUUCACUUUUUCUUCGCUUGCGUCAUUUGCUUAUUGCGCUGUAAUCAUGGAUAAUCUUCAUUGUUUAUCAGGAUGCUUGGGUCAGCCUUGACAUUGAAGGGAGGAAUUUCAUGAAACUUUUCAUAAUCUUCAGACAUGUCUAUCUUGCCGUCCACUCCCAGGAUGUCCCUUUUUCCUGAAAGAACUAUGUGGCGCUUUGGCUCAUCGUAUGAUGUAUUCGCUUCCUUAUCUUUUCUUUUUCUCGGUUUGGUAGACAUGUCCUUCACAUAGAUAACCUGUGCUACAUCAUUGGCUAGGACGAACGGUUCGUCAGUGUACCCAAGAUUUUUCAGAUCCACUGUUGUCAUUCCGUACUGUGGGUCUACCUGUACCCCGCCGUCUAACAGAUUGACCCAUUUGCACUUAAACAAAGGGACCUUAAAAUCAGGUCCGUAGUCAAGUUCCCAUAUGUCCAUUAUGUAACCAUAAUAUGUGUCCUUUCCGCUCUCGGUUGCUGCAUCAAAGCAGACACCGCUGUUUUGGUUGGUGCUCUUUUGAUCUUGGGCGAUUGUGUAAAAUGUAUUCCCAUUUAUCUCGUAUCCUUUGUAAGUCAAUACAGUCAAAGAUGGUCCCCUGGACAACAAGUACAACUCAUCACAAACAGUGUUGUCACCUCCGAGACGUGUUUCCAAGCAACUACUGAAAGUCCUGAUGUGUUCACAUGUAAUCUAGUCGUUGCACUGCUCCGGGUGUUUGGAGCGCAGACUGUUCUUGUGUUCAUCGACAUACGGGGUCACCAAGGUAGAGUUUUGUAGAACUGUGUAGUUUGCUUGAGACCAAGAAUAUCCGUCCCUGCAUAUUAUUGAGUCUCUUCCAAGAGUGCCUUUUCCAGUCAGUCUCCCCUCAUACCGCGAUUUAGGGAGACCUAUCUUCUUAAGGCCAGGAAUGAAGUCAACACAAAACCCGAUAACAUCCUCUGUUUGAUGGCCCAUGGAGAUGCUUCCUUCUGACCUAGCGCGGUUACGGACAUAUUUCUUUAGGACUCCCAUGAACCUCUCAAAGGGGAACAUAUUGUGUAGAAAUACGGGCCCCAGGAUGACAAUCUCGUCGACUAGAUGAACUAGGACGUGCACCAUGAUAUUGAAGAAGGAUGGUGGGAACACCAGCUCGAAACUGACAAGACAUUGUGCCACAUCACUCCUUAGCCUUGGUACGAUUUCUGGAUCGAUCACCUUCUGAGAGAUUGCAUUGAGGAAUGCACAUAGCUUCACAAUGGCUAAUCGGACGUUUUCCGGUAGAAGCCCCCUCAAUGCAACCGGAAGCAGUUGCGUCAUAAUCACGUGGCAGUCAUGAGACUUUAGGUUCUGAAACUUUUUCUCUGGCAUAUUUAUUAUUCCCUUUAGAUUCGAUGAGAAGCCAGUCGUGACCUUCAUACUAAGCAGGCAUUCAAAGAAGAUUUCUUUCUCUUCUUUCGUAAGAGCGUAGCUGGCAGGACCUUUAUACUGCUUCGGAGGCAUGCCGUCUUUUUCGUGCAAACGUUGCAGUUCCUCCCGUGCCUCGGGUGUAUCUUUUGUCUUCCCAUACACGCCCAAGAAGCCUAGCAGGUUCACGCAAAGGUUCUUCGUCACGUGCAUCACGUCGAUUGAGGAGCGGACCUCUAGGUCUUUCCAGUAGGGUAGGUCCGAAAAUAUAGAUUUCUUCUUCCACAUGGGUGCGUGUCCCUCAGCGUCAUUCGGAACAGCUAGUCCACUGGGACCCUUUCCAAAGAUUACGUAGUGUAAAUCAUUGACCAUAGCAAGCACGUGAUUACCGGUGCGCAUGGCGGGCUUCUUCCGGUGAUCUGCCUCGCCUUUGAAAUGCUUGCCUUUCUUUUGACAUUGAUGGUUGGUCGGAAGAAAUCGACGAUGGCCCAGGUACACAUUCUUCCUGCAUUUGUCCAGGUAUAUACUCUUAGUGUCAUCUAAACAGUGCGUGCAUGUGUGGUAUCCUUUGUUUGUCUGUCCUGGAAGGCUACUGACAGCGGGCCAAUCGUUGAUGGUCUCAAACAGCAAUGCCUUAAGGUUAAAUUCCUCCUGUUUGUGCUCAUCCCACGUACGUACACCAUUUCCAUUCCACAGCUGUAAAAGUUCUUCAACUAAUGGCCUUAGGUACACAUCAAUUUCGUUGCCGGGUUGCUUAGGGCCUUGGAUGAGAACUGGCAUCAUAAUGAACUUCCGCUUCAUGCACAUCCAAGGAGGAAGGUGAAGGAAAUAUGCCCUAGAGGCAAUAAUAAAGUUAUUAUUUAUUUCCUUAUAUGAUGAUAAAUGUUUAUUAUUCAUGCUAGAAUUUUAUUAACUGGAAACAUAAUACAUGUGUGAAUACAUAGACAAACAGAGUGUCACUAGUAUGCCUCUACUUGACUAGCUCGUUAAUCAAAGAUGGUUAUGUUUCCUAACCAUGGACAAAGAGUUGUUAUUUGAUUAACGGGAUCACAUCAUUAGUUCAAUGAUCUGAUUGACAUGACCCAUUCCAUUAGCUUAGCACCCGAUCGUUUAGUAUGUUGCUAUUGCUUUCUUCAUGACUUAUACAUGUUCCUAUGACUAUGAGAUUAUGCAACUCCCGUUUGCCGGAGGAACACUUUAUGUGCUAUCAAACGUCACAACGUAACUGGGUGAUUAUAAAGGAGCUCUACAUGUGUCUCCAAAGGUACAUGUUGGGUUGGCGUAUUUCGAGAUUAGGAUUUGUCACUCCGAAUGUCGGAGAGCUAUCUCUGGGCCCUAUCGGUAAUGCACAUCACUUAAGCCUUGCAAGCAUUGCAACUAAUGAGUUAGUUGUGGGAUGAUGUAUUACGCAACGAGUAAAAAGACUUGCCGGUAACGAGAUUGAACUAGGUAUUGGAUACCGACGAUCGAAUCUCGGGCAGUAACAUACCGAUGACAAAGGGAACAACGUAUGUUGUUAUGCGGUCUGACCGAUAAAAGAUCUUCGUAGAAUAUGUAGGAACCAAUAUGGGCAUCUAGGUCCCGCUAUUGGUUAUUGACCGGAGACGUGUCUCAGUCAUGUCUACAUUGUUCUCGAACCCAUAGGGUCCGCACGCUUAAGGUUUCGAUGACAGUUAUAUUAUGAGUUUAUACGUUUUGAUGUACCAAAGGUUGUUCGGAGUCCCGGAUGAGAUCAUGGACAUGACGAGGAGUCUCAAAAAGGUUGAGACAUAAAGAUUGAUAUAUUAGAAGCCUAUGUUUGGAUAUCGGAAGUGUUCCGGGUGAAAUCGGGAUUUUACCGGAGUACCGGGAGGUUACCGGAACCCCCCGGGAGCUAUAUGGGCCUUAGUUGGCCUUAGUGGAAGAAGAGGAGAGGCAGCCAGGGCUGGACCGCGCGCCCCUCCCCCUAGUCCGAAUAGGACAAGGAGAGAGGGGGCCGGUGCCCCCCUCCUUCUCUCUCCCUCAUUUCCCACCUCGCGAAUCCUAUUCCAACUAGGAUUGGGGGGAAGUCCUACUCCCGGAGGGAGUAGGACUCCUCCUGGCGCGCCCUAUGAUGACCGGCCGGCCUUCCCCUCUUGAACCUUUAUAUACGGAGGUAGGGGCACCCGUAGAGACACAAGUUGAUCCACGUGAUCAUAUUCUUAACCGUGUGCGGUGCCCCCUGCCACCAUAAUCCUCGAUAAUAUUGUAGCGGUGCUUAGGCGAAGCCCUGCGACAGUAGUACAUCAAGAUCGUCACCACGCUGUCGUGCUGAUGGAACUCUUCCCCGACACUUUGUUGGAUCGGAGUCCGGGGAUCGUCAUCGAGCUGAACGUGUGCUAGAACUCGGAGGUGCCGUAGUUCCGGUGCUUGAUCGGUCGGGCCGUGGAGACGUACGACUACAUCAACCAAACGCUUCCGUUGUCGAUCUACAAGGGUACGUAGAUCACACUCUCCCCUCUCGUUGCUAUGCAUUACAUGAUCUUGCGUGUGCAUAGGAAAUUUUUUGAAAUUACUACGUUCCCCAACAGUAGCAUCCGAGCCUAGGUUUUUAUGGUUUGAUGUUAUAUGCACUAGUAGAACACAAGUGAGUUGUGGGCGAUAUAAGUCAUACUGCUUACCAGCAUGUCAUACUUUGGUUCGGCGGUAUUGUUGGACGAAGCGGCCCGGACCGACAUUACGCGUACGCUUACGCAAGACCGGUUCUCCCGACGUGCUUUGCACAUAGGUGGCUUGCGGGUGACAGUUUCUCCAACUUUAGUUGAACCGAGUGUGGCUACGCCCGGUCCUUGCGAAGGUUAAAACAGCACCAACUUGACAAACUAUCGUUGUGGUUUUGAUGCGUAGGUAAGAUUGGUUCUUGCUUAAGCCCGUAGCAGCCACGUAAAACUUGCAACAACAAAGUAGAGGACGUCUAACUUGUUUUUACAGGGCAUGUUGUGAUGUGAUAUGUUCAAGACAUGAUGCUAAAUUUUAUUGUAUGAGAUGAUCAUGUUUUGUCACCGAGUUAUCGGUAACUGGCAGGAGCCAUAUGGUUGUCGCUUUAUUGUAUGAAAUGCAAUCGCGCUGUAAUGCUUUACUUUAUCACUAAGCGGUAGCGAUUGUCGUGGAAGCAUAAGAUUGGCGAGACGAAAACAAUGCUACGAUGGAGAUCAAGGUGUCGCGCCGGUGACGAUGGUGAUCAUGACGGUGCUUUGGAGAUGGAGAUCACAGGCACAAGAUGAUGAUGGCCAUAUCAUAUCACUUAUAUUGAUUGCAUGUGAUAUUUAUCUUUGAUGCAUCUUAUCUUGAUUUGAUUGACGGUAGCAUUAUAAGAUGAUCUCUCACUAAAUUAUCAAGAUAAAAGUGUUCUCCCUGAGUAUGCACCAUUGCCAAAGUUCGUCGUGCCCAGACACCACGUGAUGAUCGGGUGUGAUAAGCUCUACGUCCAUCUACAACGGGUGCAAGCCAGUUUUGCACACACAGAAUACUCAGGUUAAACUUGACGAGCCUAGCAUAUGCAGAUAUGGCCUCGGAACACUGAGAUCGAAAGAUCGAGCGUGAAUCAUAUAGUAGAUAUGAUCAACAUAGCGAUGUUCACCAUUGAAAACUACUCCAUUUCACGUGAUGAUCGGUUAUGGUUUAGUUGAUUUGGAUCACGUGAUCACUUAGAGGAUUAGAGGGAUGUCUAUCUAAGUGGGAGUUCUUAAGUAAUAUGAUUAAAUUGAACUUAAAUUUAUCAUGAACUUAGUCCUGGUAGUAUUUUGCAAAUCAUGUUGUAGAUCAAUAGCUCGCGUUGUUGAUUCCCUGUGUUUAUUUUGAUAUGCUCCUAGAGAAAAUAGUGUUGAAAAAUGUUAGUAGCAGUGAUGCGGAUUGGAUCCGUGAUCUGAGGUUUAUCCUCAUUGCUGCACAGAAGAAUUAUGUCCUUGAUGCACCGCUAGGUGACAGACCUAUUGCAGGAGCAGAUGCAGACGUUACGAACGUUUGGCUAGCUCAAUAUGAUGACUACUUGAUACUUUAGUGCACCAUGCUUAACGGCUUAGAAUCGGGACUUCAAAGACGUUUUGAACGUCAUGGACCAUAUGAGAUGUUCCAGGAGUUGAAGUUAAUAUUUCAAGCAAAUACCCGAGUUGAGAGAUAUGAAGUCUCCAACAAGUUCUAUAGCUAAAAGAUGGAGGAGAAUCGCUCAAGCAGUGAGCAUGUGCUCAGAUUAUCUGCGUACUACAAUCGCUUGAAUCAAGUGGGAGUUAAUCUUCCAGAUAAAAUAGUGAUUGACAGAAUUCUCUAGUCACCAUCACCAAGUUAGUAGAACUUCGUGAUGAACUAUAAUAUGCAAGGGAUAACGGAAACAAUUCCCAAGCUCUUCGUGAUGCUGAAACCGACGAAGAUAGAAAUCAAGAAAAACAUCAAGUGUUGAUGGUUAACAAGACCACUAGUUUCAAGAAAAGGGCAAAGGGAAGAAGGGGAACUUCAAGAAGAACAGCAAGCAAGUUGCUGCUCAAGUGAAGAAGCCCAAGUCUGGUCCUAAGCCUGAGACUAAGUGCUUCUGCUGCAAAGGGACUGAUCACUGGAAGCAGAACUGCCCCAAGUAUUUGGCGGAUAAGAAGGAUGGCAAAGUGAACAAAAGUAUAUUUGAUAUACAUGUUAUUGAUGUGUACUUUACUAGUGUUUAUAGCAACCCCUCAGUAUUUGAUACUGGAUCAGUUGCUAAGAGUAGUAACUCGAAACAGGAGUUGCAGAAUAAACAGAGACUAGUCAAGGGUGAAGUGACGAUGUGUGUUGGAAGUAGUUCCAAGAUUGAUAUGAUCAUCAUCGUACACUCCCCUAUACUUUCGGGAUUAGUGUUGAACCUAAAUAAGUAUUAUUUGGUGUUUGCGUUGAGCAUGAAUAUGAUUUGAUCAUGUUUAUUGCAAUACGGUUAUUCAUUUAAGUAAGAGAAUAAAUUGUUGUUCUGUUUACAUGAAUAAAACCUUAUAUAGUUACACACCCAAUGAAAAUGGUUCGUUGGAUCUCGAUCAUAGUGAUACACAUAUUCAUAAUAUUGAAACCAAAAGAUGCAAAGUUAAUAAUGAUAGUGCAACUUAUUUGUGGCACUGCCUUUUAGGUCAUAUUGGUCUAAAGCACAUGAAGAAACUCCAUGCUGAUGGGCUUAUGGAAUCACUUGAUUAUGAAUCACUUGAUGCUUGCGAACCAUGCCUCAUGGGCAAGAUGACUAAGACUCCGUUCUCCGGAACAAUGGAGCGAGCAACUGACUUAUUGGAAAUAAUACAUACUGAUGUAUGCGAUCCGAUGAAUAUUAAGGCUUGCAGCAGGUAUCAUUAUUUUCUGACCUUCACAGAUGAUUUGAGCAGAUAUGGGGAUAUCUACUUGAUGAAACAUAAGUCUGAAACAUUUGAAUAGUUCAAAGAAUUUUAGAGUGAAGAGGAAAAUCAUCAUGACAAGAAAAUAAAAGUUUCUACGAUAUGAUCGCAGAGGUAAAAUAUUUGAGUUACGAGUUUGGCCUUCAAACAAUGUGAAAUAGUUUCACUACUCACGCCACCUGGAACACCAUAGUGUAAUGGUGUGUCCGAACGUCAUAACCGUACUUUAUUAGAUAUAGUGCGAUCUAUGAUGUCUCUUACCGAUCUACCACUAUCGUUUUAGGGUUAUGCAUUAGAGACAGCUGCAUUCACGUUAAAUAGGGCACCAUCUAAAUCCGUUGAGACGACACCGUGUGAACUAUGGUUUGGCAAGAAACCUAAGUUGUCGUUUCUUAAAGUUUGGAGUUGCGAUGCUUAUGUGAAAAAGUUUCAUCUCGAUAAGCUCAAACUCAAAUCGGAGAAAUAUGUCUUCAUAGGAUACCCAAAGGAGACAAUUGGGUACACCUUCUAUCACAGAUCCGAAGGCAAGACAUUCGUUGCUAAGAUUGGAUCCUUUCUAGAGAAGGAGUUUCUCUCGAAAGAAGUGAGUGGGGGGAAAGUAGAAAACUUGAUAAGGUAAUUGUACCUUCUCCCUUAUUGGAAAAUAUUUCAUCACAGAAAUCUGUUCCUGUGACUACUACACCAAUUAGUGAGGAAGCUAAUGAUGAUGAUCAUGUAACUUCAGAUCAAGUUACUACCAAAUCUCGUAGGUAAACCAGAGUGAGAUCCACACCAGAGUGGUACGGUAAUCCUAUUCUGGAGGUCAUGUUACUUGACCAUGACGAACCUACGAACAAUGAGGAAGCGAUGAUGAGCCCAGAUUCUGAUAAAUGGCUUGAGGCCAUGAAAUCUGAGAUAGGAUCCAUGUAUCAGAACAAUGUGUGGACUUUGGUGGACUUGCCCGAGGACCGGCAAGCCAUUGAUAAUAAAUGGAUCUUCAAGAGGAAGACGGACACGGAUAGUAGUGUUACUAUCUACAAAGCUAGAAUUGUCGCAAAAGGUUUUCGAUAAGUUCAAGGUGUUGACUACGAUGAGUGUUUCUCACUCGUAUCUAUGCUUAAGUAUGUCCGAAUCAUGUUAGCAAUUACCGCAUUUUAUGAAAUCUGGCAAAUGGAUAAACAAAACUGCAUUCCUUAAUGGAUUUAUUAAAGAAGAGUUGUAUGUGAUGCAACAAGAUAGUUUUGUCAAUCCUAAAGGUGCUAACAAAAAUGCAAGCUCCAGCGAUCCAUUUAUGGACUGGUGCAAGCAUCUCGGAGUUGGAAUAUACACUUUGAUAAGUUGAUCAAAGCAUAUAGUUAUAUACAGACUUGUGGUGAAGCCUGUAUUUACAAGAAAGUGAGUGGGAGCAUGACAACAUUUCUGAUAAGUAUAUGUGAAUGACAUAUUGUUGAUCAGAAAUAAUGUAGAAUUAUUCUGCAAAGCAUAAAGGAGUGUUUGAAAGGAGUUUUUCAAAGAAAGACUUCGGUGAAGCUGCUUACAUAUUGAGUAUCAAGAUCUAUAGAGAUAGAUCAAGACGCUUGAUAAGUUUUUUCAAUGAGUACAUACCUUGACAAGAUUUUGAAGUAGUUCAAAAUGGAACAGUCAAAGAAAAAGUUUCUUGCCUGUGUUACAAGGUGUGAAGUUGAGUAAGACUCAAAGCCCGACCACGGCAGAAGAUAGAAAGAGAAUGAAAGUCAUUCCCUAUGCCUCAGUCAUAGGUUCUAUAAAGUAUUCCAUGCUGUGUACCAGAUCUAUUGUGUACCAUACACUGGGUUAAGAGAGGGAGUACAAUAGUGAUCUAGGAGUAGAUCAAUGGACAGGGGUCAAAAUUAUCCUUACUGGAAUAAGGAUAUGUUUCUCGAUUACGGAGGUGACAAAAGGUUCGUCGUAAAGGGUUACGUCGAUGCAAGUUUUGACACUGAUCCAGAUGACUCUAAGUCUCAAUCUGGAUACAUAUUGAAAGUGGGAGCAAUUAGCUAGAGUAGCUCCAUGCAGAGCAUUGUUGACAUAGAAAUUUGCAAAAUACAUGCGGAUCUGAAUGUGGCAGACCCGUUGACUAAACUUCUCUCACAAGCAAAACAUGAUCACUUUUUGGGUCUUAAUCACAUAGCGAUGUGAACUAGAUUAUUGAAUCUAGUAAACCCUUUGGGUGUUAGUCACAUGGAGAUGUGAACCAAUCACAUAAAGAUGUGAACUAUUGAUGUUAAAUCACAUGGCGAUGUGAUCUAGAUUAUUGACUCUAGUGCAAGUGGGAGACUGAAGGAAAUAUGUCCUAGAGGCAAUAAUAAAGUUAUUAUUUAUUUCCUUAUAUGAUGAUAAAUGUUUAUUAUUCAUGCUAGAAUUUUAUUAACCGGAAACAUAAUACAUGUGUGAAUACAUAGACAAACAAAGUGUCACUAGUAUGCCUCUACUUGACUAGCUCGUUAAUCAAAGAUGGUUAUGUUUCCUAACCAUGGACAAAGAGUUGUUAUUUGAUUAACGGGAUCACAUCAUUAGUUCAAUGAUCUGAUUGACAUGACCCAUUCCAUUAGCUUAGCACCCGAUCGUUUAGUAUGUUGCUAUUGCUUUCUUCAUGACUUAUACAUGUUCCUAUGACUAUGAGAUUAUGCAACUCCCGUUUGCCGGAGGAACACUUUGUGUGCUACCAAACGUCACAACGUAACUGGGUGAUUAUAAAGGAGCUCUACAUGUGUCUCCAAAGGUACAUGUUGGGUUGGCGUAUUUCGAGAUUAGGAUUUGUCACUCCGAAUGUCGGAGAGCUAUCUCUGGGCCCUAUCGGUAAUGCACAUCACUUAAGCCUUGCAAGCAUUGCAACUAAUGAGUUAGUUGUGGGAUGAUGUAUUACGCAACGAGUAAAGAGACUUGCCGGUAACGAGAUUGAACUAGGUAUUGGAUACCGACGAUCGAAUCUCGGGCAAGUAACAUACCGAUGACAAAGGGAACAACGUAUGUUGUUAUGCGGUCUGACCGAUAAAAGAUCUUCGUAGAAUAUGUAGGAACCAAUAUGGGCAUCUAGGUCCCGCUAUUGGUUAUUGACCGGAGACGUGUCUCAGUCAUGUCUACAUUGUUCUCGAACCCGUAGGGUCCGCACGCUUAAGGUUUCGAUGACAGUUAUAUUAUGAGUUUAUACGUUUUGAUGUACCGAAGGUUGUU